Molecule: long non-coding RNA, 160235 nt
Filed under: Populus tremula
Lineage: Eukaryota; Viridiplantae; Streptophyta; Magnoliopsida; Malpighiales; Salicaceae
Description: long non-coding RNA (PTRE_LNC001700)
Source: RNAcentral
UCCCACUUCACUACUGUCUCCCACCAUUCUUUUGGCCAUGCUCGGAUUUGUUUAAGAGAAGGGGGAGGAGAUGGCUGGCCAUUUUCAAGCAACGGAAGACAAAUUGGCAUCCUCUUCAGCUUCUCACAAUACAUUACACUAAUAUCUUCAAGAGAAUUGCAAAUCUGUUUUGCACUGCAAAUGCUUUUCAGUUCUGGUAAGCAACCCAAUUCCAGAGUUAUUAACUUUGGGAGAAUGACUUCCAUGAUGGAAUUGGAGGUGCUGCUUUCUUCAUCUGUUGUUCCUAUUAUCUCCUCCAUUUUCUCACAGAAUAUCACUCUAAUCCUUUCCAGGUUUACGAGGUUUGGCAGCAACACAAGCGGGAACAGCUUCUUCAUACUUUUACAGUAUUAACAAAAAAACUCUUUAAGACCAGAAAACGUACCGUUACAUGAUGGCAAUCGUGGUGGAGCAGAGCAGAACCAAGAAGAUGAAACCAAGCUCUCCAUGUUAUGGCAUUCCCAAAUGUUGAUGCGCUCCAGUUCAGUUGCAUUCUCUAAUGACAAAACAUCACAUAAACUUCUUGCAUCGAUGCAUUCACAAAUCAGUCCUUGAAUGCCAUUUAAGAACUUGACCUGAAAAUCUCUAUCUCCGUUGAUACUCAAAUUACCCAACCCAACUGUUUUACUUGGAAAAUCUUCAAUGCGUUGCUCUAAAUGUCUACACCUCUCCUACUAAAAUCUUGCAUGUGCUUAAUGAUAGGAUCCCAUCCCGAGAUCUGAGAUACUCCACGAAGUCAGAGAAACCUUCAAAAUGGCAUUCCAAAGUUUCCAAAUUUCUCAAGGAUCCUACUUCCUUUCCUUUAACUGUUAUGGGAGCAUAUCUUCCAUAAAUUAACCUUUCCUCUAGUACAAAGAUUUGCAGGUGAGAGAGUUUUUGUAAUAUCCCACUAGGAAACUCCUUUUCACCACAUCCAUUCAUUAUAAGAUACCUCAGGUUGGUUAGGCAUUCCAUUCCUUGCAGCAUCUUUUCAAGCCUAGUAUAAGAGAGAUCCAACCUCUUCAGUGCCGUGAGCUUUUUUAAUGAUGGAACAUGUUUUAAUUGACCACACUUACUGAGCAAUAAGGCAGUCAGAUUCACCAAAUCAGAAACAGAAUCUGGCAAAUUUUUAAUACCUGUGCGAGACAGAUCAAGGACCAUGAGCCUAUGCAAUUGCUUGAAAAAUGAAUCUGCAACAAAUAUCCCAACCCUUUAUUAUCACAUAGAAAUAGAGUUGACAGAUUUGGACACACUGGUGAAUGGUCGAAAGGAACUUCUUCAUCUCGUUUUGCAUUAGUGAAACUAUUGUCAGAUUCUCGUCCACUCCUCUGCAUUGGCAACUCUUUUAACUGCGCACCUGCUUUAACCAUGCCUUGAGAGUUCUCUAGCAGUAUUUGGAUGGCCAUGUCCCUAAUCAAGUCAUGCAUCUUGACACAUCUAAUAUCAUCAUAAUCCAUUUGAGCACUUUCCAAUAGGCAGACAUAUUCAAGUCUAUUAAGCAUCGUGUGGCCCUCGUCAAAUGCAUCUUUCCUGCUCCUCAUUCCUUUAAUUAUUCCCUCAUCGAUCAAAUAACCUAUCAGCUGCCUCCCUCUUAAUCCAUGAUCUUCAGGAAAUAAUGCACAGUACAAGAGACAUUUUGGAGUGCUGAAUCACCUAGCCGUUCAUAACUAAACUCAAUAACUUGAAUAAUUUCUUGUCCCUAAAUUCUGAUGCACUCAAUUUCUUCAAUGUAUUCUCCACUCAUGUAGAUCAUCCACUCCCAUCAAGCUUCCUGCCAUGUAAUAAUUCCCAAUGGCAAACCAGCACAUUCCCUUGCAAUAUCUUUCGCAAUUCCUUCCACUUCUGAUGAAAGUGCUAUGUCACGUCCAAGUUUCUCAUGAACAAAGUCCAAGCUCUCCCUCAAAAGUGGCUUCACCUUGAUUUUGUGGUGGCAAGCCAUCCGAUGACAAACCGUUUCUGAUCGAGUUGUCAUAAUCAGCUUGCAUCCUUUCAACGGGACAGGAAUUCCCACUUCGUCAAGCUCAAAAUUGUUCCACAAAUCAUCUAAAAUGAGAAUCCAUUUUUGUUUCUUUAUUAGUUCUUCUGACAAUUUGGCAGCUCUAUGCAGAUCAUCAUCUUCGCUUGAAAGGUCUAGAUGAAGACGUUUAGCAAUAAUAUUCUGCAAUCUAUUAAUGCUGAAAUCUUGAGACACAGUCACCCACCAAACAUGAUCACAAAUCUGGUCUUUGUAGAAGCUCAUUAUGGAUAUGUUUAGUAUUGUUGUUUUACCAACUCCCCCCAUCCCAUAAAUGCCAAUGGUUGGGACUUCAUCAUCCAUUAACAAAGACCAUAUCACCUUCUAUUCUCUUCAAAUGCUUGACCCACUGGCUUUGUAGAGCUAGUAGGUAAUGGAACUCCUCUAGUCUCACUUGUGUUGUAUUUAAGGCUUAUAGAAGAUCUAGCUCCAGCGUCAGGCUGCACUGAAUCUUCCACUAUUCUCCACACCCUCCUCCACUGGUUCUGUCCUCACUCUAACCAUGUUCUGCACAUCAUACAUAACGACAUCAUUGUUUACUGAUGGAGCAAAUAGUUGAUCAUAAUAUCUUCCAUGAUCAAGACACAAUGGAUCUGUUGGUUGGGAUGAAUCUCCUCGAGGCUCAUCAGCUUGAUUAAUUGAUGGCCUCUCACAAGAGCUACCUCUCUCCAGAUGCUGCACUUGUUCUGUUCUCGCUACAGUUUCAAAUCCAUCAUGCAGACGCUCCACAUCCUCAUCUUCCUGCAUUAAAUAGUAGAGAUUUCAUUCAGCUUCUGCUCCUUUGAAAGGGCAGAGUGUAUCUGAACCCAAGUGCCAUCAAAAAAUUGAUCCACUAAAUCUGUUCCUGGUGUUGCUUCUCCUCUAUUCUCAUGAGCAUCAACUCUGAGUCUCCAAGGAGAGACACUUCUGUCAACAUGCUGAAAAGAUCCUUCACCAGUGUACUCCAUGCCUUGAACUCCCGCUUGCAUCCUUCCAGCAUCCCCUGCCAAAUUAACAAGUACUGCAUUGUCUUGUUCUUGUGGACAGGUGGAAAUGGCAUAAUCAUUAACAUUGCUUGAACUUGCUAUGCUUUUAUGUCUUUUGUUGCCACCAUUCAUAGCUAGGAAGGCUGCUUCUUGAACUUCUUUAGGCACCUGACCACAAAUGCCAACACCAUGCCCUCUCUCUCCCGAAAAAUGCCAUUUGAUCCUCGAAAUGGACGUACCAUUGGCAAAUAAAUGCCCACAAAACUUACACUUCAUGCUUCCAUUAUUCAUAUCUUCAACUUCCUUCCAAAACGGAUCAUCUGAUCUACCCAUUUUGUCCUAUAGAUAAAAAGGGUCAAAAUAUUGAAUAAAAAUUAAUGGAAGUACAUUAAUUGGAAAAGGAAGGUGAAACUAAAAUAAGUUACAAACAGCAAAGAAAUUAAGAAGAAAAAACAAUGAAUUCAAGGUUAACUUGGGGUCAAUUUAAUUAGUAUGAACUCCAUAAGGCAUGGAUUGUUAAAACUGAGAAAGAUCAAAUUAUUUUUAUUUUUGGAAACUGUUGAUGAUCCUAACUCCAAAGUUUCUCAUUAGAAUUUCUACAACUUGUGGUUUCCUUGAAAGAUUCAAAUCAGAGUUACAUGUGAAAAACAAAAUGAAGAAGAUGGAGUAUAAAUAAUGUACCUGGAUUCAAGUUGUUCUUCAAGUGCUGGUUUGCUUAAGCAGUAUUCAGCAAAAAAGACAAGAACAGAGUAGAAUAUAUAGUUUAAAAAUAACAAGGAAGUUCCAAGAUGUUGAACUCCAGAUGAUUUGAUUCAAUCAGAAAAGGAAGCACUGAUCAUCAGAAAGUUUAAGAAAUUGGGAAUUUGAUGAGGGAAAUUGGGAAGUCAAUGGUAUAUGAGAUGAGAUGCGGAAGAUAAUGUUACAGUAGCAAAGAUAUUAUUCUAAUAAAUCUAUAAAUCAUGUUAAUUUUAUAAAAAAAUAAAUAAAAAUAAAUAUAUUAUCAAACCAGCCAAAUAUUAAAAUAAAUAAAAAUAAAUUUUAAAAAAACCAAAAAAAAAAAGUUGAAUUAUUUUGUAAUUUACAAUGAAAUAGGUGUGGAUAGAUAAUGAUUCUUCCACGUCUUUUAACUUUUCUUUUAAUAGAAAUUAAUAACCCUAUAAUAUUUUCCUCGAUGAUGUUGAAUGAUGCCAAAUUAAAACAUCUUUUUUAUUGCAAUAAAGUGAAACUUUUUAAAAAAUAUAAUAUUAAAAUAAACAUUGUUAUUUUAGUUUUUUUUAAUUAAAUAUCAUCGUUGUAUGUUCUUGGUUGACCUAGCAGUACCGUUUGUUUGGACUUUGAGCAGCAGUAGAUAUCUCCAGCGUACUGUUACCUGCAGGCUAGAAAAUGUAUGUUGCCGUUUUUUAGUUCACUAGAGAGAGGGCAGAAAGCCUUAAGAAAAUAAUUUCACAUUCUGUGUGGCAGAAACCUGAUUCCACCCAAAAACAAUAACACAGUAAUUGAAGCAAAUUAAAAGAAUAAAAGAAAAUAUAAAAUGAUUUAAUAGAGAACAAAUAUUAAUUUUCAAUGCAGAUUAAAAUAAAGCAAAGUGAAUAUUGAAAAAAGUACUUCAAUUCUACGAACAGCAGAUAUAUAGUUCAAUUCGAAGUUGAAUUCCCAAAAUUCCCACUUAAAGGGUAUAGAUAAUUAAAUCAACACUAAACCAAAUAUAACCCUUUUGAAAAACCAUUCAUUCAAUAGAAAAUAAUUAUCCCUAUUAAGAAAAUCCAAUGACGACAAUAUACUUAAGGAGCAAUAUUACAGCAAAGAAAUUAAAUCAAUACAGGUAAAUAAAUGAUCCAAAGAUUAAUUCAUUCAAUAGAAAAAACAUGACUGACUCCAUAAACGGCAUAAAUCUGAACAAAAGAGUUAGAAUAAUUGGAAAUCUGAACAAUUUGUGUACCCAUCACUGUAUUGGACAUUAAAAUUUCCCGAGAAGAUUUUUGCACCAAGCAUUCAUAGCCAUUCCUUUCCUUGCAUGUUCUCCUUCUUUCUUUUUCUUUCUCUGGUGUAAUUCCCACACGUCUUCUUUAUGCCAAAUACCCCUCUUUUCAAAGGAGGCAGCCCCACUUUUCAACCUCCUUUUUCAUCACGUCUCCGUGCUAUAUUUUAGGACUUCUUUGGCAGCCACGUACAUGCCCUAGGAGAUCUUUUUUCUUUUUUUUUUUAGAAGUUUAGGAGAUCUUUUUUCUGAAAUCCUCAUUAGAGGCUAAUUUGUAGUCUUUAAGAAACCUCGUCAACGCAAGAAUCACAACAAUCUGAUACGUGGGUAGAAAGUUAUGAUUGAAAUAGUAUCACUUGGGUAAAUUUGAAAGUAUAAUUGUGGUUGUUUUUUAAAAUAUUUUUUAUUUAGAAAUAUAAUAAGAUAAUACUUUUUUAUUUUUAAAAAAAUAUUUUUAACAUCAAUGCAUUAAAAUAAUUUUAAAACACUAAAAACAUAUUAAUUUAAAGCAAAAAUAAAAUUAAUUUUAAUUUUUUAAAAAAAUGUUUUUGAAACACAAAAACAAACAGGGUUUUAUCUUUUGAUGCUUACUGGUUUUCAAAAUGCGCUUAAGCUUUUAAAUGUAUUUUUACAUUUGUCUUUAGAAAUUAUCAAUUUGAUAAUUAUUUUUAGUGUUUUUUAAUAAUUUUAAUAUAUUAAUAUUAAAAAUUAAUAAAAUUUACAAAAAUUAUUUUUUUAAAAAAAAUUUUAAUAUACAUUUUAUACCACAAUAUCAAGUGAAAACAUAAUCCCAAUACCUUCACCAAUCAUAAAAAGGUUUUCAACCCAAUCAUGUUUUUUCCUCAUUUUAAAUACAAAAUAAAGUUCGAGUGAAGUAGGGUACAAUCUUAAAUGGUCCAAACAUUAUUGUUAUUUUUUUUUUUGGAUUUAAGUGGGUGUCCGGACCAGCUUGCGCGCACCACGACUAAUCUCACGGCCCACUGAACAUCCUGCAAACUCAGUGAGCAUGUAAGGCAUCGCGGGGGUGACAGACGUGCACGAUGAGGUUUGAACCCUGAUGGGGUGGAAAGGAACAAGCCUCUUCCACUACUAGGCCAAAACCUCAAUUGCAAACAUUAUUGUUAUUGUUAGAAUGUGACAGUGGUCCCAACAUUAGUAGUGUAGCAUGUGCCAUGUAUAUAUCAAUCUCUUGUGGUCCAAAAAUCAGGUUAUUGGUGUUUGAUGAAAUUAGUUGUCCCUAAAAAUAAAAUAAAAUCCUUUGUGAAUUAAUUAAUUACUCAAUUAAUCCCUAAAUUAGUUUUCUUGUUUUCCACAAAUUUUUUAAAAAUAAAAAUAUUUUAUUUGAUGUUUAGACCAUAGUUAUUAAAACCGGACAGGCCCGGUGGGUCGACCCGGGACCUGGUCGACCAGGUGGCUAGAUUGGUCCGAGUUUGUCAAAAGACAGGCCUGUGCAACGACCCAGUCAAACCUGGAUGAGACUCGGUUUUUUUUUUCAAAUGUGGGAUUUAAAACCCAUUAGUAUAUAUAUUUUAUGUUUCUAAAAAAAAGUUAUGUUUUUUUAAUGUGGAAUAAAAAACUUUUUGGAUUAAAUACUUUAACUUAAAAAGAUAACAUAAUAUCUUUUCAAUGUGGGAUUUGAAGUUCUUUGAAUAUAUACUUCAUGUUCCCAAGAAAAAAUUUAUGUUUUUUCAAUAUGAAAUUUGAAACCCAUUAAUAUAUAAUAUAUUCUUUGUUUCCAAGAAAAAAAUUAUUUUUUUAAUGUGGAAUAAAAUUUUUUUUUGAUUUAAAUACUUCAGCUUAAAAGCUUAACAUAAUAUUUUUUUUAAUGAGGGAUAAAAAACUUUUUAAAAUAUUCAUUUAAACUUUCAUUAUUUACAAUAUAUAUAGCCUAUAUUUACAUGGAUUUUUUUCUUACUUUUUUUCAUAUGAAAUAUUAAAACUUUAAAUAUAUUUUUUUAAAUUUUCUGGAUUGAUCCGGGUUGACCCAUAAAACCCAGGACAAACUUGUUGCAAUGCUGAAUCAAGUGCGUAUAACAGAAAAUAUUAAGUUAAAUAAUUGGUUGGAAUUGUUUUUUUGAGGAGUCAUCUCAAAAUUGAAAAAUAAAAACAGGAAAUAGAUCUUCAACACAAUCAUGCUUUUUAUUUAUUAUAAAUAUAAAAUAAAGUUAAAGUGAAGUUGGGUCCAAUCUUAAAUGAUCCAAACAUUAUUGUUAGAAUGCGACAGUCCAAUCUUAAAGGUUUUCAACACAAUCAUGCUUUUUUCCUUGUAGCAUGUGCCCUGUCUCAAGCUUCUGUGAUCCAAGAAUCAGGCUAUUGGGGUUUGAUGAAAUUAGCUGUUACUAGAAAUAAAAUAAAAGAAAAUCCUCUGUAAGGUAAUUAAUUACUCAAUUAAUCCCUAAUUAAUUAAAUUAGUUUUCUGAUUGUUCUUCACAAAAUUUCUAAGAAUAAAAAUAUUUUAUUAGAUGUCUUAGCUGAAUUCCAAACCAGCCUAUAAUAAAAUAAACAAAAAUAAUUUUUUUUUUUUUAAAAAGAGGCAAAACAUCUUUUAUACAGUGAUUCUCUCCCAAGUCUCUUAGCUUUUCUUUUAAUGAAAAUUAAUAACCUUAUAAUAUGUUCAUUGUGGAUGCUCUAUCAUUGCUAAAUUAAAGCAUGUUUUUUUUAUCUACAACUAUGUGAAACUUUUUUAAAAUAAAAAUAUUAAAAAAGAUAAUGUUAAAAAAAUUAUUAUUUUGGUUUUUAUAAAUAAAUGAUAUAAAAUAAUUAAUCAGUUAAUCUGUGAGUUGUGAGUCAACCAGUAAACUAAACUUUGAAAUACGUGUCUUAACUAUUCGUAAGCUACCUAUGAUUUGAUGUCAUGAGUAUUUUUCUUGAAGUUAUUCUAUUUUAUGUCAUGAAUGUUCUAUUGAGGAAAAAAAUAAAAAAAAAUCUACUUUUUUUUUCCUCUUCAUAAAACAUGGAUUUAAGGUAGGAAUCAAAAUAUAUUUUUUUAUUUUUAAUAUUAAUAUAUUAAAUUAAUAUUUUUAAAAAAAUAAACAGAUUUUUAAAUACACUCAAACGUAAUUCUAAGUACAAAAACAAAUUAUAUUUUGAUUGCGGGCAUAACAAUCAUGGCAGUAAGUACCAUGAUCCUUUCCAAUUGAGUAAAUUAUAGGACUUUUUUGGCAGCCACGUACAUGCUAUAGGAGUUCUUUUUAUUAAAUCAAUAUCAUAGUAAAACAAUUAAAUCAAUACAGAUAAAUAAAUGAUCUAAAUAUAAUCAAACAAUUAAUCCAUUUAAUAGAAAAAACAUUACUGAAUCCAUAAACUACAUUAAUCCCUUUUCUUUUCUUGUUUUUUCUUCUUCUUAUCUGGUGUAAUUCCCACACGUCUUCUUACUUGUUGAGUAUUUAAACCCCUAUUUUGACUUUGCAGGAUUUGAGGCAUUUGGCCUAGCAGUUUGAUUUUGCAAUCCUCGGACUUGGAGGUUAUCCAUCUGUGACCUAUAUAUAUACGAAUGAAGUGAUCAUAUUAUAAAACCUUUCUAUAAUUGGUAGUCUCUCUUAAGCAGUAAAUGUUAAUGGUAUUAAAACACAACAGCUGGAAGUCAAUCAGUACCUAGGCACGAAAUUCUCUUGUUGCACAUUGUCUAUGUUAGGAAUUACAGCAGCUUGAUCGACUUGCCCUUGAUUAGAAAGAAAUUGAAUCCUGAAUCCAAAAUCAGCAAAUACUAAAUAAGAAAAAUUGGAUAUCGGGGAGCAGGAAAAGAAGGUCCAGAUUGAUUGAAACCACCAUGUUGUGAAGUGGUUGCAUUCGGUGUCAUAUAGCCAGGUCCCGGCUGAGGUUGAUGAAUAAAGGAGUUCUGAUGCCUGAAUAAUAUUCAAAUAGUUAAACAUAGAACUGUUAUUCUCACAAAAAAGAGAGAUAGAGAGCUCAAAAAGACUUGAAAGAUCCUCGACCUCGCCAAUUUUGGUCAAGUUUAUUGUUUUCAUGAUUAAAAAAGUGUAUAUUCGAGGUUAAUACCAUUGAUUCAUUGGAGGUUGAGGUCCAGGUAGCAUCGCAGGUACUUGAUUGCUCAUAAUUGGUAACUGAUAAUUAGUCCAUUGUUGGUCCCUAAAUUAGCAACAUUUGUUAAUAAUAUCUUUAUACAUAUGCAUAAUCGUUAGCUAUUAAUCCACUAAGCAUUUGAUAUCAUUUUAGCUUACCUAUAUUCAAACAUGAUGAAUUUCAAUAUAUUUUUAAAAUAAUGAUGUUAAAUAAUGAACAUUUGAACAAGAAGAAGUUAAAUAAUGAUGAAUAUUAUGUACCUUGAUGGAGUUUGAGGCCAAUUUGGUUCAUUUUGGUUGAUCCAUGAUGAUGAUGUUCCAUGUAAAUCUCCCAUUGUUGUCUGUUUGUUUAACAAUAAACAUUUUGAAGAUGCUCGAGAUAAAUUGAUACACGAAAACAUAUAACUUUUUGAUCCAAUGGGUGAUACAAACACUUGCUAAUUCAGGGGACAUUGCAGCAAAUUGGAGUAGGCAUGAGCACUCACCAUGGUUUGAGGAAAUGAUGGUGGAAACAGAGUUGUUUGUUGAAUACUAUCGUUGAUCACAUUGUUAUCCACCACCAUGUUCUGUCCAUCUUGAUCAUUGCAUAAUAUGGAGCUUUGGUUGCCUGAAAACUCCGGUGGCGACCUGCUUAAUUUGUUAUUAGGAACAUUAUUCUUUUUUGGGAAUAAUAAGAAAAACUGUAGAAUAACUGAAUUGCAAGUAAUCAUCUUCUGACAAAAUAUGCUUAAGAAUGACGCACAAGAGAAGCUCAGAUAUAUUGAAUGAAUCUUCUUGUGAUUGAAAAUCGAACUGAUUCGAUGUCAAGUUGACAUCAUCCUCAUUACAAGACGGUGGGACUCCUUCCAUCUGAGGUUUAAAAAAGAACAGAAAGCACAGAUUAGAUGUGUGUGUGUCUAUAUAUAUAUAUAUAUAUAUAUGACUUAUUUAUUUGUUAAAGAGAUUCAGAUGAAAAAUAGGAAAUAUAAACGUUGCUGUUAAUGAUUUAAUUCUUUGUUUUAAUGCUAAAUUAUUUGUCACUUGUUGUAAACAAGUUUAAUGAAAGGUAAUUAAUUAAUACUGAUCAAGUUAAUUCAUGAAUCAGUAAAAAAACAAUUUCAUUGAAUCAUUAUGUCAGAAAAAUAUUGGAUAAAAAUUAAUGGCAGUCCCACUAAUUGGAAAAGAAAAGGGUGAAACUAAAAUAAAAAGUUUGUCGCACGUGUGCAGCGUUGCGGCAAAAACAUCCACUCUCAAAUCGUUAUUUAAUGUGGCAAAUGUGAGGAGACAAGGAAUUCUUGUUUUUUAUUAGUGAAAAAAUAAAAUGGGAGUCACCACCUAGUAUUUUUGUAAUUAGGAACUCUAACUGGUCUCAGAGAUCAAGUAUGGGGACUGUUUGCGUAAAUGGAAGGUUUUAGCACCCAAAAUACGCCCUACCUAAAGUAAGCUGCAUUGUUUAAUUGUUUGAUAAAAUCUAAGGUCUUGUCGUGUUUUUUAGUUGUUGGUUCGUCUAUAGAUUUUAAAAAAAAAUCAUCUUCAGUAAAGAGAUCCUUAUCUUAUUGGGUAUGACCUAACUGUUUUAACGUCAACAAAAGAAUUUUAAUAUCCGGAAUACAUCUUACAUAUAAGAUCAUAACCCUAGAUAUUAAAGGAAAACAAAAUAAGUUUUUUUGAAAUUUUUGAAAUAUUGGCCUAGUUCUCGUGACUUUAAUAAACUGGUUAUUAAAGCCAAAAUGCAUGUUAAUAUAAAUUUUUGAAUCUUUGUUGUAUGAAAAUAUGAUAUGAUUUUUUUUUUUUUUGAAAGAGUAGACCAUAUGCAUGAAAACAAAAAAUAUAUUUUUUAUGUUUUUAUCAAAAACCGGGUAUUUUAAUAUCAAAUUUAUAUCUUUACAGUAUAAAAAUACAAACCAAUAUUUAUUAAAAUACAAUAGAAAAAUUUGCAAAAAUCACUAAUUUUUGAAAAUAUUUAUUCUAUUUUAUUAUAAUUAUUUUUUUUAAACUGGGCCCAUCUCAGCACAUGUGGCUGGGCUGAACCCAACUGAUUUCUACCCGCAAGCGUGCGUUAACAAUUCACGCACGCCUGCUAUGGUGUAAUUAAUCUUCAAGUGCACAGUGUUUGUGCAUUGUCUGAAAAAUUGGAGAAGCUUACCUGGAAGCAACGAAGGCAACAACAAGCGACCUCUAUCUUCUUCUUUUCGUUUGUAAAUUCUGGUUCAACUGGUUUCCCUGUUUUCCUUUCCUAUUCUUCUUUCUCCUCUCUCGUUCUCCCCACUGUCUCGUUCUUUUUUCUUCUUUUUUUUUGCUGUGUUUCUGCCUUGUUCUUUUUUCUUUCCCUCUCUAUGUCGUCUUUGUCUCCCUCCUUCAACGUUCUCCCCUCUCUGCACUGACUUCGUGGUGGUGCUGCUGCGCUCGUUGGUUCACAGUGGCGGCUUCGCGGUUGCAGAUGAAGAUGACAGUGUGGAAGGGCUGAUCCACCAACACCUCUCCUCUCUCCUUUCUUCCUCUUCUGUCCGUUCUCCCCCCUGUCUUUCCCCUCUCUCGCUGUCUUUUUUUCUCUGUCAUUCUUUGCUGUCUAGUUCCCUCUGUCCCCCCUCUGGUUUUUCUUCUCUCCCUCUCUGGUUCUCUCAAACGUCCCCUGGAGCUGCUGCCUGAAGAUGAAGACGAAGUUGAGGGUGAUCAGUGCUGUGAUCGAGCGACGUUUUUUUCUUUCCUUCUGCUACUGUUUUCAUUCCUGCACUCUUCUUCUUUGUUUCUGAUUUUCUGAAAUGACGAAGACAAUGGAAACGCUGGUUCUGAUCUCAAUGAUUUCCUCUGUUUACAUUAUUUCCUUCUGCUUUUCUGAUCCUCUUUCUUCCCGGCUCCUCCCUCCUUUUCCUUCUCUCGUUCUCCCCUUUUAUAGCCAAAACUGCAUACGUUCAGGACCAUUAUUGCAGUGGUAACGGUAGAUAAAUAAUAGCUGUGAAACGUUACCAUAAUCUGUGGCAUUUGUUGCUGAAAACGGUUCCUGUUUGCUGAAACGGCUGCUUUGAAGAGGGUGAUGAACAGUGUCUAAGGAAACGGCGCCGUUUCACAAUUCAAAUGAAUAUUUUGGAUUCGGUCCCUGGUUGUUUUGACAAUUUUGUAGUCAAGCCCCCCGGAUGAAUUGUAAUUGGAUCCCUUUAUUUUAGCCCCUUUUUCCGGUUUGGUCCUUGGUUUCUGAUUGUUUUAAUUAAAUCCCUAAUUGACCAUCAAACUUCAAUAAUUAUGCAAUUAAACCCCUGAUUUGACCAAAUCAACUCUUUAAAAUUAUAAUUGGACCCUAUAACUUUAAUUACUUUCAAUAAAAAUCUAAAUUGACUUAAAAAAUCAAUUUUCUUGCAAUUAAACCCUUCAUAAAUUCAAUUAAACCUUGAAUAAAAUUUAAUUGAGUACAUAAACAUUUUAUUUUGGACUUUUCUUUUUCAACUUAAAUUUUCUUUGUCAAGAGACUCUUAUCAGUAGAAAAUAUAAAAUAUAACAUCAAAUUUCAAUUCUUAUAUUUCUGAACCUCCUCAACUAAUUUUUAGGUAUUUUGUGAGCGUUCAGCGUCAUUUUCUUACUCUUGUUAUUAUUAUUAUUUUUUAUUUUUUAUGAAUUUUUUUUUUAUUAUUAUUUUUUAUAUGGAACCCAAAAAUGAGGAACAAUAAAGUUAAAAACAACAAAGAAUUUUGAAAAGAUUAAAACAAUGAGUUCAAGGGUUUAGGGUUAUAUAAUUUAGUACGAACACCACAGGGCAUGGAUUUUAAAAUCCGAGAAAAAGAUCGAUUUAUUUAUCAUGGAUUUCUUUAAAGAUUUAGAUAUAGAAAAAUAAAAACACCAACAAGAUGAAGUACAAAUAAUUUACCUGGAUUCAAGAUGUUCUUCAAGUGCUAGCUGGUUUGCUUCAGCAGUGAUCAGCCAAAAGAAAAGGAAGAGAAAUCACAGAUCAGAGAAGAAUAUAUGGCUUAGAAAAAUAAUAAAGUUGCAGUUAACAUAAAUCUAGUUCGUACUGAUCAUGGGAUGUGGAAAGGAAAAAAGGGAACUCUAUUAUGAAAUGAGAUGUGACGUGGAAGAGAAUGUUAGGUCAGCUAAAUAAUAAUUAAUUAACGUAUUGUUUGACAGGAAGGAAAUUGCCAGGAAGCAACCCCCGCCUACCUACCAAACAUUAUAUUAUAAGAUAUAGAGAGUUAACGUGUGGACCCACCCCAAUGUUCAAACUUUAAAUGAGCUGCCAUGAAUAUGUAAACACACGAAUAUGAGAAAGAACAGCAUAUUUCUGCAUGUGUGAAGUUGUUUCUGAUAAUAUGUUUUAUUUAAAAAUAUAUUAAAAUAUUAUUUUAAUUUUUUUUAAUAUCAACAUAUUCAAAUAAUUCAAAAAAAAUAAAAAUUUUAAAAAAAGAUCACUGCGACUGUAAAGACAAACCAGCUGUGACUAUACUAGCAAGUGUUAGAUUGAUAGCAAAGACGAAAGCAUACCAAUGCAACAAUCACAUUCUCAAAUAUUCAGAUUUUAAAAAAGCAUAUCCAAAUAUAGUUUUAAAGUUGUGUCAAAUGCAGAAUGCUUUAAUUAAUACGAGGAAACUCUUGUUUAUAAUAUAGUUUUACACAGGGACCCGUUAUAAAUAAUUUGGUGUUAUAAUAACAAUUAUUUUUUUAAGUAUUUUUUAUUUAAAAAUAUAUUAAAAUAAUAAUUUUUUAUAUUUUAAAAUUUAUUUCUGAUAUUAACAUAUUAAAAUAAUAUAAAAAUAUCUAAACACUAAUUUAAAAAAUAAUAAUUUAUUUGCCUGGUACUGGGCUUCCUCGGGACACAACGCUGCACUUCCUUAAAUGAAAAUAUUAAAGUCGGUGUGUGCAUCAGACCUCAUCCUCAAUUGACUCCGAUUGUUGAAAUAACUUAAUCUUCUAAUAAAGUUUGUUUUUGAAUAUAUAUUCUAUCCUUACUAAAUUAUUAGGAAGUAACAUUAUAACAUUUUUAAGUCUGCUUAAUUUAUUUGGUUUAAGAUACUAUUUUAAUAUAGUAUUAGAUAUUUAAUAACUUACGAGUUAAUUACUUAUUAAGAUAAUUCAAGAUUAAUUAUUUUUAUUAAAAUAAUAUUAUUUCAUUUAUUUCUAUUAACAUUGCUAAAUAUGAAGUAGUUUGGUUUGAUUAGAUGAUUCAAUUACAAAUCCAAUCUAAAUUAAGGUUAAAAUUUUGAGUUUUUUAAAAUAAAUCAUCAAACUAGACAGGUUUAACAACUAAUAUAUAUAUAUAGAUAUAUAUAUAUAUAUAUAUAUAUAUAUUAUUCAACCAAAUAAUUGCUUGUGACAUAUAUGUGGCGAGCUUCCUAGCACUACAAGAUUUCACAGUUUUACCGACGGUCAUAUUCCGUCGGUGUAUGAUUGAGAGUUCGUCUGUAAAUUAUUUAUCGACUCAAUUACCGACGGAAUACGCCCGUCGGAUUACCUUUUGUCGGUGAUUCCACAUUCCAUCGCUAUAUCAGUCGGAAAAAAAAAAUGUACAUGUCGCACGUGUGCGGCGGCGCGGCGAUCGUCCACCCCCAACCCUUCAUGAGGGUGUGGUAUGUUGUCUAUUUGGCAUGGAAAAUAUGGUGAGACAAGGAGUUCUUUGUCUCUAAGCUAAAAAUGGACAGCGAGUCGCCACCUAGUAUUCUGGUUACUAGGAACCUUAACUGGUCUUUAGAGAUCGGGUACGGAGACUGGUUGCGUAAAGGGAAGGUAUUCACCCAACUACGCCCUACCUAAGGUAAGCUGCAUUGUUUUAAUGUCUGAUAAAAUCCAAGGUCGCGUUGUGGUUUUUUAUUGUUCGGAAUACGCAUUACAUGUAAUGUCAUACCCCAGGUUCUAUUGUCCAAAAAAAAAGAGGAAUUAAAUAUCUGGAAUAUGCAUUACAUGUAAAGUCAUACCCCGGGUACUAAGAGACAAACAAAAUAAAAUUUUUGUUGUUUUUGAAAUAUUGGCCAAUAUUCUCUUGACUUUGAUAAACUGGUUAUUAAAGUCAAAAUGCAUGCUAAAAUAUUUUUUUUUGGUGUAUGAAAAAAAUACAAUAUGAAUUUUUAGCUUUGAGACACUUGGCCGUAUGCACAAAAACAUUUUUUUUCUCUUUUUUUAAUUUUUUUGUAUUUUAUGGAAGUUUUUUUUUUUGACGAAAACCGGGUAUUUAAAAAUCAGAUUUUUGUAUUUUUAACAACAUAAAAAAAAAACAACCAAAUAUUAAUCAAAAUGACAUAAAAAUUACGCGGAAAAAUUAUAAAAUGCUGAAACAAAUAUUUUUGAUUUUUUUCUUUGAAAUGGGCCGGAUCAGGCCUAAAUAUAUGGGCUGGGCCGAACAUGGCCCAAAGAAAUGGGUUGGUUACUGUGCACAUAGUAACCGGGUUACUGUGUGUACAGUACAGAGAAUUAAUCUACGGGCAGUAACUCGCUAAUUAAUCUUCAUCUGCUGCACGUAAACGUUCUGCAUGCAGAUGAAGCCGAACCAAAAAAAAACGACGGGAAAGGCUACCUGGAGCGGUGGUGAUGUUGGCAGCAACUGAUGUGGCAGGGGUGGCGGCGGCGGAACUGGCUGUUCACGGUGGCCGGCGGUGCUGUUUUCCUCUCUCUCUCUCCUCUGUUUUACAAUCUUCUCUUCUUCUUCUUCUUCUUCGCUCUCUCUCCCUUCUCUUCUCCUUUCUUUCUCCCCCCUUCUUUUUUCCUUCUGUUCUUCCUCCAUUUAUAGCCUGUGAGCAUGUGUUUUUUUUUUUCAUCGUGGGGUCAUGCGGCGGCUGGUCGGGAGUGGCUGUCCAGGCGGUUCUCCUCAGUUUCGGCGGUGCGGUAGGCGGUCGGCCAAUGUUCUUCGUCGGUGGGCUAGGGACUGGCGGUCGGUGGGCUGGAGGGACCAACGCCAUUAAAUAUACAUCUUUUUCCUUCUUUACUGCUGUAUGUUAGGCGGGGAAGAAAGGGGAACAGUGCCGUUCAAAACGGCACCGUUUAGCCCUUUUCUGUUUUUUUUUUUUUUUUUUUUUUUAUUAUUUUUUUAUGGGGACCCAAAAAUGGGUUACAACAGUACCGACGGUUUUACAGAUGGAAAAUGCGCGCUAAAAAAAAAAUUUCUUCUUGGAAUAUACCGACGGAAAAUACUCUGUCAGUGAAAUUCUAAUUACCGACGAAAAAAAUCCGUCAGUACAUUGGUCGGUGUGUGUUUGAGAUACCGACCUAGGUAUGCAGACCUUGUAGUCAAGCCCACGCCCUUUAGCGUGGUUUUGCUUUUUAAAAUUUUAGACCGAUGCAUCAUUGGUUGUUUGUAGAAUCUAGCGAUGGAGGGUUCCUGGAAAAACAAGACUAUGGUUUUGUUUUUUGCUAAAAAUCUGUUUUUCAACCCAAAACAUCUAGAAAAUAUAAUAAACACCUUGAUGAAUCUAUUUAUGGUCUUAAACAACCUAAAAAAAGCUCAAAAAUCUAAAAUCAACUCAAACCUGAAAAUCUUCUUGUUGAGAGGUCUCCUUCAUCAAGUACGGAAAAAAAUAAGAAAAAAACACCUAGGUAAAACUUCCUUGAUCAAAUGAAAUCCAUUAACACCAAGAUUGACCAUUUUGGUAGUCGAAAUAGAAGUCAAUAAUAACAUUUUCUCUUUACAUCGGAAUCCAGCAAAUCUCUCUCUUCUUUUUAUAAACAAAGGACUAAAAAAAAAGUUUGGUACCUAAAUUGAAUUUCUAACAACUAAAGAGAUAAAUCACCUCUUAAUUAAAACAAUUGGGGACCAAACUAAGCUUUUCAUAUGAAAUUUGAAGUUGCCACCUAUUUUCCCCAUGUUUUUCACUUUGAUCAUCUUUCUUUUAAUUCAACCAUUUCUUCAUAAAAAAGAAGCAACUUGCUAUUAAUUUGGGCUCAAAAGGGUGCAAUAGUGCAUGCUAAAAAAAUUGAGGAUCAAAUUGAGAAUUUUAAAAAAAUUAAUUGUUUUAAUCCAUAAUAAUUUGUGAAAGAAUGCACAGUAAAGAGAAAAAACAUCACACAGCUUUGAAACACUUUAAUGUGUUGACUGAAAUUGACAAGUGAGUUUACUCACAUAUUGUUAUAUUGGUUUUGAGUUCAAAUAGACGUUUAAAAAGGGAGUUUUUCAUGAAUACAACCCUUCAUGUAUUCAAUAUGAAUGAUGGGAGAUUUUAAUGUCUUGUGAAUGCAUUCAUUUAUAUAUGGAUGAUUUUGCUAAUAAUUGAUUGGUAAAAUACUUAAUUUCGUUAUAUAAAAACCAAAGAGAGAAUAAUAAAUAGCUAAGAAUUGAAAUGCAAAAACAUAAUUUGCAUAUAACACUAAGUUCUGCAACCAUUUCUCUACUUUCUAUGCUCUUGGCUUGCUAAAAACUAAAAAAAAGACAUUGCUCUAGUUGCCUGCCUUCACUCUUCAGAUUGCUCAACAAAUCCCUUGAGACCUUCUCCAUAGUUAACACAUCACAUAAUGGCUAUUCUAAAAAAAUUAGCCAUAAGCAUUGAACACCUUGAGCAAUCAACGUGCCUUCCUUCACAAUAUCCAUCACCCAUAAAUCUUUCUUUUGGGAUGUCGUCGGGAGUUUAAUCUUCGAGUGUAACAAUUAUGUAUAAAUUUCCAUUCUUUCCUUCCAUCCAUUACUUGUCCUCUAUGAAGAUUCUAUUUAUGAAGUCUCGGAAUCUUUUCGAGUAUAACUUGGGAUCAACAGCUGAGAUAGACAUGAGAUCCACUUGUAAGGACUUGUAUGCAUGCUCUAGCUGUUUGCUGAUAUCAUAAUCCUGGAGGAUGUCAAUGAUACCAAAGUGAAGAACUACAUUGAAGAUCUCAUUACCAUUAUGUGAAGGUGUUGAAUUAUUACUUCCACCCCCCCAUGCACUUAUCCAUUUUAGUAGUCCUCAUUACACGCUCGGCUCUUGCAGGCACAUUUGCCCCCAGCCAGAUGAGUGGCCCCCUGGAAUAGAUUUCAUAUGAGUACUACAAGCAUGCAACGCCAGAUAAAAUCUUGACAUUGCAUCACACAAUCACCAAAAUUCAAAGUAACAAAACGAAGAACAAAAUUUGAUAACAAUGACAAUGAUCACUCAACCACAACCGAAUCUUAUGCUUUAAAGACACUUUUCAUCAUUAAUUUUCCUUUUCACAUUGAUUUUCAAUGUUCCAGACAGAUAAAAUAGCAUUAAUUUACAACCAUGGUUUUAAGGCAUCAUUAUUGGCAAAAACAUUGUAGGACAGAGCAAACUUAAAGAUCAAUACUUCAGUUGUCAAUCACAUUAAUAAUUUAUAUUUGAUCGUCUGAAAGGGCCUAGAAUAGGACCAGGUAAAAGUUUGUUUCUAUCUAAGAAAGCAAGAAAGUCUCCACAAACUACCCCCAAUUUCGCCACUACAGCUCAAGUAGCUUUGAGUCAUUCCAACAAAUUGGAAUUGAAUUCAAAGGAAUAAAUCAUUAAAUGCAGGGCUCCUACGUGGGAAAGGGAAAAUGAUUCACUAUUAAAAAAAGAAAGCUCAAACACAAAUUAUAGCUUCACUUUUUGUGAAUUAUAUCUCAUAUUUCUUUGACUAUAUGUGGAUGAUUUAUUGAUAUUUUAAGAAAGAAGCAAUCUUCAUUGCUUUUCAAAACCAUACUAUGGGUCCAUAGGCAACUAAAGUUAAACAUGUGGCACAUGUGAUUAGUACUUAAAAGUGCAUAUUUAUCAAGGUUUUGUAUCAUCAUUUUGCACUUAAAGUAUCAAUAACUCCUUAACUAAAGCAUGUUUUAUAAUAAUAAGUCUAAUACUAUAAAAUGCCCUAAUAUAUGGUAAAUGUUUAUCUUAAAUAUAGGCAUAACACAUAAAUUAAAGGAUUGAUUGAUGAAUUCAACUACUGAAAUUUUGAAGAUAAAGAGAAGGUGAAACUUAGAAAAGAGAUGUUGGUGCAGUCCAAACUGGAACACUGUUUGGUGUUUGGGUCAUAUUUCGAGUUCUAGAUGUCCAAAUGACCUCAAAGUUUUACACAAACUUGGUGAGACAUAGGCCUACAACUUUCAUGUGAACAUAAAAAUCCAACAAGGCCAUUUUCAAGUCCAAAUCAUAGCAACAACGGAGAAGUCCGAAUCUGUCCUGCAGCCCGAACACUGUUCAGUGUUUGGCCCAUAUCUGGAGUUCUAGAAGUCCAAAUCACCUCUAUUUUUUUUUCCUGGAAAGCUGAGUCAAUUUCCUACAACUUUCAUGUUUUCCAGAGGACCCAGUUCGGAUGGUAGCAUUUUUGUUUUAUUCAGACAAGAAGAUAAGGAUUUUCACCAAGUCAAAAGUUGGCCACCCACUCAACAAUUAGUCAUCAAAUCAAUAAUUCCGAAUUUUGGCCUAUAAAAGGAGGCAUUUGCCAUGUAUUAUGGGGCUUGGUUGUUCAGAUCAAGCUCAUGCUCUUUAUUUCUCUCUUUAUAUUUUUUGUAAUUUUUAAGUUUUGCUUUCAUUAAUAUCUUGUUUAUGCUUUUCAUUUCCUUUCCUUUACUUAGUUAACUUGUAUUUUCUUUAUGUUCUUGUUUUGUUUAUUUAUGUUUCUCUUCUUCAUUAUGUUUAGCUAAGUUUAUUAUGUUAAUGUGAAAAGGUUACACUAAUGGUGUAAGAAUAAAUAUAGUGUAAACUCAACAUGGAUCUUAAUGUUUAAUAUUAACAUGUCUUAUCUUUUUAUCUUACUAAUUCUUAAUACCUUGCUUGUUAAAUGGUUAAUCUAGAUUUGUGUUGUAUAAUAUUUGGUACAACAAAUGCUUGACACUCUCAUAGCCUAACAAUAUGGUAUUACAUACACCUGGGCUAUGAAAGGAACUUGAUUUGUUGUUAACAUCAAUUAACAUCAUGAAUUCAUGACAAUAUUUAAAAGUUUGGUGUUAUGUAAAUAAGAUAAUUAAUAUGAUCAUGUUAAUAAUUUAUAAUGAGUUAUUAAUGACAAAUCAUCUGAUUGGAACCUCCCUCGUGUGUGGUUUCCAAAUUGAAUAAUAAAAGUUUAUACUAUACUUGUUAAAAUACCAUUGGUGAAUUGGUGAAUCCUCUAACCUUGACAUUUAUUUUAUCAUUGUUUAAUCCUUACAUUAAUCUUUUUAUCUCAAAGUUCUCAUUAAUUUCUUUAUCUUCUUCUUUUAUUAUUAUUAUUAUUAUUAUUUAUAUUCUAUUUAUAUUAUAUAAUAUAUCUCUUUGAUCUUCUCAUAAACUCAGUAUAUAGGCUGGAAACCUGUGACCUGAUCUUUUAGAUCAUUCUCAAGUGUAACAACGCCACAUACUGAGUAUUAUUAUUAUUAUUACUAUUAUUGCUAUUAUUGUUAUUAUUAUUGUUAUUGUUGUUAUUAUUAUUGUUGUUGUUAUCUUGUUAUUUAUAAUUUAUACAAUUAACCUCUCUGUGGUUCGACCCCGGUCUUGCCGGGUUAUUUAUUACUUCGACACUCCUGCACUUGGAAGAAGAUAUCAAUCUUUUGGUCGUGUCAACAUGCCUUGUAGAAAAGAAGAUGCCACACAACUUCAGGGCCCCAACAUUUAGACUUUUGAUGGAACCAAAGCUAAAUUUAAAAACAGGACCAUCUGAGAAGCCGGCAGACAACAACAAGUCAAAGAUCCAAUUUCCAAAAAUAGACUAUGUAUCAUGUAGUUUAACAUCUCUAAGCAUAAUCUUUGCGAUAAUCAUCUAUCCUUGACGAUUCAUAUGUUUCAUCACAGUUCUCUGUCACCACUUCACAUGCACAUAUUCCCAAAAAAGAGAUAGCAUGGAAAAAUGUCUUUGCUUGUCGUAAAAAAUACAAAGGCUAAAACCUAACAUAGGGAAAAUAGAUUUGGAAAAAGGAAAGCAGAAACAAAGCAAGGCACUAACAAUUAGGAGGGGCAAAAACAUGAAUUCAGAAAAGGAAAAUACAUAUUGGCCUUCCAUGACCCAAUCCAUAUUGGGCAGCAAAUGAUAACCCCGCAUCGAUGUUUCCUCGUGUUGUGAAUUUCUUUUUUUAUGAUACAGAAACACAACCAAAUUAGCUCAAGGUCGAUUAUUGUAAAUUUUUAAGGUAGCGGAAUUACAGGAUAAAACAAACUUACCAAAAUGCUUGUCAUUUGGCGACAUCAUCUCCUCACUAGAGUAAUCAUCACGGAUGUGAAGACCAAUUAGAAGACUAUAAUCCAUAAUUCUCUUUGCUUCUAAGAAUUCACAGUCCCUAUAAAUUUGACUGAGAAAGAAAGAACAUAAAACAAACACAUGUUUACCUCUCAAGAUUAGUGCCUUACCAAAGAACAAGAUAAAGGAUGCAAAACUUGGAACAAAAUGAAAAAAAGUGCAAUGAUGUGGAAUCUAUCUAAUGAGUUCAUUAAACCAUGACCAUUCCAGGUCCUUAAGUGUGGUUGUUUCAUGAAUUUCACCCUCAAGCUUGUCAGUUUGGCGUCCAUGAGAAGGACCUUUCAUUAAGCAGACUUAAAGAUUAAUGCUUUAGUUUUCAAUCACAUUAAUAAUGUAUAUUUCAUUGUCUAAAACGGACUGGAAUAGAACAGGAAAAAGUUUGUAUCUGAUGAGAAUUAUAUAAAGUAUAUUUUGAAUUUUAUUUAUAAAUUGAAGUUUUUGAGUGAAAUAAUUUUUUUAUAUAUUAUCAAAGUUUUAUUAAUUAAGUGAUUAUAAAUUUAAAUUUUACAAUUUUUAUACUUAUACUAUGUAAUAAAAAUUAAACAUAAAACAUUAAAGUUACGUGAAAACCAAAAGCGGCAUGGGUUUUGACUAGUUUCUUUCAAGUACCAGGAAUAUUAUUUAUGAGAAAAAACAAAACCUAACGGAUCAUACCAAUAAACAGGCAUUCUAUCAUUGGUGGCGCAACAAAACUGAAAGGAAACCACACACUCAAUUUUAUCGCCUAACAAAUAAAUAAGAUCAACACCACAAUGUUGAUGAUAUAAAGAGACCAUCUGACACAAAAGAAAAAUCCAAAAACUUACAGAGAAUUCAAUCAUGGAUAUAAUAAGCUUGCUCAAAAGUAGUGUUUUUUGACAAAUGAAUCCCCCCUCCCAGGGCCCACCCAUUCCCAACCCACCAAAUGUAAUUGAAAAUUAAAAAAACUUAAUUCAAGGUUGAUUUCCGAGAUAAAAUAUUUAUUUAUUUUCCAUGGAUCCCUCAUUUUGUUUCAGUUUUCAGUUUUCAAUUUGUAUCCGUAUCUAAAACAUUUCUUCCCCAACCAACCACACAGACAUGCACAGAAAGAGGAACCAAAAAAUAUAUUGAAACAAAAUCUACACUCGUUCAACUCUGCCCGGACCCCCUCCCAAACCUGGCAUGCUUGUUAAGGUAAGUAUGACAUCCUAACCACACCCCCUAUGCUCUAAUUCCACAGCAGCAACCUUCUGCCCUUUCAUGCAUAAGUGCAAUCAAAAUAACAUGAAUGUUCGACACUUUGGCAUUUGUAUUCAUGUAAAUGUCUGCAUGAAUACCAUGUGUUCAAACUUCAACACAAAACUUCAUAUAAUAACAUAACUUAAAAACUCUUAGAUGCGAUCUUCGAGAACCCAAACCAAGUUCCUUAUGUUCUUCCUUAUUUAACUACGAGAUCAUCAGUAUGCUGAUGAAUUCAUGACACAACCUUGAGCAUUUGAGAUUCAAACCGAGUUGUAAAUUUGACAAGACAAACACGGACAACACUUUGACUUGCAUGGGUAUUUAAUUGUAUGUCUAGAACUUAGUCAUACAUCUUUCAGCUUCAAAGAAAUUGACCAAAGAGAUAAACUGACAUGCAGCUGUAAAAUGGUGAACUGCCACACAACCUCGCAUGUCCUUUUUUCCACAGCCUCGUACAAUAGAAAGAAUUGCAUUCACAUAGUAUUUAGGCUUUACUUAAUUAGCAAAACAGCAGUACACCUGGUAAGGAUAUGCAGAUAGGGAUUGUUCUGCCAUGGUAGAAAAAAAUGAGCCAAGAUACUUCCAAGAAAUAUACAAGGAAAUGGGCAACAGUGUGCACUCUGCAGAUAGGUAUUUUUCCAAGGAAAUAUAUUAUCCAGCACAUAAAGAUUAUAACUCAUAUCAUGAAAUCCAGAUAUAUGGGAAGAAAGAGCAAAGUAUAUGGUAAAAGAAAAAAACUUUAUAGUUGAGAUAUGACAGGAACAUACCUUCCAGAACUAUGAUAUCUGAGGAUCAGUUUCCUUGUAGCCAUUGUACUCAGUGUGUGCCUUCCAAUCUUCCACACAGAUAGCAUUUUCACUUCCAUAUAGCAUCCAAUCGAGAUCCUCAAGCUCUAAACUCUGGAAGAACAGCUUCUGUAGCCCAGAGUUUAAAAGAAUAUCAGCAAAACCACGUGCAAAUCUAGAUACUGGUUCAGAGAUAGAUGUGACAAAGCGAUGCUGAAUGAGAAGAUCAACAUAUUUCUCCCGAUUCUUGCUAUUUACAACAAUACUCUUCCCACCAGGGCAAAGUUCCACAACUUUCCUGGAUCCUAGUUCCUCAACUUCUCUAACGAAUGUCAGACUCAAAGCAUCUGAAUCAAUGAACUCAGGAUCCAUCUGCAGAAUCUGUUUGCAAUUGCUAUACAAGCAUGGAUCUGCAUCCCGUAUGUCUUCCAAAGUAAUAUGCAUCCCAGCCAAUUGCAAGAAAAAUGCCCGAUCAAAUACAAUGCCGACUUGCACUUUAUACAUCAAAGCUAAAGCCAUCACUCGACCAGAGAAUGUGAAAUACUCAGGGUGCCUGGGAUCCACCUUGGAUGCUGCACAUAAAAUGAAUACAAUGAAGUCCAUAUAUAUACUUUUGUUUGUUAGUGGUUAUCCAUGCCAACAAUUGAAUCCAAGCAAGAUGAUGCAACUUAAUUCAAGUCCAGAAACAGAAGACAAUAACAAACCUCAAUUAUGAUUCUUUGAAGAGGUAUUUCAGAAAUAACCAAUUGCAAUUUUAAUGCAGUGGAAGAAUUAGACAUGUUAAUCCCCAAAGGAACCAAUAACAUAUUAGUGAAACACGGAAUUCAGGUAACAGAGUUGGAGAAACAUGGGAAAUAUUCCUGUAUAAUAACCCUAGGGACUCAGGUACUUCACAAUAAAAUAUUUGUGACACACAAGGUUCAGGAAUUUUCCCUUAACAAACCUUUGCUAGUGAGCCUAUUGUACAGGAUGUAAUGCCCUUAUCCCACAUCCAUCAGGAACUCACAUGGUAAACAACUUUUCUACAUAUAAAUGUUAGAGAAAGAACACUAAGAGAAUGCAGUGAAUGAUCUCUCGUACAGUUAAAAUCCAAGCAAUAUUAGUGAAAUAUCUUUGAUUAAGGUCACUGAGAAGGUUCACCGCGUUAAGCCACCCAGUAUUACAUCAAGUGUAGGAAAACUGUCGAACUUCUAAAAAAUGUUAAUUCAAUCCUGACUAUGCCUAAAAUUGAAUAUUAAAUGUCACAUUCUCCAGAUUUAGGUGUAACACUUCCAGAUGUCCUCCCACUAACAUAUAUCAAAAUAAUGAAGAAUAAUAGUCCAAUGGUUGUAAGUGAUUGAGACAGCAUCGACACAUAUUAAUGUCAACUCAUAUAAACUGUUGGAGCUCUCCACCACCAUUUAGUGAAUGUUUACUUUCCAGUGUAAAUUAAAACAAAUACUCAGCCCACAAUCUGAAACAUUAGACACACGGCAAUGAAAACGUAUUGUUUACAUAGUCAGUAUUACCUGGGAAUAAAAAUUCAGUUGAGAAAAGAGAAAAUCCAACUUACAGAAUAAAACAUUCACGAACCUAAUUGCAACUGUUGUUCAAAAAAAAAAAAAUCCUACUCUCAGAAAAACAUGAACGGUUAAUUACAUGAAGUUUCACCCCAACCAAAAAUCAUUACUUCAAUCCUAAUUUCGACUUCCAAAAUUAAUUUGGGUGAAACAAUUCCAGAUGAGCUCAUCUCACCCACUAGCAACAUAAACUAAAUGACGUACAGGUGCUUCUUGAAUGGUUGUAGGUGAUGGAUACAGCAUCAUUACACAUUAAAUGUAAGUUCCUAUAGAUUACAGGAACUGCACAUUUUGUUCAUCUGAGUAAAUUUUUAUUAUCCAGUGAGAAUAUAAGCAACAAUGUUCCAAACUCUAUGCUAGAGUGACACAUUAGACACAAGGCAAUCCAAUAUAUUGUUUAACCAUUCGUAUCAUCAAAAACUAUAUUCAAUUGAGAAAAGAGAGAACCCUGUAGCAUUGUUCAUGUAAGGCAUUCAUGAUUAGGGUUUUCUCGUUUUGUUACCAGGAUUGGUAACCCUAUAUCCAAUCAAGAAAAGAGAAAACCCAAUAGCAUUCAGGCAGCAGAAACUUACCAGGAUUAGGAUAGAACCUUCUGCGAUCACUUGGGCAUGCCACAAAAAGAGCUUUUUGAGGAUCAAAUAGAGCUUGUGUAACCAAGAAAAACCACUCCCGCAAUACACCAGGACCAGUAGCUUCCUCAUUUUUAAAUUCCAGAAAUAGACCACCAUGCAGUGCAUCUGAGUCGGCAUGCACUAUGUACUCAAAUGACUCUGACAACAAUUGUGACCGAUCAAUGAGCAUCUCGUGAAGCUCCUCGUAAUCUUCUUUCACCUCAGGGAACAUCAUCAUAGCCAAAUGCCUCCUAGACUCAAAAUCAGUCACAUCCUUGUUCCGAAGAAGCCAUUGAUGAUCUUCAGUUCUUUUUGCAUAUCUAACAAUCAGCGCACACAAGGAAGCCUUUCUAAGUCUCAAAACUGUCCAAAACUUUUCCUCAGCACCCUUAUAGAGUUUAGCAAUGUUAUUCAACUCCUUCAAAAUAGCCAAAUAUUGAGACCACCUGUAUGAUUCAACUCACCCUCUCCAUUCAUUUUCAAAUUUGAAGAAUUCUGCAUUUUCCAAGACAUUUCUCCAUAAUAUUCAGCAAAUCCAAAAAUAUCACGUGAAGAUGCUCAAUCUCCUUCGCAUACAAUGGAUAAUUUAAUGCCCUCUUGUUCAACGGCAUCGAAAGCAGACCCCUACAUGCCCCUUGCUCUGAAAUCAUACUACACAACGGUGCCAAAAACGCUGAAAAAUCCUUCACAUCAGCUACUGAUGGCCCCACACUCCCCGCCACAAUCCCCAUGAAAUCUUUAAACAACUUACUCCCCAGCUCACUAACAAACGGAAAAAUCUCCUGCAUAACAACAACUCCCUUCCCCUCCUCCCCUCCUCGAUACCUCCACCCACACGCACCCCAAACAUUCUCCAACAAUGAACCAAGAUUAGUCCUACACACAAUAUACAAUGGAUCAUCACUCCCAACCUUCCUCAACAAAUUACAAAACUCAUCAAUCGGAACACACUGCAAAUGCAAAUUUUUGGCAACGAAAUCCUACAUGAAUUCAAAAAAUGCCUGAUCGCACCCUCCGCGCACUCCUUAUUCCCUUUAACACUCGAAACAUAGAGUGUAACCAACGCAGCUGGCGCACUAUUCGAUAAAAACACAUUCAAAUGUCCUAAAGCAUCCUCAUUAUCAUCCUUCGGUGUCAAGCUAAAGAACUCAUUCAUCAACUUUUUAUAUGCUUUGAAACACAUGGAUGAAAACCACACGGCAGAAUAGACUUACAAAUUCGACAAAUGUAGGAAACCAUAUCAUUGAUCAAUUGACAAGUACGGGGAUGCCUAGUGCUCCGCAUUCGGCCAACUAAAUGAAGAAUCGAAUCCUUCUCGAUAGAGUAAUCGGAGAGUUUGUUUUCGUAUUGCAAUUGCUUACCUUUGUAGAUUAGUCGUUGCUCGAUCACCGGAAUCCCGGUCAUCACGCGAAUCCGUUCAUGGAGUGAUUUGACGGAAUCAGUCAAAUUCGCGGUGAUCACAAUGUGAGUACCGUCGGAGAUCAUUCUGAUGAAGAAUUGGAGCCUCGAUUGAGACCGACGGGGAGGGGAGGGAGUGGAGGGAAAAUCGGUGGUUGAUGAUGAGGCGGAGGCGGAGGCGUCGGAGACACGUGUGGGGAGCUGAUUGGUGGAGGAGAUGGAGGGAGGUUGCUGCAGGUUAUGGCCGGUGGAUGACUCGGUGUCGUCUUCACGCAUCCUGAAGGAGAUUAAGUCAGAGAAAACGGCGUCGUGGUCAUCGACAUCGUCUAGUUUGCGUUUGGAGGAGCCGCGGUGAUCAACGGUGGAGGAGCGCUGUUGAGGGAGGGAAUCAACGGCGGGAGAUUGGGGAAGUGACAUUUGAUGAACGGUGGUGACUGUGUUCUCCCCGACCUGUAAGUUUUUAAGGUAGGGGAGAAGGCAUGAGAUCGUUGUCUUAGAGGAUGAGACGGUGUGGUUUUGAUAUACGGAGAGAGUAAACGGCGAGGGAAGGAUUGAACGGAAAUUGUGUCGUCUCAACUCGGUGGGGCUUUUUCUGUGUUUUUUUUUUAACAGCCGUCAUCAACGAAGAGACUGGUAAUCUUACGCUAGUAUUAUUAUCAUCAUCUAUAUUAUUGUGUGCGACGUUCUUGUGUGGCUAAUUACCACAGUAGCCUCGAGAGCGAUGGCUAGCUGUGGUUUAGCUCAUGGCGUUUCUGUUAGGUUAUAAUAUCAUUACUUGUUAAACCCGAUCUAAUAUAAUCUAAUUAAUAAGCUGAUUUAAAAUUUAACAAGAUAAUUUAUGAACCGGUCGGGUUAAUCUAAAAUUAAAUGAUUCUGGAAAGAUGCACACCUAGCUGCCUGUGUUUGGCAAGAAAAAUCAUCAUGUGCCCCUAGAAAAAAAAAAAAAGUAUAUAUAUAUAUAUAUAAAGAAAGUGAAGCUUUAUUUUUCUUGGAGAAAUAAAGUAAGUGGAACUUUUUGACCUACGUUUAGGUGCCUCGUCUGCUAUAUAAUUUGUGUUUUACACAAAGCGUCCACCUAAGCAAAUAUUGCUUUGCAUGGGAGUAAAGAGCAAUGGCGUCAAUCUCUCUUCCACGACAUAUUUCUCAAGAAUUAUAAAAGAUUAAAUAAAACAAAAUUAUGAUUAAUAAUCCGUGUAUAUAAUUGUUGUCGCACGUGUGCGGCGGCGCGACGAUCGUCCACCCUCAAAGAAAAACACGGAAUAUUUAUUCCUGGCAAAUAGGGAGAGAUAAGGAAUUCUUGUCUCUAUAUGUGAAAAUAUGGACUGGGAGUCGCCACCUAUUAUUCUGGUUACUAAGAACCUUAACUGGUCUUUAGAGAUCGGGUACGGAGACUGGUUGCGUAAAGGAAAGGUAUUAGCACCCCAACUACGCCCUACCUAAGGUAGGUUGCAUUGUUUUAAUGUCUGAUAAAAUCUAAAAUCAUGUUGUGGUUUUUGAAUUGUUGGUUCGUUUAGGGUUUAAGAAAAAUCCUCCUCCGUAAGGAGAUCCUUAUCUUUAUCGGGUAAAAAAACUAACUAUUCAAAGUCAUCAAAAGAAAAUAUCUUUUUAAUAUCAGGAAUACGAUUUACGUAUAAAUUCAUAAUCCUUGAUACUAAAAUCAAACAAAAUAAAAUAUUUUGUUGUUUUUGAGAUUUUGGCCAAUGUUCUCUUGACUUUAAUAAACUGGUUAUUAAAGCCAAAAUGCAUGCUAAAAUAUUGUUUUUUGACAUAUGAAAAAUACGAUAUGAUAUUUUAGAUUUGAGACACUUGGUCGUAUGCACAAAAAUAUUUUUUUAUUUUUUUUCAAUUUUUUUUAUUUUUGGAAGUUUUUGUCGAAAACCGGGUAUUUUAAUACCGGAUUUAUAUUUUUACGAUGUAAAAAUACUGCCCAAUAUUAAUCAAAAUGACAUAAAAACUACACGGAAAAAUUAUAAAAUGUUGAAGCAAAUAUUUUUUAUUUUUUUCUUUUUGAAUGUGUGAACAGUACCGUACGAAAAACCGGGUAUUUUAAUACCGAAUUUAUAUUUUUACGAUGUAAAAUACAGACCGAUAUUAAGCAAAAUUGAUAAUAUAUAUAUAUAUAUAUAUAUAUAUAUAUAUGCUGGGAAGUUGUAAAAAUAAUUCUGACAAAUUUUUUUUUUUUAAAACAUUUGAAAUGGGCCGGACCCGGCCCAUAUCAUUGGGCUGGGCCAAACCGGCCCAUUACCAAAUGGGCUGGUUAAUGUGCCUAAGCACAGUAACCAGCCUCCUUCAGCUGCAGAACGUGAAUUAAUUCACGUUCUGCAUGCAGACGAAAACAGGAGGAUAGCAAGCGGAGAAGGAGAUGGGGCGGUGAGAGAUUACCUGCGGUGGCGUUGCCGGUGGUGCUGCUGGCGGUGGAGGCACGGUGGCCGGCGUUGCUCUGUUUCUCUCUCUCUCUCUCCUCUGUUAUUUUUGCUCUUUUCUGCUUCUUCUUCUUUUUGGUUUUUCUUUCUUUCUUUUCCUUUCCUCUUCUCCUCUUUUCUGCUCUGUCCUCUCUCCUCUUCUCCCUCUCUUUUCUCUCCUUCUGUUCUUGGUUUUUUUCAAUCCCCAUCCCCUGUUUUUAUAGGCAAAAACAGGGGGGGGUGUCGGGUGUCGUGGUGGGGCGGCCACUGUCGGCCGCCCCCUCCACUACCGUUUCAAUGGAUAACAAUGUUAGGCAAUGGUGGGCGUCUUUUUGCGCCAAAAACGGGAAAGAAAGUAGGCGAAAAGGGAGAAGAAAAAUCUUCUUCUUCCCCUGCCUCGCGCGUCCAGGGGAAGAAGAAGAGCUACAGUGUCGUCAAAACGGCACCGUUUUGGGCUUCUGUUUUUUUUUUUUUUUCAACAGUGAAUGAAACGGCGCCGUUUUGGUCAAAACACGUCGUUUCAUUUAAAAGAAAAAGGCGCCAAAACGCGUCAGAUUUCAAAGAAGGCCCUCCAUUUGUGCGCGUUUUACAAUUUCGUCCUUGGUCUCGGAUUGCUUCAAUUUAGUCCCUAAUUGGCCAUUAAACUUCAAUAUUUUAUGCAAUUAAGCCCCUGAUUUGACCAAAUGAACUUCAAAAAUUAUAAUUUGACCCCAGAAAAUUAAUUUCUCUUAAUUAAAGCCCAAAUUAACUCCAAAAUCAAUUUUUUUGCAAUUAAAAUCUUCAUAAAUGCAAUUAAACCUUUAAUAAAAUUUAAUUGAGUCCAUAAACUUCUGAUUUUGCAUUUUUCUUCCUCAAAUUGAAUUUUCUUUAUCAUCGGGGCUCUCAUCAGUCAAUGAUAUACUGUCAAAAAUUAAUUUUUGAUAUUUAAACAUCCUCAAUCAAUUUUUGAACAUUUUUAGGGCGCUUUGGCAUUUUUUCACUGUUUUAUUUUUUGAUAAUAUAUUUUUUUUGAUUUUUUUGAAUUUUAUUAUUUUUAUGUGGGGAACCAGAAAUGGAUUACAACAAUUGUUAUAAGGGACAUGUUCACAAACAAAAAUAUGACUAUGUCAUGGGCUGGCGGGUCGAGUUAAAAAAAAAUUAAGAUGAAAGUUAAUUUAGUUAAAUUUGAGGCACCCAAAUAAAUUUAUAACUUAAAAUCUAGUUUGAUUUUUUUAAAAGUUUAUCUUUUUAAAAUAAUAUUAUCUUAGAUUUUUUUUAAAUUAAAUUAAAACAAUAUCAGAUUAACCCAUAUAUCUUAUAACCAUCAGAAAUAAAACAUGUUUAAUAACUUUAUUUAUAGAAACAGUAAAUCAUUGAAUUAUGAUACACUAACACUUUAAAUCUGUAAAUUUCAUUAUAUAUAGUUGAGAGGUAUAAAAAAAACCCAUUAAAAUUAACAGAAUUGGCUUGUUGCAAACCAUCUCCAAAGUAUAAGAGUUUAUCAUUGCUUUCUUAAAAUAUAAAUAAAUAAAUUAACUUAUGAAUGUGAGUUUAUCAUUGUGGUACUAAAAUUUAUAGUAGUAAUUAAAAGAUAAUAAGAAUAAGUAAAAAAUAUUUGUAUUUUUAGCCCUUAUAUUUCAAACUAAACCGGUAACCAUCCUAUUCUGCAGGCCAAUAAAAUUUUGAACAAAAAAAAAGAACUCGAUAUUGAGACCAUUAACUUAACUAUAUCUAAUAAGUUAGGUUAAUCUAAUAAUCUGAUUUAAAUUGAAGGCAACAAUAAAAAAGAAUGAUUAAAAGAAAAGGCAACCCCUACCAAAAGUCUUUAAAUUAAGUUAAUUUUUCAAACUAGAAUAUGUGAAAUUUCAAACUGAGGUUAAACAAUAAGCUUAAAUCCAAAUCAAUUAAAUGAUGAAGGAUGAAAUUGAAUAUUAAAAAAAAACUAAAAACUUUAGCGAAGCGAAAAACACAAGGACAAAAUCUAACAAGGAAAAAAAAUGAUCAAAAGUGAAAUCAUAAAAAAAGUUAAAAGUUACAUUAUAAAAAUGAUCAUAGAUGACAUAAAUAACAAUUAAGAAAUGAGACUAAAUAAGAUAAAUUUAAAAAAUUAAAUGAUGAUGAAAUUGAAAAAAAAAUACUUUUCAUGUGUUAUUUCAAAUAAAAACAAAUAUCAACCAAAAUAUCAGGAACUAAAUAACAAAUAAACAAAAGUAAAAAAAAUCAAAUGAUGAUAAAAUUGAAACAAAUCUUGAUUUUCAUAAGUUAUUUGAAAUAAAAUAAAUAUUAAUAAAACAAUUAGGGAUAAAAUAAAAAAAUAAAGAGAAGCCAAGAGGCUAAUUUGAAAUUUGCGGGGCAUGAUGCAAUAAUAGAUGAACGGAGAGGGAAAAAAGAAGAAGAAAAAAUAGCCACUGAAGUCAAACCGAAGCUCUAUUUUCUACACGCGUCGUUUCUACAUAAGAAAGACACCAAGACAAAUCUAAUGACGCUUAGAAUGGUAUUUUUGGUUGCUAAAAUCAUCUGCACGCACCAUCCGAAGAUAGUGGAGCGUCUGGCGUUUACCCAUCACACACCAUCUUUUUUAAAAAAAAAAUCCUUUUAAUUUUUCAAAAGACAAAAAUAACCUUCACUUUACCUGAUAACAACAAAAAAGCCAAUAUGAUAAUAACCAAAAUACCCUCAAAUACAAGGUAUGAAAAAUUAAAACCCAAGGGUAAGGAGGUAUUCUACAAAAACAAAUUUUCUAGUCGGCCAAAAUAUUUUUAUAUAUAAAGUUAAAUUGAUUAUUUUAUUAUACACUUUAAAAAUAAGAAUACAAAUUUACCUCUCAAUGACACAAAACAAGGAAUUAAUUUUAAGGAUAUUUAUAAUAAUUUAUUGUGUAAUUUUAAAAUAAAUACCUUUUUUACCCUAAUCAAUUUACAAAUAUCAAAAUGAUCUAUUAAAAAGACAACCAUUCUCUAGCUAAAAAGAUUUUUAUAAAGAUAAAAUAGUAAAUUUAAUUUUCCUAUCCACAAUAAAAAAAAAAUGAAUAGGAAACAAUGAAUCCACAGUAUUUUUAUUUUUUUUUGUUUUAUAAUGUGCGAAAGGAAAUGGUUCUUCAUGGAAUUUGCUAAGCUACUUCCAAGUUGCUUCCUCUUUCCAUUAAAAUCCAUGAUAUAAUAUAAAAGAUUCUCUUGUCAUUCUUUGCUUCCUAACUUUUCCCCCACCAGUAAUCACACAAGUCAUAAAAAGCUUGAAAAGUACAGGCUAGGGCUACUAAUCUAUGCAGUUAUCUCAACAUUUUCCCUCCCUAUAUUUGAUAUUCUCAAAUCCAUGAUAGAACAUAAAAGAUUAUGCCAAUGCAUGCACAUGCUAAUUACUUAGCUUAAUUAUGCAAAAUGCUCAUUAAUGUACUUUUUGUCGUAAACAUCAAAAUAGUAUUAUAGUCUUCAAACACUAAUCUUAACCUCAAUCCUCCUGUAAAUGCCAAUCUUAGACACCAUUUGAUUCUGCGUUUGGUUAAAUUUUUUAAAAAAAAAAAUUUAAAAUUGAGUACGGUUUGUAUUUUUUGGAUCGUUUUGAUGUGCUGAUGUCAAAAAUAAUUUUUAAAAAAUAAAAAAACAUCAUUGACAGGUAUUUUGACAUGAAAAACUAUUUGAAAAGCAACCAAUAUCACACUGAUAAACACGCUUUUAGUCAAAGUGAACUUUAAGUGUUUUGCUGUAAUCGAGGAAGUUUUCGUGAAUUGGUCCCUACAUCUAUCCGUAUACACACUUAGCCCUAGCCCAUAAAAUAGAGAUAUACACUGGCCCAUGAAAUAACAUAACAUGCUUGCGUCCAAACAGUCAAACUCCCUUUUCCUUUCUUCUUUCCUUGUCACACAAGGAUUGGGUAUAUAUUGUUACCACGAGGUUCUUUAAUCAAUCCAAGAAGUAGCCGGCUGGGGGAUUUUUAGUCCUUCACGAGUUGCUUUAGGGUUUCUUGAUUGUUGAAGCGUUUUGUGGUCAGUGUUGUUGCAUUUAGUUAGAGAUUUACACAGAAAUAGAUGGUUGGCUUUGUUUUCAGGGUUUUGUCCAAAUGGGGUCUAAACUACCACCACUAAGUUUUUUAAUCAAUCCAAGAAGUCGCCAUUCGAGGAAUCUUUAGUUCUUCAAGAGUUCCUUCAGGAUUUUUAUUAUUUUUUAAGCACUUAGUGGUAAGUCUUACAGCAUUUUUCUUGUAGUAACAGUUUGGUUCUUAUAGUGGGCCAUGGAAAGGUACAGGUUAAUUAAAGAAUUUGGGGGAGGGAACCUAGUGUCCUGAAGGCGAUUAAUAAGAAGUUGUUGCCAUUAAGCAGAUAUGGCGCCGUUUGGUAACUUAGGUUCACCCGCAGCCACACAUAAUUCUGUUUGGUAAGUAAAAUAUUCUGCUUUUUAUUGGUAGGGCCCACGAAAAGUUGAAUUAAAACCGGAGAAGCAACAUUAUGCUGCUUCUCCUGAUUUUAGAAAGCUGGAACAGUGGAGCCAUGCUCCUCUGUACAGUGCGAGUGCAUCAGUUUAGGUUUUUUUUUUUUUUUUUUUUUUCCUGAAAAACCAGAUAAAAUUACAUGAUUUCACUCGUAUUAUUCAUGUGAACGUGAACAAUAUUUUUUUUCAUUUUUUUUUAAAUCAUGAAAACUGUAGUUUUUGUCGAAUGAAUUUUGUACGUAAUGAAAUUGUAAAUUUUUUUUUUAAAAAAUGAGUUUUAGUUGAAAAAAUAGUAUUUAAUAUUAUUUAAUAACACUACAUAAAUUAGAAGGAUAUAGCAUGAUGACGUAGCAUUUGUGAAAUUUGAUCACAAUUCCAAUUAUGUUCUUGCCGUGUCCGACCCAAUUAAAAAAAAUUAAUUUUUAUUUGUAUUUUAAUUGUGUUUUAUUCAAAAAAUUAGAAGGAUAUCACUUGAUGACGUAACAAAAAAUUUAGUUUUUGUUGUUGCGUGUUUAAGAAACCAUGAAAAAUAUAGUUAUUGUUGGAUAGAUUUCGUAUUCAAUGACAUUGCAUAUAGUUUAAUAGAAUAAUAAAAAAUAUUUAAUAUCAAUAUUAUUUAUUUCAUGAUGUAAUAAUAGUAGUUAAAUCUACAAUAUUUAAAUUAAAAGUAUUUUUUAAUUAUUUUAUAACCUCAAUUUGAAAAGCAUUUUUUUAACCAAACACAUUAAACUACUUUUUGUUCAACCUCAAUUUCAACCACAGUUUUAACCAAACAUAUAUUUUUUCAAAUUAACCUCAACUAAAAGUACUUUUUAUAAAAUAACUUUUUUAAAACCACAACCACAACAGCAACCGCAAUACCAAACACACCCGAAGAAACGAUAUGAUUCGUGGGAAGAAUGUUUGAGUUUGAGAGAAUUGAAGUCCUUGCAGAAUUUGCAUCAUCCAAACAUUGUGAUGCUUAAGGAGCUUGUCGCCAAAACAGCACUACAAGAUUUCACAGUUUUACCGACGGCCAUAUUCCAUUGGUGUUUGAUUGAGAGUUCGUCGGUAAAUUAUUUAUCGACUAAAUUCCCGACGGAAUACGCCCGUCGGAUUACCUUUUGUUGGUGAUUCCACAUUCCAUCACUAUAUCGGUCGGAAAAAAAACAAAAACACGUACCGACGGUUUUACAAACGGAAAGUGCGCGCCAAAAAAAAAUUUCCCGUUUGAAACAUACAGACGGAAAAUACUCCGUCGGUGAUAUUGUUAUUACCGACGGAAAAAAUCCAUCGGUACAUUGGUCGGUGUGUGUUUGAGAUACCGACUGAAUAUAUCCGUCUGUAAAUUCGUCGGUGCGUUUCAAAUUCCGACGGAUUAAAUCCGUCGGUAACUCUGUCGGUGAGUGUAUGGAAUACCAACCGAAUUUAUCCGUCUGAAUAUUCGUCGGUGAUGUCCAAUGCCGACGGAGUUAUUCCGUCAGUAAAUCCCUAUGUAAUUGUUUUUUUUUAAAUUAUUUAAAAUACAUAAUAUAAAAUGAUAUAAAUUAAUGGUAAUACAAACCAAUUAUGCAAAUAAAAUUCAUAUUAAGCAUCAAAAAUAAAAAAUCAAAGUUAAAUAAUAUUCAUUACAAAAUGAAUGUGUUUCAAAAACACAUUAAACGAAAUUUUAAAUGUAAAUAAUGUUUAUUAAAAAUUAAUAUAAAGGUGGUGGAGGAGGAGGAGGAGGCUGGGGGUUAGACGGCCAAAAAGGAUUAGGUGCACAUGUUCCACCUUGUGCCAUGUUCAUGACCAUUUGACGAAGCUCUUCAUAGGCCGCUCUUUGUUGUUCAGACUCUGCUAUGUGUUGUUCUUUGAGUUGUUCGUACGCCACUCUUUGCUGUUCUUUGAGUUGUGUGUACGCCUCUGAUAGGUGGUCGCACUUUUGCUGCAAGGCCACGAACUCCUUAGAUUGGGAGCUCGAUACUGAUUGGGAGCUCCCGACGGUUGAAGCAGUAUCGGCCAACCGCAAGUUGGCGGCCGUAGUGUUGGAGAGCCCGUAAACCCGAUUUUUAUCGGGUCCACCUGACGAUCCAGCCUCCAUCCACAAAUCCGGAUCGAAUUCCGGAUGGGUCGAAGGAUCGUCCCCGUAUCUCUCCCUCAACCGAUUAUUAUAGGUCUCCUGAAAAAAAAAAAGUAAUCAUCAUAUUCAAUUCAAUAAACAUAAUAAUAACUUACAAAAUAAAAUGGUUGAACAAACAUACCACAAACUGUUGAGCACGGUUGUCAACGAACUGUUGCGUCCCCUUUUGGCGGUCUUGACUCCGCACGUGCGUCUCCACAAACAGCUCCAUAGGGCUCAGCUCACGUCCAAGAGACGUAGCCUAUAAUGAAAAAAAAUUUAUUAACAACAAAUUAAUUGAACGAUAUAUUUCAUUUAAAUUAAUCUUACCAUCUGUUUCGCAUGUGCAGCAAACGGAACGGAGCCGCCGGUGUGCGUUGUGACCGAGCCAUGAAUUGGCCGAUUCCGGUUGCCAGCACCGGACUGUGAGCAUCGUGUGAACCGCUCAGACGUCAUGCUGAAGAUAGUGCGGCCAUAUAUCUUCCGGGAUGUAUAUCGGUUUGAAAUCCCUCCAAACCGCAACAUCGUUCCAGCCUUGGAACCCCUUAUCCCUCGCUUUUUUUUUGCCUUUUUUUGGGUUUCGUACCAAAAAUCACGCAACCUAAUUCACACAAGCAAAAAUUACAUUUCGAAACAUAAAUUUUUAUGUAAAAAAAAAGUUGUAUUGUUUUCGAUGUUACCUAAUUGCCGCGUGAUUUUCCCACACCCUCCUCACAACAGUGUUAUGUUCAUCGUCCCAGCAGAAUCGAUGCUGUGUAUAAAAAAUUAUUUUUUAAAAUGUUAAUAAUUUAUUUACAAUUAUAUGUAGAAUUUAUUAGAAAUAAGCUGAAAAUUAUAUAUUAACACGAACCUCAAAUCUGCGAAACCAUGCAUUGAUUUGAGGCAUCCAUUCAGGAUGCCUGGAUAUCUGACUCCAUUGAAACAAUGGAAUCUCCUCGACGCUUUAAACGCCGAUGAUAUUACUCGGGCGGCCUCAAUGUUUGUGAACCUGAAAAGAAAUGAAAUUAAUGAAAUAGUGAUUACUUCAUAAAUUAUGUUUUAAAUUUAUUUUUUUAAAAAAAAAAAAAAAACUAAAACCUUAACAAACUUACAUUGAAAGAUCUUCCUUCCACUGUGCCUCGUACUUGCGGGUAAAUUGAUUCCGCUGCGAAGGCACGCAGCUUCUGCGAUGUGAAACAUCACUGGAAGAGGCAACAUCGGUUGACGACCCAAGUGGUGUAGGUGCCUCUUCUUGAGAGGCACCUAAGGAAAUAUCAGCAUCGCUGCUAGACGAACUUGAUUCGACUGGACGUGUAGCUUUGGUUUUCAUUAUGCGCAUCUAAACAAUUUUAUAUAAAUAAUUAUAUAAUAAAUUCAAAAGUUAAAAAAAAUCGGCAGCACCUCCCCUAUACUGGAUACUACCCAAAUCCACAAACCUGCAAAUAUUAACAAUAGCCACAACCAAUUGACCCAAUCUAUACUAAUUAUUCCAACAUAUUCAAUUACUAAUCCUAAGAUAAAUUCAACAUUAACAAUUACAAUUCAACAAAUUAUUCAAUAAUUAUGUCAAUACAACAAAACUAUAAAUUCAAAAUAAAUAGAAACAAUUAAACACAAAUCAUCAAGUUAGAGUAAAAUUAAUAAUUCUUCCAACAUAUUCAAUUACUAAAUCUAAGAUAAAUUCAACAUUAACAAUAUUAAUUCAACAAAUUAUUAAAUAAUUAUGGCAAUACAACAAUAAAAUAUAUUCAAUAAAUUAAAUAUAAACUAACAAUUAAACAUAUGCAAUUACUAAUCAACAAAUGCAAUUACUAAUUUAAGGUAAAUUCAACAUUAACAAUAUUAAUUCAACAAAUUAAUCAAUAAUUAUAUUGGCAAUACAACAAAUUAAAAAAAUAUAUAGACUAACAAUUAAAAUCAAUGGAAAUAAUUAAACACAAAUCAUGAAAUAAUAGAGUAAAAUUACUAAUUAUUCUAACAUAGUCAAUUACUAAUUCUAAGUUAAAUUCAACUUUAACAAAAAAUAUUCAACAAAUUAACUAUUAACAAUUAUGACAACACAUCAAUGAAAAAAAUUCAAAAAAUUCAAAAAAAAAAACCUACAUCAAGAAAAGGAACGAAAUAUACGUACCUUAAUAAUGUGUCAAUUCAAAACUUUAUCUACAUUAUAAAAAAAUACACCAAAACAACAAAAUAACAAAAAUAAAAACAACUAAAAAUAAAAUAAAAUAAAAUAGAAAAAACCACAUACCUUUAUUCAAAUCUUGCAAGAGAUUCAAGGUGAAAGCCUUGAAGGAUUGAGAGCAAAAAACUGAAAAUUAUAGGGCAACGAAGGAGAAGAAAAACAGAGGAGAAAAAAAAAUGAGGCGAAGCGGCGGGCGCUGAAAGUUAUAGGUUAUAUGGCAGAUUUACCGACGGAUUUACCAACGGAUAUUAAAAAAAUAUUAUUAAUUUUUUAAAUCCGUCGGAAACAGGUCAAAAGUCUGUCAGUGAUUCCGUCGGUAAUAUGACACGGUCAGCGGUGCAUUCAAUUCACACACUUUGGAAAUCGCACGGGCCGUCGGUAUUUCUAUCGGUAAUAUUUGAGACCGACAAAUUACCGACGGACGUAUUCUGUCGGUAUUGGCGUCGAAAACUCUGUCGGUGUGUCCGUCAGUGAUUGUGGUAUUUUGUUGUAAUUAUUUUCGAACUCUCUGUGAGAUACCGACGGAUGGAGGUCCAUCAGUGUUGCUGUCGGUGAUUGUGGUAUUUUGUUGUAAUUAUUUUCGAACUCUCUCUGUGAGAUACCGACGGAUGGAGGUCCGUCGGUGUUGCUGUUGGUGAUUGUGGCAUUUUGUUGUAAUUAUUUUCGAACUCUCUGUGAGAUGCCGACUUAAUAUAAUCUGUCGGUGUAAGUGUCGGUGAAUCCGUCAGUGAUGGCGUCGGUGAUUGUGGCAUUUCGCAUAAUUAAUUUUGAACUCUCUAUGAGAUGCCGACGGAUGUUUAUCCGUCGGUAUGGACAUCGGUAAGUUUGCAUUUUGCAGGAAAGGUUGUAUUUGUAUUGCCUAUUUACUUUCCUGCAAAAACUUAACUGAUAAACUGUCCAUCGCAUAAAACAAUAACAACAUUGCUUAAACAACAAAUAUUUUGUUUUACAAAAUACAUCAUCCAUCAUCUAAAUUACAUGAGAAAAAUGGUUUUACAUAGGGCUUCAUUUUGAUAGUUAGUCGGAAUUUUCUUCUUCUUCCUCAUCAAUUGAAUUGUCAUCAUCUUCAUCGCAAUCUUCAAUAUGGAUAUCAUCUUCUUCAUCGACAUUUGCUUGUUCGCUAGAGCUCAGAACAACAUUCAACUCCUCUCCGUCAUUAUCAACAAGACUAUCAUUGAGAACUCAAAAAUUUGAAUUUUCUUCCAAUUCAAUCGAAUGAGCAACUCGAUAUGGUUCAACCAACUCACGAACUUGAAAGACUUCAUCUCGCACACUUGUGUCUUCGUUCUCAUCCUGAACAACCUCGACACGACCCCGUGGUUUCGUUUUUAAAACGGACAACCAAUCAACUCUUGACGAUCCUUUCUAAAUGAAGGGGUGUAUGUGUAAUAAACUUGUUGACAUUGCUUUGCGAAAACAAAGACAUCAUUUAUGUUGCGGAGUCUAGCUUUUGAGUUGAUUUUGACCAGACCAUGGUGCGGAUCAACUCUGAUUCCUCUAUCCGUUGUGUCAUACCAAUAGCAUUUGAAUAAAAACACUUUAUUCUGCUCGCUAUGAUAUUGCAGUUCGACGACCUCUUCUAAUCUACCAUAGUAGUCAACUUCUAACUGGCUACUUGUGGAUCCCUUAACACAAACACCGCAGUUGUAUGUCUUUCUUCCUUGCCCGUAUUCUUCAGUAUGGAAAACAUAUCCAUUGACAAAAUACCCGUUGUAGCACUUAACUUUUCUUUCAGGGCCGAGGCUUAGUGAAGACAAUGACUUGGGCGCACUCCUUCCCAUUUGAUAAACCUUGUAAAUAUAUGUAAUUAAAUGUACAAUAAACACGGUAAAUGAACGAGAAUCUCGUAAUGACAUGCAUACGCAUACGUUAGAAUGAGUUUGUGAUAGUGCUUACAUGUGUUCUGAACCAUGUGGCAAAUUGUUCAUCUUGUAAUUGAAAGAUCUGGGAUUCGGUCAGCUGCGAGUUAUUGGAGAGCAAAUAUUGUCGAUGUUGCCUGCAAGUGAUAAUGAGUGUAUGAUAUUACAAUAUAUAAUUAACAGUAUAUUACUGACAAAGUUUAAUUAGUAUUACACAUAUAUAGACUUACUGAAUAAAUGGUCUCAGCUCAUCACAGUUAAAUAGAACAUAGUUGUGUGCUUGUUUGAAUUCUAUUUCCGACAAAUAUCUUCCUCUUACGGCAUUUUUAGGUGUGGGUCGUCCAGUAUUGGAGAAUAUUGACAAGUUCCCACUGGAAGGCACUUCACCGCCAUCGUCAUGCCGUGGAACGCGAUUGAUUCUUGUUCUCAGAUGAGGUUCGAAAUAGUACGAGAUAAAUGUUGAUAUCUCUUCAACAAUAUAGGCCUCAGAUAUCGAAGCCUCAACAUGCGCCUUGUUCUUAACCUUUUUUUUUAGAUUAAACAAGUACCUGCAUUGAAGUACAAUUCAAGUAUUUUCAAUUAAGAAAAACAUAGAAAAUACUUUAAGAUAUGAAUUCCAUUGCAACUGUAAUAUCUCACCGUUCGAAUGGGUACAUCCAUCUAUACUGGACCGGUCCUCCAGCUUUUGCCUCGAACGGUAGAUGUAUAGGGAGAUGCUCCAUUGAGUCAAAAAAUGAAGGAGGGAAUAUCAUCUCAAGUUUGCAUAGUGUCUCGAUGAUAUUCGUUUGAAGCAUCUCAAUGUGCUCAACAUUCACUUGCUGGAGCAUAUAUCUCUGAAGAAAUGACUGAUCUCCGUUAGUGCAUCCCAUAUUCCCUUUGGCAACAAAUCACGAAAAGCUAAUGGGAUGAGUGUUUGCAUAAACACGUGGCAGUCAUGACUCUUCAUUCCAUACAAUCUGCAGUCCUCUAUGUUAACAAGCCUUGAUAUGUUCGAUGCAUGUCCAUCCGGGAAACGCAGACUCUUAAGCCAUUUGUAGACUAGCAGUUGUGCGUUUUUCUCUAACACGAAGCUUGCCCUUGGUUUUGCAACCCGUGACUCUCAUAAACCAACUCCAUAUUUUUACGGUUACAGUAUAAAGCUAUAUCCAAUCUAGCCUUCAUGUUGUCCUUUGUCUUCCCCUUCACAUCCAUGACGGUGUUGAAAAUAUUCUCAAACACGUUCUUUUCGAUGUGCAUGACGUCAAGGUUAUGGCGGAGAAGAUUAGUCUUCCAAUACGGAAGCUCCCAAAAGAUACUUCGCUUUACCCAAUUAUGGGUCAAACCAAAACCAGGAAACUUUUGCUUACCUGAUUGAAGGCCAAACACAAUGUCACCGUACUCUGAUACAACAUGAUGCAAUUCUUCACUAGAAAGACGCGGGGAUGCAACAUCUUUUUCAACUCUACAAAGAAAUCUUUUAUGUUCUUUCUGAACCUGUGAUUAAGUGGCAAGAAGCGACGGUGACAGUCAAAAAAAGAAGUUUUACCUUCGUUUGCUAGCGUGAAUGCCUUGUUGUUUUCCAUGCAGUAUGGACAUGCGAGUUUCUCAUGCGUGCUCCAACCAGAAAGCAUUCCAUAAGCUGGAAAAUCACUGAUAGUCCACAUCAAAGCCGCCCUCAUAAGGAAAUUUUGUUUCCUCGAUAUAUCAUAAGUCAGAGAUCCGGAGGACCACAACUGCGCCAGCUCAUCUAUCAACGGUCGAAGACAAACAUCUAUAUUCCGCCCCGGGCUGCUUGGACCGGGUAUGAUAGUAGAUAGAAACAUGAACUCCGGCCUCAUACACAUUCCCGGUGGCAAGUUAUAAACUGUGAGAAUGACCGGCCAACAAGAAUAGGGAGCAGCAAAUGACCCAAAUGGGUUGAACCCGUCUGUACACAACCCAAGUCGAACAUUCCUUGAUUCAGCAGAAAAGUCAGGAUGAACACUGUUAAAGCGUUUCCACGCUUCGCCGUCAGAAGGAUGCACCAUCACACCAUCAACGCAUCGUGUGUUUGGUGCCAUGUCAUGUGCUCAGCAGUCCUUGGUGACAUAAAUAACCUCUGCAGUCUAGGUGUGAUCGGGAAAUAUCUAAGUUUUUUAUAUGCCACUAGAGUCUUCCCCUGCCAGUUCUGGGUUUGUAACGGGAAUGCCCGCAUGUCAUGCACUCGGUCAUCUCAGCAUUUUCAAGGUAGUAUAACAUAGAAGUUAGGGCACAUGUCAAUUUUCUGGUAUCCUAAACCGAGGGGUUUCAUCAUGGACUUCGCAGCAUAGAAGUUCUCUUUGAGCCUGUUCCCUUCAGGUAAAAUGCUUCUUGCCCAAUCAAUAAUUUUGUCAUACCCGGCCUCACUCAACCCGUGAUCUGACUUGAUGGUGAACACCUGUGCCACCGAUAAUUUACUGUGGUUUGUGCAGCCAUCCCAUAAUGGUUCGUCAGAAUCUUUCAACAAAUCAAAAAACCUAGCUGCAUUUGCAUUAGGUUCUUCUUCUAUGAUUGGACAUUGAUUGACAUUACCUUGAUUCAUUCUCAUUGCAACCAUAACCAUGUUUCUGUAAGGAUUAGUGUUGUCAUUUACCGCUUCAUGCACGUUGCUAGCACUAGAAGUUGACCCAACCACCGUUUCUCCCAUUCUCCUAUUACUAACAAAUACCUCUCCAUGUGCAUACCAACACUCGUAAUCCUCCACAAACCCUUUGUGUAGAAGAUGCAUCAUUACAACAUCUGGAUGCAGAUACUUUUUAUUUUGACAAUUCUUGCAUGGACACCUAAUACCGCCUCCAGUAAAAUUUCUAGGAAUAGAUGUUGAGAAAUUAAUAAAACCCUGAACCCCGUUACAAUAAUCCAUCCUCCGCAAUCCUUGGGGUGAAUCUAGAUACAUCCAUGAACGAUCAUCCAUGACUUCUAUCGAACCUCUAUAAAAUUAUGAUGACAUCAUGUAUAUAUUAAUUAACUAAGUUAGGUAAAUAAACUUGUAACAACUUCUCAUAAAUAUUAAUAUUCAUUAUCAUUUAUCAACGUUCAUACAAAAUAAUAUAUAUAUAUAUAUAUAAAUUAACAGAAAUUACCACUCUGCAAUACCAUAUAUAAAACUUUAAAAGGACCCAUUAAGCAAGCUAUUAAUUAUUUCAAAACAUAAUAUAUAAUUCGGUAAUUCCACAAAGUUUUAACAAUUUACAAACAAAUACAAUCUUACAAAAUCUAAAACAAACCACAACAGGUAUAAAAUUAUACAUUCAUAUACUAGCUACAAGUUUGUUUGAGAAAUAACAAUAAAACAUGUACAUCUACUAAUAAAAAUACAUAUACUAAAAAAACAAUAAAAUUGACAUUUAAAUGUUAAAAUUUUAAAAAGAUAGAAUUACUUACAAAAAUUGAUAAAAUCCGUCGGUAAAUUAGAACACGGAUGCUGUGACCACAAAACUUCAAGAAAUACAACUUGUUGUGCUGAGAUGAGGAAGAUUUUUGUUUAGGGGCGAGGAAGGGGCUGGUUAUUUACAGAUGGGGAGACUUAGGAUUAGGAAUAAGAAGGAGAAAUGAGGGAGGAGAGUGUCGGUAGAGUGACCAUAUAUUCACUUUUACCGAUGGAAUCAUCGAUGGCAUAACAUCGUCGGUGACUCCGUCGGUAAUUCUAACGGUAAAUAGGCACGUCACCGUACGAACCUGCUUUUCAAAUCCCUCGGUGAUUCCGUCGGUAUUUUUUACGGUGCACCAGUCACGUCACCCGUACAGAUCUGGCAUUUCAAAUCCGUCGGUGAUUCCAUCGGUAUUGUUGACGGUGAAUCGGUCCGAUCACACGUACGGGUCCCCAGUUUUGAAUCCGUCGGUGAUUCUGUCGGAAAAAUCAUCCGCGCCAGCUACCCGCCCUUUUUUCAUUAAUUCUGAACUUUCCGUCCGUCGGUGAUUUCGACCGCAAAAUAUCGACAGAAAUAUUCCAUCGGUGAUUCCAUUGGUAUUUAGCGAAUUUCUAGUAAUGUAGUAUUAAAAAUUUAAGAUUAUCAAAUAAUUAAACUUUUUAUCCAAACCAAUAAAUUUUAUGUGUCUAUUUUAAAAUUUGGUUUUAAAAAGAAAAUCGAAAUGACAUAACAAACAAUACCUAUAAAUCUUUUAUAUUACAGAUUAACAUAACCAGUGCACCCAUUUAUCAUUCUUAAGGUCAAUAUUUAGAAAUAAAUAAAUAAAAGUUACGUAACAAUAUUUAAUUUAAGUAACCUCAAAGACUACUAAUUUAGCUUUUGAUAUUAAAAGGGCGUAUGUCUUUACUCUCUGUCUAAUUGAUGAGGCAAAUAUCAGGUCUUCUAUCACCGCUACUCCCUGCUAACUCUUUGCCUCAUAUCUUAAGUUAUAUCUAUCAAGUUUGCUUAACUUAAGAUGGAAUAUUUAUGACUUUAUAUGUAUUAAAUCCAUAUAAUUGUUUUGACCUAUCAUGAUAAACAUGACGUCAUCAUAUUAUAAAACCAAAAUUCAAUGGUGUAUCUAAUUAUCAAAAAGGUAUAAAUAUUGCUAGGAAGUUAAACGUGUGGACCACCCCAAUUAUGAAGCUUGGAAGAAGAUGCCUAGAAAAUGUAAACACGUGAAUAUUGGAAACAAUUACAUCCUUUCCUUUUUAAUUUUUUUUUAAUUUUUUUAAAUUUUUUUAAUAAAAAAAUAAUAAUAAAUAUGUGAUUAAUUAAGAGCAGGUGAUUGCUUUUGUUUUUAGUUGUUUUUUCAAAAAAGAUAAAUAGAUUUUUUUAAUGUUUUUUUUAAUUUUAAUGUAUUAGUAUUAAAAAUAAAAUAAAUAAAUAAAUCAUGUAGUCUAUUUCUAAAUCAAUAUGAUUUUGAAGGUAAAGAAAAAAAAUCAAUUAAAAAAAAAAACAUAUUCGAUCAGUGGGUAAACCUGUCAAACCUGUGAAUCAAGUAACUUGAGCUAACACAUCAAACUCAUAAACAAGGUUAUGGAUUCCAAUAGGAUUAUAUUUUUUUUUUAAAAAAUUUAUUAUUUAACAAUAUGAUAAUAAAAAUAGAUAAUUAUAAAAUUAAACACCAGCCCAAUAAUAAUAUAUAUAUUUUUAGACCGCGAUAACAUCAUACAAAGAAAAAUAAAACCAAUUAUGAAACUAAAUUCUAAACCAACCCAAAUAUGAAAUAGAAAAAAUUUUAAAAAAUUGAUAACCAAAAAAAGGAAAGGAAAAGAAAAAAAAAGAGAAGAAAAAGCAAAACACUAUAAAUUAUUACUGUAAUCUAUAAUAAAAUGGGUGUGGGUGAAUAGCUAUUCUCCAACACCGUUUAGCUUUUUUAAAAAAAUUAAUAAGCAAAAAAAAUACUUCAUUAAACCAAUAAACUAGUAUAAAACAUGUUAACUUUAUAAAAAAAUAAAAUAAAAAUAAAUAAAUUAUAAAGUUAAAUUUUAAAUCAUCCAAUGUGAAAUAAACAAAAACAAAUUUUAAAAAAUAAAAUAAAUAAAAUAAAACACAUUGGAUUACUUAUUAUAAUUUACAAUGAAAUGGGUGUGAAUACGUCUCUUAACUAUUUGUGAGCUUCUUAUUCGUUCUUAGUUUUUCUUGUUUUUUUUUUCUCUGGUGGAAUUCCCACACGUCUUCUUUAUGGGCAGCCCCAUUUUUAAACCCGCUUUUUCAUCACGUUCCCGUGUCCCACACGUUUUCAUCAAAAACCUAAAUUUUAGGACUUCUUUGGCAGCCAUCUAAAAAUAUAUAAAAAUAAUAUUUUUAUCUUUUAAAAAUUAUUUUUACCAUCACUACAUUAAAAUAAUUUAAAAAUAUAAAAAAAUUUAUUUAAAAAAAAUCAAAAUUUUUAAAAACACAAGCAUUCCCAAACAAGGUAACGCGUCAAGAAUCACAACAAUAUGACAUGUUAGUGGAAAGUUGUGAUUAGAAAACAUGACUACUUUUAGAGUGAUUUUGACCGCGUAGCACGAAAUGUGCAUGCUUUAGUUUUUUUUGUCAAAAAAAUCAUCAUCAGAGACUAUUUUAUAUACCGGGGAGCUUGUUUUGAACGCGAUAGUAAUGAUAUUUUAAAGUAUGUUUUAUCUAAAAAUAUAUAAAAUAAUAUUUUUAUUUUUAAAAAAUUAUUUUUAACAUUAACAUAUUAAAAUAAUCUACAAAUAUAAAAAAAUUAUUUAUAAAAAUCAAAAAUUUUAAAAACACAAGCAGUCCCAAACAAGAUAACGCAUCAAGAAUCACAACAAUCUGACAUGUGAGUGGAAAGUUGUGAUUAAAAUACUUAAAGUACAUCCAGGCUAUUUCCAAGGAAAAAAAAAAACAUUACUACUUUUAGAGUGAUUUUGACAGGGAAGCAAGAAAUGUAAUUAUUAUUAUUUUUAAAAUAUUUUUUUAUUUAUAAGUAUAUUAAAAUAAAAAUUGUUAAUUUCGUUUCGUUUUAUUUGUAAUGGUUUCAUAUCAAUUCAAAAAAUAAAAUAAAACAAAAUAACUUUUAUCUUAUUUCAAAUCUCGGUCUCUUCCAGAUUUUUUGGCUAAAUUUCGUUCAGAAUGUUCCGGUUUCAUUCCACAAGUUCUAUUCCGGUCUUAAAAAGCCAUUGAAUCAAAUUGAACCUAGUUCAAUUAAUUAAUUAAACCAUUAAAGUAUAAAAAACUCUUUUUCAUUAGUAUUUUCAUUAACUAUGAUAUUAAUUUUUUAAAAUUAGAUUUAUCAUUAAUAUAUAUGGUUAUAUUCAUGUUAUUUUUUUUCAAGUUUAUACUUUGUAGGAAUUUAGGCCAAAAAAUGGAUGUUUUAGAUCUCAUUAGUCUUGAUAACAUUGAUCUAUCUUUAUAUUUAAAAUAUUAGUGUUAAAAUAUUUUAAUUUCAUGAUAUUUUGAUAUUUUAUUGAAGUUGAAUUGUUUUAAAUUAAAAAUUAUUUAAUCUUAAUUAUUUAAAAAUAUUUGAAAUUUUAAAAUUAUAUUUCAUCACGUCUCAUGAACCCCGUUGUGUCAAAAACAAAUUGCCUAAAAUUUAGGCUUUAGCAGUUCCUUUUUUGAAAUCCUCAUUAGUGAAAUUUCACGACUGCUUUAGCGGUUCCUUUUUUGUGUGCUUUCAUCUUAAAUUCAUGACCAAAAGGUAAAAUAUUCUACUUUCUAGUUUAGUAUUAAAUUUAGUAUUUAAAAAAUAUGUUUAUGAAUAUGGCAGUUUCAGGUUUAGAAACCAAAACUGCCAUAUUCAUACUCUCUCUUGGACAUUUUAAAAAUGUGUAGAAUACUUUUUAGUGAUGAUUUAUAAUAGUGAAUAGAUUUAUUAUUUUAUUAGGUUACUUUAAUGAUAAAUCAAUAUAGUAUUUUUUUUAUUUUUUGGAUUUUCAUCUUAGGGAAACUCAAUAGGAUGAAAAUAAAAUAUUAAUCAAACUUAAAAUUAUAAUUGUUUAUCUAUCCAAUUAAAAAAAAUAUGACAAUUCAGUGGUCUUUAAUGAAAUAAAAAAAAAUGAAAAAUGUUAUUUAUGUAAUUGUAAGCACACUAUAUUAUAUUACUUUACAAAGGGACGACGGACAUCCUUUCCAUUAGGAUUUCUUUAAGAGAUGGGGGACGAGAUGGCUGGUCAUUUUCAAGCAACGGAAGACAAAUUGGCAUCCUCUUUAGCUUCUCACAAGAUAUAAUUACCUUAAUAUCUUUAAGAGAAUUACAAAUCAGUUUUGCAUUGCAAAUGCUUUUUAGUUCCGGUAAGCCACAAAAUUUCACCUACCAGAGAAUUACAAAUCACAAGAAGGAAGUUGCUAGGAAGGAAGCCACAAAAUUUCACCUACCAGAGAUUAUAUUAUAAGAUAUGGCAAGUUGCUGUACACCUCAAAUUUGCUUUUCUUUUGUCUAGCGCUGCAUAUAAUUAAAAACUUCAACAAAAGAAUCAGAAGCUAAUUGCUGUCUGAGUUAACGUGUGGACCCACCCCAUUGUUGAAACUUUGGAAAAAGCUGGCCUGAAAAUGUAAGAGCCUGAAGCUUAGCUUCAAGAGCUGUAGCAAAGCAUUGACCGUCAUUAUCUGAUCCACUCCAACUUCCAUUCCCUACAAAUUUAACGAAGAACAGCAUUAGCAAUAAAAAGAGUUUUAUAUAUAACUUAAAGAAAUUCUAGUUAUGAAUUAGCAAAAAAAAAAAAAUCGUGCUUAGGGGUACUGAAACUACCGUUUUAUAGAUAACUUAAGAAAUUUUACUUAUGAUUACCUACUUAGUUCACAUCUUGAGCUUGAGAGCUCAGGCAGAAACACAAGUUUGAUCGCUCCCAGAAAGGUUCAAAAACUGCUUUUCCUAGUUAGCAUUUCCAUGAGCAGUAAGCGUCCUAUUCGUUUCGUUGCCCACGCUUAGUUUCGAGGUGUCAGCAACGUUCUUCUGAGCAUAAAUUCUUCUUUAAAACAAAAGGCGUAUAUGGUGAUUGUAAGGCAUAAUCCCGCAAAGUGUUCCAGUUUUUUUGCCUCUAUGACAUGGAUAUGGCUUCUCAUUAGUGAAAAAGCUAAAUGCUGUUUAUUGCACGCUGCUAGUUGGGAUAUACAGAACUCAGUUAAACCCAGCAAGUCGCUGCAUCAGACUUAAAACUCCAUAGCAGUCAGCACAAUCUAUGAAGAUAAAAUUGAAAACAAAACAAUCAAUGUAAACACAUGAAAAUGAGAAAGAAUAGCAUAUUUCCGCUUUUGAAAAAUCAUUCAUCACUUUUAAAUACGCAAAUGAUUAUCCCUAUUAAGAAAAUUCAACGACAACAAUAUACUCAAGAGCAGGGGCGGAACUAGGGGAGGUAGGCAGGGGUCCGGGCCAAAAUAUUUUGAAGGUUUGUAUUUUUAAUGUUUAAAUAUAAUAUAAUAUAAUAUAAUAUAUUUUUAAUUUAAAUAGAUAAGAUUUUUAAUAAUAAAUUAUAUUUUGAGUUUUGGCCCUUCCUAUUAUAUCAUUUCAGCUCCGCACCUGUCAAAAGCAAUAUUACAGUAAAGAAAUUAAAUCAAUACAGAUAAAUAUAUGAUCCAAAAAUAAUUAAAGAAUCAAUCCAUUUAAUCGAAAAAAACAUGACUGAAUCCAUAAACUAUAUGCCAUUCUUUUUCUAAAGGAGGCAGCCCCACUUUUUCAUUAGGUCGCCAUGGUCCCCGUGUCCCACACGUUUUUAAGUGCGUCCAGGCUGGUUCAAAGGGAAUUUCACGACUUGUCUGCGAGAGCUUCAACUCUACAUUGAAAUGUUUUUUCUUAAUCUGUGAGAGCUUCAUAAUAAGCUUAUUGAAAUAAAUUAUUAUAAUGAAAUUAAAAACAAAAAUGCUUAAAAAAAAACAGAGAGACGCCGUGUUUUCUCUAUUGCUACAAGGUAAAAGUCUGAGCAUAUUUUUUUAUUUAUUUUUUUAUUUUUUAAUAAUAUUACUGUUGUAUCUACCGCCUAGAAAUCAAGAACGCUAGUUUCAUUUAAAAGAUUCUGAAGUUCAUAUUUAGAUAAAUUAGCAGAAAGGACGGAAACACAACAAAUCAUACCCAGAGAAUCAAAAGCCAGAAACAAGCUACCUCAAUUCCUGCUCCACCUGGCUAAGAAAUGCAGCAUGCCCACUUGGAAUUACACAUCAUCCAAAUUCCAUGGCAAAUAAUUGGUUGGAAUUGUUUCCUGUGGAGUCUUUCAAAAUUUGAAAAUAAAAACAGAAAAUAGAUCCAGCAAAUGAUUCCAAAUAUCUUAUAAAAAUAACAAUGAAAUAUGUUUUUUAUUUACUGUAAGGAAAUAUAUUAAUGGAAAAAAUAAAAAAUAAAUCAAUUUAAAAAAUAUAUAAUAAGUCAAAAUCUAGACUUAAAAUCUAACUCGUAUCAGGUUCCUAGUUGAAUUGAAUAAUUGAAUAAGAAGGUGGGAAAGGGAGAGAGCGAAAGGUAUCAAACAGGAAAAAAGAAAAAAAAAGAAAAAAAAAAAGGAAAGAUCCAUAUUGUAGUAGUAUUCCGGAGGAGAGGGUCAAAGAUGGCGGCUGGUUCAAAGGACGAGCUUAAUCUCAUGAAUCAUUUUUUAACCUUUAUCGUAGGACUUGACACGUGUCCUCUAAACCCUCCUGUCCCUCUUCCGAUCCUUGCUAAACCCUUGUUCUGGUCGUAAUCAUCCAUUAGCGUAAACCUACGCUUCUCUUGACUUUGAUCCCAAUAAACCAACCUAUAGAGUUGGUGGUAAUGUAAUUGAUAUUAUUUUUUAAAUUAUUUUUAUUUUAAAAAAUAUAAAACUAAUUUUAAUGUGUUGGCAAUAAAAAAAAUUAAAAAUAUUUUAUUAAUGUAUUUUUAUUUGAAAAAUAUUUUUUUAAAAAUCGUAUGUAGAAUUACUAAACACCCUUAAGCCGGUGGACAAACACACAAACGAGAAAAUACAAAGGAAAAGGGAUAAAAGCAUAUAUUUGGAGAUGAUAAAAGGGCAUUGAGAUCAAAGAGGAUAAGUUUUCCAGUGAUGGGAUUGGAUGUUGAUGAAAGAUUGUGUGGAUAAGAGCAUAGUAAUUAAUUAUUUACUAAAAAGUUCUUCAGUGACCUAAUUCCGUGGCCCACAAAAUUAUCAUUAUCCAAUAAACUAUUUGAUUAAUUCAGUGUUGCUUAAUCCCAGUUUGCUAUUGCGUUUUAAAUGGGUAUUGGUUAAAUUUUAUUUUUUUAUAUUAUUUUGAUGGGUUGAUAUAAAAAUAAUUUUAAAAAAAUAAAAAUAAUUUUAAAAAAUAUUAUUAUAACACCAACUUAUGAUAAUUUUCUUUAUUGAUUAGUGAAUUUGAUUAGACUAAGAAUCUCCAUCACAGCCCAACAUCAUUAGCUUAUCUGCCAUCCCUUUCAAGAGAAGAAGAUUUCGAAUCAGUCCAUUCAUUCCCAUCUGUAGCAUCUUUCUCAAGCGUCAAUGGAGAAUUACUUCUGGAUUCUGAGUUGCCAAUAAAAAACAAAAAACCCUUAUAAACUAGUUCGUCUCCCAGUUCUUAAAUUAGUUUCCACAUUGUUUUUCACAAUUUUUAAAGAAAAAAAAAAUAAAAAUAUGAUCAUAAGCUAUAUAUCUAACACUCACUUGAAAGAAACUGAUAACCAUGCAAGCAUUUUACAUGGCAGUAUUUGAUAUGGGGUAAGAUUUUGGAGACAAAUUAGAGUACUCAAAUUGAAUGUACUAGGUGAAUUGCCUGCGCGGUGCUGCGGGUUAUAACAUGAACUGAGCAAAAUCUAAAGGCACUGAGAUCAAACUGAGCAACCACACAGAGUAAAUCUGAAAACAUUGUAACCAUUGAGAUCGAACUGAGCAACCAUUUUGGAAAAAAUAAAAUUUAAAUUAUUUUUUUAAAUGUUUUUUAAUCAUUUUAAUAUUAUGAUAUUAAAAAUAUUAUUUUAAUAUAUUUUUAAAUAAAAAAUAUUUUGCAACGCAACUUUUACCUCACUCUUAAAUAAAUCCUUAUUCUAUUGCACAUAAACAUAUGUUUUCAUGUAUAGUGGAUUAACCAAUCUUUUUAGUUUUCUUAUAUUGUUCAUAAAGACCGGAAACGCUUAAAAAUAAAAUUUUAAUAAUCAAGAGAAAAAAAAAUAGUUGAAUUUUUGUACCUCUCACAAGAAAAAUAGAUAGAUGUAUGAAAUUUUAUUCUAAAUAUAUUCUUAUAAAAAUUUCAAAAUUCCAAUUCAUGUAACUCGAUUAUUAUUCUUUUUUUAAGUUUCUUCUCUCUCUCCCUCUCUCUUUUUUCUUUUUAAUCUGUAUUAUGCAUUUUUAAAAUAUAAUUUAUUGCUAGUUAAUGAUAUAAGAUGAUUUGUACUAGUGAAUAGAUCUAUUAUUUUAUUAGGUUAUUUUAAUGAUAAAUCAAUAUAGUAUUUGUUUUUGGGAUUUUCAUCUUGGAAAUACUCAAUAGGAUGAAAAUAUAAUAUUAAUUAAACUUUAAAUUAUAAUUAUUUAUCUAUCCAGUUAAAACAAAUAUGACAGUUUAAUAGUCUUAAAAGAUAACGAAAUAUAAAAAAAAAUGAAAAAUGUUAUUUAUGUUAAUUGUAAGCACACGAUAUAAAUAAGAAAUAUUUCAUAUUAAUAAACGCUUUACGAGUCCAAUCAAUCAGAUGUUAAUUAACAUAAAGAAAUUAACAUGGUGUUUGCAGAGAAUGAAUUGUAGAAAGAGAGAUUGAGAGUGUGAGCAAUAAAAGAUGAUGCUUACCCUUUAUUCUAUAUUAUAUUAUAUUAUAAUAUAGAUUGAGAAGAUAACCUUACAAAGGGAAAAAAGACAUCCUUUGCGUGAGGAUGCUCCCCCUCCAUUACUGUCUCCCACCAUUCUUUUAGACUUACAUAUAUGUUUUUAAGAGAAGGGGGAGGAAAUGGUUGGCCAUUUUCAAGCAACGGAAGACAAAUUGGCAUUCUCUUCAGCUUCUCACAAUACAUUACAAUAAUAUCUGUGAGCCUGACUGCAACACCAGACCCAAGAAUAAUGGAUGUGGGUCUGGCUAUAAGAUCGUGUCAUAAAAGUAUGAUAAUUAAUAGAUUAAUUAAAAAAACAAAGAAAAAAAUCAACAGUAUUUAGGAUGGGUGGAGGCUGUGGUCGGGUUGUUGUUUGGAGUGGCAAAGCGGAGUGUUGUGGGCUGUUUGGGUGGCUAGUGAAAGUGGGUGGCGGUAGGUGGUUUAGCAAAUUUGGGAGGGUGACAGUAGUGGGUGGGGUGGGGGUUGUGGUGGAGACCUUUGCAAUCUGUUCAGAAUUAUCAAAUGGAAACACAUGUUCAUGAAAGCGAACAUGACGAGAAAUAUAAAUACGGUGAGAUGCAAUGUCAAAACAUCGAUAACCAAUAUGCGAGGAACUAUAUCCAAAAAACACACAUGGAGAGGAACGAAAAUCCAAUUUAUGAUUAUUAUAUGGACGCAAAAAAGGAAAACAGAGACAGCCAAAGGUACGCAAAAAAUGAUAAUCAGGAGACCGUUGAAAUAAACAAUCAAAUGGAGAGCGAUGGGCAAGAAUAGGAGUAGGCAUGCGAUUUAUAAGAUAAACAGAGGUUUCAAAAGCAUAAUUCCAUAAUCGAAAAGGUGCUUUACAUUGCCCUAAAAGAGUAAGAUCUGUUUCCACAAUAUGCCUAUGACGAUGCUCUACUGUUCCAUUUUGUUCAUGAGUGUGGGGACAAAUUAGACGAUGAUGAAUACCAAUGGUCUGAAAAAAUGUGGAUAGUUUUCGGUAUUCACCGCCCCAAUCAGUUUGAACAGAUUUUAUUUUUAAUAAAAAUUGACAUUCGACAAGAGUCUGAAAUUGAUGAAAAACAGAGUAAACAUCAGACUUGGCAACGAAAGGAUAAUACCAUACAUAUUUAGUAUAAGCAUCAAUAAAGAUAACAAAAUAACGAUAGCCAUCUGAAGAAAAAAGAGGAGUAGGGCCCCAUACAUCACUAAAAAUUAAUUCAAAUGGAGCAGAAGUUUUGUGACCCGUAGGUCCUAAAGACAAACGCGAUGAUUUUCCUAAAGGACAACUUUGACAUUGAAAAUUAAGACGUUUGUUGUUACAAAUGAUCUUAUUUUUCGAGAUUAACAAUUGAAAAAUACGUGAAGUAGGAUGACCUAGUCGAUGAUGCCAUAAAUCGACAAAGGCAGAAGUGUAGGGAGACCAAUAGGCUUGAGGAACUGACGUGAUGAAAGACUUGGUCAGGGCAUAGAGACCAUCUUUACUCUGACCUGAGAGAAGGACUUCAUGGGUGUUGAAAUCCUUGACAUAAAACACACGAGGGUGAAAUUUAAAAUAAACAUUAUUAUCAAGACAAAAUUUCUGAACAGAGAGCAGAGGUUUCGUGAUUGCAGGAACAGGAAGAACAUUAGAUAAGGUGAAAGAACGAUGUGGUGUAUAUAUUUUUGUAUGACCUAGAUGAGAUAUAGGAAGGCCCUUACCAUCACCAACAUGCAAAUUAUCAUUACCAAGAUACGGUUCUGAAGCGGUCAAGGUGGCAAGAUCAGGUGUGACAUGUUGAUUGGCACCGGUAUCCGGAAACCAAUCAACAGAACCAGUUGAGGAGAGAUUGCGUUGCACCAGGUUGGCAGUAGGUUGUUGGCCAUAACCUCACUGCUGGAAUUGAGGGCAAUGGGGAGCUGUAUGGCUAAAAUUCUAACACAGUUGGCAGCGUGGAUUAUGCCCCAUAUUGCGCUGCCAAGAGCCCUGCCUAUUGUCACCAAAGGAGGAGUUUUGGAAGCUACGGUGAUCAGGUCUGGAGCCAGCAAAUCGGUUGCCUCUGCUGCUGGACUGGUUGGGAAGCCAGCCACCGUUGAAGCGACCCCUACUGCGGCCAGAAUUGCCAAAAGUCUGGUGCUGCGCAACAAGAGCAGAAGAUGGAAUGCUGGGUGUGGGCAGAAGAGGAGCAUGUAUGGCAGCAGAAGAUUUGUGAAGAAAUUCAUGUGUGAGGAGAUGGCUGUGAAGAUCUGCGUAUGAUAAAGGUUCAGCCUUGGUAAUAAGAAUGGUAACUAAGUUUUUAAACUCUCCCCGAAGACCACGAAACACAUAUAAAUUGAAAUCUUCAAGCGAAACUGGCCGACCAGCAGCGACCAAUUCAUCAAAUAAGGCCUUCGCUUUUUGCAUAAAUUGAGUUACUGAUUCAUCACCCUGUCGAAGAUCCUGAAGAGAGCCGUGAAGUUGCAUAAUACGAGAGUUAGAGGUGGAAGCGAGAGCUCGCUCAAGAGUGCCCCAAGAUGAACAAGAACUUUGACAGCCAACAACAAGAUGCAAAACUUCCAUAGAUAGGGAGGAAAGAAGAGCACUUAGAAUGAAUUGGUCUUGUUGUUUCCAGGUUUGAAAAAGCAGAUUUACCUGAAGAGAGAUAGCAUCAUGGGCAAGAACAUGUGUUGAUGGAGAUGUGUUGGAGCCAUAAAAAAAAACCAAAAACUUCUUGGCCUAGGAGAUAAGGCAGCAUCUGCAUACGCCAAUAUAAAUAACUGGUGUUUGUUAAUUUGAGGGAGAUGACUUGAUGAGUGUGAGAAAGGGAGAUAAUGCUUGCGGCAGCAGAGGCAGCAGACGUGGGCUGCAAGAGGAGGCGUUCACCAGCCAUGGAAGAGGAGAAUCCAGGCGGUGAUGCAGCAGAGGAAAGCAGAGGAGGCGUUAUAAGAGAAGAGGGUUGCACUGUCGGAGAAGAAGAAAGCUGGACUGCUGGUGCUGUAGAAUUUGAAGAUGUAUGUGGCGACUGUUCCAUUGAAGAAGGAAGGCUGUGAGAAAAGUAGGUUUAAUUUAUUUUAAAGUUUUGUGGCUCUGAUACCAAGUUGAGAAUAAUGGAAUGUGUUGGGUUGUGCCUUAACCAACCUUCCUAUUUAUAUAAAGGCAGCAGAACACUACAAUAACUAUAAUGAUUACAACAUCCUAUAUUAGAAUCCUAUUCUGAUAGAUACAUGAGUAACUGUAAUGAUUACAACAUCCUAUAUUAGAAUCCUAUUCUAUAAUAAACAUGAAGAAAAAAACUAAUGAAGAAAAAGAAAAAAAAUUGAAUUAAUUGGGUUAACUCUUUAAACCAGGUUAUCCCAUAAAAUAUGGGAUUCACAUCAUAAAAGAUUGAUAACUAAAUAGAAAAAAAAAUAACGGGUUUACCCAUAAUUAACUGGGUUAACCCAUCAAACGAAGUUAAUCUGUCAAGCCCAAGAUACGUGUCAUGAAAGUCUAAUAAUUAAAUAGAAAGAAAAUUAACUUUAACAAACUAAACUAAAUGAAAAAAAUAAUUAAAAAAAAUCUAGGUUAACUCGUCAAAUCAGGUUAACCCAUCAAACCUGGGAUUCGUAUCAUAAAAAUCUGAUAACUAAAUAAAAAAAAUUAACAUUAAAAAAAAACAAAAAAAAAUUAAAAAAAAAGAAGAAAAAAAAACAGUUAUAUAAUAUAAUAUAAUAUAAUAUAACAUAAUAUAAUUAUAAUUAUAAUUAUAAUAUAAUAUAUUAAUAUAUUAAUAUAUUAAUAAGUAAAUAUAUUAAUAAAAGUUGUGGGAAAGCUACAGUAGUUUUCCACACCUUUUAGAGUAUUAGAUUUAUCAAGUUUGCUUAAUUAAGAUGGAAUAUUUAUGACUUUUUUAAUCUAUAGUGUUUUUCUCCUGGUACAUGGUAAAAGCCUGGGCAGUUUUUUUUUUUUUUAAUUUUAAUAAUAAUUCUAUUCUUUCUAUCCCAAGAAAUCGAGAAUGCUAGUUUCAUUCAUCAAGAUUCUAAAUCCUAUAUACAGAUAAACUCAAGAAUGUGUCUUCUCUCUCUUUUUUUAUUUUUAAUCUGUAUUAUAUAUAUAUUUUUUAAAUAAUUUACUGCUACUUAAUGAUAUAAGAUGAUUUAUAAUAGUGAAUAGAUUUAUUAUUUUAUUAGGUUACUUUAAUGAUAAAUCAAUAUAAUAUUUUUUUUAUUUUUUGGAUUUUCAUCUUGAAAACUCAAUAGGAUAAAAAUAUAAUAUUAAUCAAACUUCAAAUUAUAAUUAUUUAUCUAUCGAGUUAAAAAAAAAAGGUACAAAGGGAUGAAGGAUUAUUUCAAUAUUAAUUAAUAAGAAUAUCCUUGUUGAUUUAAAGGACUAUUUUCAUCAUUCAUAUCGAAAAUAAUUAUGUUUUGCACCUGAUUUUUAACAAAAAUGAUUGAAAAAAUGAUAUAUUAUUGAAUGUGAGCAAAUUUAAGAUUACAAAAAUGAUUAAACUUUUUACAGAUGGAUAGAAUUGAUAAAUGAUGCAACAAAGAAGGAUACGUAUUAUUACAUUUAACAGAGUAAUUAACCAUUAUACAUAUUAAUUAUUUUAAGAAAAAAAAUGUCCUUUGGACAAUAUUCUUUGCAUUAGGAUAGAAUUGAUAAAUGAUGCAACAAAGAAGUAUUCUUACGUGUUAGGAUAGACGACGAAAGGAUUAACAAUACGAAAGGUACAAUUUGAUUGAGAGAGAUGAUGCUUACCCACUCCACUACUGUCUCCCACUAUUUUUUUGGAUAUAUUCUGAUUUUUUUAAGAGAAGAGGGAGGAGAUGGCUGGCUAUUUUCAAGCAACGGAAGACAAAUUGGCAUCCUCUUCAGCUUAUCACAAUACAUUACACUAAUAUCUUCAAGAGAAUUGCAAAUCUGUUUUGCACUGCAAAUGCUUUUCAGUUCUGGUAAAUCAUACAAUUCCAGAGUUCUUAACUUUGGGAGAAUGACUUCCGUGAUGGAAUUGGAGGUGCUGCUUUCUUUAUCUGUUGUUUCUAUUAUCUCCUCUAUUUUCUCACAUCCACUAACAUCAAUCAGUUCCAGGUUUACAAGGAUUGGAAGUAGCACAAGCGGGAACAACUUCUUCAUACUGUUACAGUUCUCACAAUAAAACCUUUUAAGACUAGAAAACAUACCAUUACAUGAUGGCAAUGGAGUCCCAUCUCCGUUGAUACUCAAGAAGAUGAAACCAAGCUCUCCAUGCUAUUGCAAUCCCAAAUGUCGAUGAGCUCAAGUUCAGUUGCAUUCUCUAAUGACAAAACAUCACAUAAACUUCUUGCAUUUAUACAUUCACAAACCAAUCCUUGAAUGCCAUUUAAGAACUUAACAUGAAAAUCUCAUCUCCGUUGAUACUCAAAUUACCUAACCUAACUGUUUUACUUGGAAAAUCACCUCUGUUUGCCCAAUAAUCUUCACCCACCAUUCCUACUAAAAUUUUAUAUGUGCUUAAUGAUUGAAUCCCCUCUCGAGAACUGAGAUACUCCACGAAGUCAGGGAGACCUAUGAAAUGGCAUUGCAAAGUUUCUAAAUUUCUCAAGAAUCCUACUUCCUUUCCUUUAACUGUUAUCGGAGCAUAACAUUCAUCAAUUAACGUUUCCUCUAGUACAAAGACUUGCAGGUGAGAGAGUUUUGGUAAUAUACCACUAGGAAACUCCUUUUCACCACAUCCAUUCAUUCUAAGAUACCUCAGGUUGGUUAGGCAUUCCAUUCCUUGCGGUAUCUUUUCAAGCACUGUAAAAGAGAGAUCCAACCUCUUCAGUGCUCUGAGCUUUUCUAAUGAUGGAACAUGUCUUAAGUACUCACAAUUAUUGAGCAAUAAGGCAGUGAGACUCACCAAAUCAAAGACAGAGUCUGACAAUUUUUCAAUACCUGUCCAAGACAGAUCGAGGACCUUGAGCCCAUGCAAUUGCUUGAAAAAUGAAUCCGCAAUCAAUCCCAGCCCUUCAUUAUCACAUAGAAAUAAAGUUGACAGAUUUAGACACAUUGGUGAAUGGCUGGAAGGAAUUUCUUGAAUCUCGUUUUGCAUUAGUGAAACAAUCGUCAAGUUCUCCAUCCACUCCUUUGUAUCUGGCAGCUCUUUUAAUUAGUGACUUGCAUUAGUAUUUGGAUGGUCAUGUCCCUAAUCAAGUCAUGCAUCUUGACACAUCUUUUACCAUCAUAAUACAUUUUAGCACUUUCCAAUAAGCAGACAUUUUCAAGUCUAUUAAGCAUCGUGUGACCCUCAUCAAAUGCAUCUCCCCUACUCCUCUUUACUUUAAUUAUCCCCUCAUCGAUCAAAUAACUUAUCAACCUCUCCCUCCAAAUCCAAUCAUCUUCGGGAAAUAAUGCACAGUACAAGAGACAUUGUUGUAGUGCUAAAUCACCUAACCGAUCAUAACUAAACCUCAACAACUUUAAUACUUCCUUGUCCUUAAAUUCUGAUUCUCUCAAUUUCUUCAAUGUAUUUCUCCACUCAUGUAGGUUAUCCACUCCCCUCAAGCUUCUUGGUACUGUAAUAAUUCCCAACGGCAAACCAGCACAUUCCUUUGCAACAGCUUUUGCAAUCCCUUCCACUUCUCGCGAAAGUGCUAUGUCACGUCCAAGUUUCUCCAUGAACAAAGUCCAAGCUUCUCCAUCAGAAAGUGGCUUCACUUUGAUUUUACAGUGGCAAGCCAUCUGAUGACAAACCAUUUCUAAUCGAGUUGUCAUAAUCAGCUUGCAUUCUUUCAACUUCUCAGGAAUUCCCACUCUGUCAAGUUCAAAAUUGUUCCACAAAUCAUCUAAAAUGAGAAUCCAUUUUUGUUUCCUCCUUAGUUCUAUUGACAAUUUGGCAGCUCUGUGCAGAUCAUCAUCUUCACUUGAAAGAUCUACAUAAAGACAUUUAGCAAUACGAUUUUGCAAUCUGUUAAUGCUGAAAUCUUGAGACACAGUCACCCACCAAACAUGAUCACAAAUAUCUGGUUUUUGUAGAAGCUCAUUAUGGAUAUGCUGUAGUAUUGUGGAUUUACCAACUCCCCCCAUCCCAUAAAUGCCAAUGGUUGAGACUUCCCCAUCCAUUAACAAAGACCAUAUCACCUUCGUAUUCUCUUUGAAUGCUCGACCCACUAGCUUUGUUGAGCUAGUAGGUAAUGGAACUCCUCUAGUCUUGUUGUAUUUCAGACUUUCAGAAGAUCUAGCUCCAGCACCAACCUGCACUGAUCUUCGACUAUUCUCCACAUCCUCCUCCACUGGUCUGCUCUCGAGUGCCCCUUCAGAAACUCCAUCUUCUUGUGCUCUCAUUCCGGUCUUGCUUACUACGUCGUUUCCUGCUAUUGCAUGUGAAGAAAUCCUUUGUUCCCCUGCUCUGAGUUCUACAACCUGAACUUCUCUUUGUAACCUUCCAGUACCUCCUACCGUUGUUGAAAUUCCACAAUCAUUAACAUUGAUUGAACUUGCUGUGAUUUUAUGUCUUUUGUUGCCACCAAACAUAGCUUUCCAAGCUGCUUCUUGAACUUCUUUAGGCACCCCACGACAAAUGGCAACACCACGCCCUUCUUCUCCUGAUAAAUGACAUUUGAUCCUUGAAAUGGAAGUUUUAAUGGCAUAUGUAUGUCGACAAAACUUACACUUCAUGCUACCAUCAGCCUUUUCUUCAACAUAAUUCCGAAAUGAAUCAUUUGAUCCACCCAUUUCAACCUAUAGAAAAAAAAAGGGGGGGGGGGUUCAAAAUACAGAAUAAAAAUCAGUCAAAAUAUAGAAUAAAAAUUGAUGCAAGUUACACCAUAUCCGGAUGGAUGAGAAACUACUUCAGUGUUGUUACCCUUAUUUUGCUAUUAAAAUUGAUAGUUAGUUUAUUGCACAAUCAUCGGAGGGAAAAAGACGACGAUAAUUCAGUUAGACUUCUUACUUGUUGAGCAUUUAAACCCCUAUUUUGACUUUGGAGGGAAGUGCCAAGGCCAGGAUUUGAGGCAUUUGGCAUAGCAGUUUGAUUUUGCAAUCCUCGGACUUGGAGGUUAUCCAUCUGUGACCUAUAUAUAUACAAAUGAAUUGAUCAUAUUAUAAAACCUUUCCAUAAUUGGUAGUCUCUCUUAAGCAGUAAAAGUUAAUGGUGUUAAAACACAACAGCUAGAAGUCAAUCAGUACCUAGUUACGAAUAAGUUCUCUUGUUGGACAUUGUCUAUGUUAGGAAUUACAACAGCUCGAUCGACUUGUCCUUGAUUAGAAAAAUAUUGACUCCUGAAUCCAAAAUCAUUUGCAAACAAUAUGUUUAGCUUGUUGGGUUCAUGUUCAAGCUAUGAUGUUUCUUUCCCGAUUGAAAAACUAAUUUUUUUUAUAUAGAAAAUACAAAACAUGAAAAAUUGGAUACCGGGGAGCAGGAAAAGAAGGUCCAGGUUGAAUGAAGCCACCAUGUUCUGAAGUGGUUGCGUUCGGUGUCAUAUAGCCAUGUCCCGGCUGUGGUUGAUGAAUAUUGGAGUACUGAUGCCUGAAUAAUAUUCAAAUAGUUAAACUUAGAACUGUUAUUCUAACUUGGUUGAUUUUCUAGUUCCAUUAUGUGCACAAAAAAAGAGAGAUAGAGAGCUCAAAAAGACUCGAAAGAUCCUCGUCAAUUCUGGUCAAGUUUAUUGUUUUCAUGAUUAAAAAAGUGUAUAUUCGAAGUUAAUACCAUUGAUUCAAUGGAGGUUGAGGUCCAGGUAGCAUCGCAGGCACUUGAUUCCUCAUUGGUAACUGAUAAUUAGUCCAUUGUUGGUCCCUAAAUUAGCAACAUUUUGUUAGUAAUUUCUUUAUACAUAUACGCAUAAUUCUUUACUAUUAAUCCACUAAGCAUUUAUUAUCAUUUUAGCUUACCUCAAAGGCAUUGAUGGUCCAGGUAGCAUGGGAUUGGCACAUCGAGGAUCAGAUAAAUUAGGAUGAGGCAGAUACCUAUAUUCAAAUAUAAUGAAUUCAUUUAGUGUAAUAAAUUGGCAUCACUGAUAAGAAUAUUAGGCAGAUAAGUAGAACAACAACAAGAAGUUAAAUAAUUAUGAAUAUUAUGUACAAGAAGAAUUUAAAUAAUGAUUAUUCUCACUUAGUUGAUUUUCUAGUUUCAUUAUGUGAUGCAAAUCAGGAGACAGGGGAAACAUGGGGAAGGCAAGGACUCUUGAAAGUUGAUUAAAGCUUAUUAGCUGUAGUUAUUAUUUCCUAUUUAGCUGAUAGUUUCCUAGUCAGAUUAGUAUUAGAUUUCAAUUACGUAUUAGAUCGUAAUUCCUUAGCUGUAGGGUAUUUAAGAGGGGAACAGAACAAAAGAUGGGACAUUAUUUGUAUUCUUGGCAAUUACUUUCUUUAAAUACAAAUUGGAGUGAUUCCUCUACAUAGAUAUUCUGUAUUAAAUUAUUUAUUGUUCUUACUGGGAGCAACGAGAGGUUGUACCGGAGGGCAUUUACAUUAAUAUGUGCACAAAGAGAGAGAGAGAGAGAGAGAGAGAGAGAGAUAGAGAGCUCAAAAGAAGUAAAAUAAUGAUGAAUACCUUGAUGGAGUUUGAGGCCAAUUUGGUUCAUUUUGGUUGAUCCGUGAUGAUAUGGAGCUUUGGUUGUCUGGAACCUCCGGUGGCAGCCUGCUUCCAUUGACAGUGACAUUAUUAGGAUAAACGGAAGAACAACUAAAUUGCAAGCAAUCAUCUUCUGAUAAAAUAUGCUUAAGAAUGACGUACGAGAGAAACUCAGAAAUAUUGAAUGUAUCUUCAAUGGUGUAUCUAAUUAUAAAAAUGAAGUGAUCAUAUUAUAAAACUUUUCAAUAUUUGGUAGCCUCUCUUAAGCAGUAAAUAUCAAUGGUGUAUCUAAUUAUCAAAAAGGUGUUAAUACCGUGUUAAAACACAACGGCUAGAAGUCAAUAAGUACCUUGUAGAGUUGCUAGAGUUUCGAGGCACGAAGUUCUCUUGUUGCAUAUUGUCUAUGUCUGGAAUUACAGUAGCUUGAUCGUCUUGUCCUUGAUUAGAAAGAAAUUGAAUCCUGAAUCCAAAAUCAUUCGCAAGCAUUAUGAAGCAUUACAAACUUAUGAUUAUCUAGCUGGGUUCAUGUUCAAGCUAUGAUGUUACUUUCCUCUUUGAAAAACUAUUUCUUUUUUUUUUUACAGCAAAUACUAAAUAUGAAAAAUUGGAUACCGGGGAGCAGGAAAAGAAGGUCCAGAUUGAUUGAAGCCACCAUGUUGUGAAGUGGUUGCAUUCGGUGUCAUAUAGCCUUGUCCCGGAUGAGGUUCAGGAAUAUUGGAGUUCUGAUGCCUGAAUAAUAUUCAAAUAGUUAAACUUAGAACUGUUAUGCUCACUUGGUUGAUUUUCUAGUUCCAUUAUGUGCACAAAAAAGAAGAGAGAUAGAGAGCUCAAAAAUACUUGAAAGAUCCUCGUCAAUUUUGGUCAAGUUUAUUGUUUUCAUGAUUAAAAAAGUGUAUAUAUAUUCGAGGUUAAUACCAUUGAUUUAUUGGAGGUUGAGGUCCAAGUAACAUCGCAGGCACUUGAUUGCUCAUUGGUAACGGAUAAUUAGUCCAUUGCUGGUCCCUAAAUUAGCAACAUUUGUUAGUGAUUUCUUUAUACAUAUGCAUAAUUGUUAGCUAUUAAUCCACUAAGCAUUUGAUAUCAUUUUAGCUUACCUCAAAGGCAUUGAUGGUCCAGGUAGCAUGGGAUUGACACAUUGAGCAUCAAAUAAAUUAGGAUUAAGCUCAUACAGUGAUACCUAUAUUCAAACAUAAUGAAUUCACUGAUAAGUACAACAACAAGAGGAAGAAAAGAAGAAGGUCCAGGUUGAUUGAAACCACCAUGUUGUGAAGUGGUUGCGUUCGGUGUCAUAUAGCCAUUUCCCGGCUGAGGUUGAUGAAUAAAGGAAUUAUGAUGCCUUGAUGGAGUUUGAGGCCAAUUUUAUAUAAAACUUAACGAUAAAAAAAUAUCAUAAAAAAAGUCUAAAUCUCCCAAUUGUUGUCUGUUUGUUUAACAAUAAACAUUUUGAAGAUGCUCGAGAUAAAUUGAUACACGAAAACAUAAAACUUUUUGAUCCAAUGGGUGAUACAAACACUUGCUAAUUCAAUGGACAUUGUAGCAAAUUGGAGUAGGCAUGAGCACUCACCAUGGUUUGAGGAAAUGAAGCUGGAAACUGAGUUGUUUGUUGAAUACUGUCGUUGAUCACAUUGUUAUCCACCACCAUGUUCUGUCCAUCUUGAUCAUUGCAUAAUAUGGAGCUUUGGUUGCCUGAAACCUCCGGUGGCGACCUGCUUAAUUUGUUAUUAGGAACAUUAUUCUUUUUUGGGAAUAAUAAGAAAAACUGUAGAAUAACUAAAUUGCAAGUAAUCAUCUUCUGAUAAAAUAUGCUUAAGAAUGACGUACAUGAGAAGCUCAGAUAUAUUGAAUGAAUCUUCUUGUGAUUGAAAAUCGAACUGAUUCGAUGUCAAGUUGACAUCAUCCCCAUUACAAGACGGUGGGACUCCUUCCAUCUGAGGUUUAAAAAAGAACAGAAAGCACAGAUUAGAUGUGUGUGUGUGUCUAUAUAUAUAUAUAUAUGACUUAUUUAUUUGUUAAAGAGAUUCAGAUGAAAAAUAGGAAAUAUAAAUGUUGCUGUUAAUGAUUUAAUUCUUUGUUUUAAUGCUAAAUUAUUUGUCACUUGUUGUAAACAAGUUUAAUGAAAGGUAAUUAACUAAUACUGAUCAAGUUAAUUCAUGAAUCAGUAAAAAACAAUUUCAUUGAAUCAUUAUGUCAGAAAAAUAUUGGAUAAAAAUUAAUGGCAGUCCCACUAAUUGGAAAAGAAAAGGGUGAAACUAAAAUAAGAAGUUUGUCGCACGUAUGCGGCGUCGAGGCGAAAACAUCCACUCUCAAAUCGUUAUCUAAUGUGACAAAUGUGAGGAGACAAGGAAUUCUUGUCUUUUAUUAGUGGAAAAAUAGAAUGGGAGUCGCCACCUAAUAUUUUGGUAACUAGGAACCCUAACUGGUCUCAGAGAUCAGGUACGGGGACUAGUUGCGUAAAGGGAAGGUUUUAGCACCCCAAAUACGCUCUACCUAAAGUAAGCUGCAUUGUUUAAUUGUUUGAUAAAAUCUAAGGUCUUGUCGUGUAUUUUAGUUGUUGGUCCGUCUAUGGUUUAAGAAAAAAAUCAUCUUCAGUAAAGAGAUCCUUAUCUUAUUGGGUAUGACCUAAUUGUUUUAACAUCAACAAAAAAAUUUUAAUAUCCGGAAUAUGUCUUACAUAUAAGAUCAUAACCCUAGAUAUUAAAGGAAAACAAAAUAAGUUUUUUUGGAAUUUUUGAAAUAUUGUCUAGUUCUCGUGACUUUAAUAAACUGGUUAUUAAAGCUAAAAUGCAUGUUAAUACAAAUUUUUGAAUCUUUGUUAUAUGAAAAUAUGAUAUGAUUUUUUUUUUUGAAAGACUAGGGCGUAUGCAUGAAAACAAAAAAUAUAUUUUUUAUGUUUUUGUAGAAAACCGGGUAUUUUAAUACCAAAUUUGUAUCUUUACAAUAUAAAAAUACAAACCAAUGUUGAUUAAAAUACAAUAGAAAAAUUUGCAAAAAUCACUAAUUUUUGAAAAUAUUUGUUUUAUUUUAUUAUAAUUAAUUUUAUCAUGGAUUUCUUUAAAGAUUCAAACCAUAUAUAGUUACAUAUAGAAAAACAAAAACACCAACAAGAUGAAGUACAAAUAAUUUACCUGGAUUCAAGAUGUUCUUCAAGUGCUAGCUGGUUUGCUUGAGCAGUGAUCAGCCAAAAGAAAAGGAAGAGAAAUCACAGAUCAGAGAAGAAUAUAUGGCUUAGAAAAAUAAUAAAGUUGCAGUUAACAUAAAUCUAGUUCGUACUGAUCAUGGGAUGUGGAAAGGAAAAUAGGGAAUUCUAUUGUGAGAUGAGAUGUGACGUGGAAGAGAAUGGUAGGUCAGCUAAAUAAUAAUUAAUUAACGUAUUGUUUGACAGGAAGGAAAUUGCCAGGAAGCAACCCCCCGCAUACCUACCAAACAUUAUAUUAUAAGAUAUAGAGAGUUAACAUGUGGACCCACCCCAAUGUUCAAACUUUGAAGGAGCUGCCAUGAACAUGUGAAAGAACAGCAUAUUUCUGCAUGUGUGAAGUUGUUUCUGAUAAUAUUUUUUAUUUGAAAAUAUAUUAAAAUGUUAUUUUAAUUUUUUUUAAUAUCAACAUAUUCAAAUAAUUUAAAAAAAUAAAAAAAAUAAAAAUUUAAAAAAAGAUCACUGCGACUGUAAAGACAAACCAGCUGUGACUAUACUAGUAAGUGUGAGAUUGAUAGCAAAGACGAAAGCAUACCAAUGCAACAAUCACAUUCUCAAAUAUUCAGAUUUUAAAAAAACAUAUCCAAAUAUAGUUUUAAAGUUGUGUCAAAUGCAGAAUGCUUUAAUUAAUACGAGGAAACUCUUGUUUAUAAUAUAGUUUUACACAGGGACCGUUAUAAAUAAUUUGGUAUUAUAAUAACAAUUAUUUUUUUAAGUAUUUUUUAUUUAAAAAUAUAUUAAGAUAAUAAUUUUUUAUAUUUUAAAAUUUAUUUCUGAUAUUAACAUAUUAAAAUAAUAUAAAAUAUCUAAAAACUAAUUUUAAAAAAAUUAAAAUUUAAUUUUAAAAAAAAUAUUUAUUUGCCUGGUACUGGGCUUCCUCGGGACACAACGCUGCACUUCCUUAAAUGAAAAUAUUAAAGUCGGUGUGUGCAUCAGACCUCAUCCUCAAUUGACUCCGAUUGUUGAAAUAACUUGAUCUUCUAAUAAAGUUUGUUUUUGAAUAUAUAUUCUAUCCUUACUAAAUUAUUAGGAAGUAACAUUAUAACAUUUUUAAGUCUGCUUAAUUUAUUUGGUUUAAGAUACUAUUUUAAUAUAGUAUUAGAUAUUUAAUAACUUACGAGUUAAUUACUUAUUAAGAUAAUUCAGAUUAAUUAUUUUUAUUAAAAUAAUAUUAUUUCAUUUAUUUCUAUUAACAUUGCUAGAUAUGAAGUAGUUUGGUUUGACUAGAUGAUUCAAUUACAAAUCCAAUCUAAAUUAAGGUUAAAAUUUUGAGUUUUUUAAAAAUAAAUCAUCAAACUAGACAGGUUUAACAACUAAUAUAUAUAUAUAUAUAUAUAUAUAUAUAUAUUAUUCAACCAAAUAAUUGCUUGUUACAUAUAUAUGGCGAGCUUCCUAGCACUACAAGAUUUCACAGUUUUACCGAUGGCCAUAUUCCGUCGGUGUGUGAUUGAGAGUUCGUCAGUAAAUUAUUUACCGACUAAAUUACCGACGGAAUACGCCCGUCGGAUUACCUUUUGUCGGUGAUUCCACAUUCCGUCGCUAUAUCAGUCGGGAAAAAAAAAAAACACGUACCGACGGUUUUACAGACGGAAAGUGCGCGCCAAAAAAAAAAAUUUCCCGCUUGGAAUAUACCGAUGGAAAAUACUCCGUCGGUGAAAUUCUAAUUACCGACGGAAAAAAUCCAUCGGUACAUUGGUCGGUCUGUGUUUGAAAUACCGACUGAAUAUAUCCGUCUGUAAAUUCGUCGGUACGUUUGGCAGCUACUGUCACAUGCCGACGGACUAAAUCCGUCGGUAACUCUAUCGGUGAGUGUAUGGAAUACCGACCGAAUUUAUCCGUCUGAAUAUUCGUCGGUGAUUUCCAAUGCUGACAGAGUUAUUCUGUUGGUAAAUACCUGUGUAAUUGUUUUUUUUUUAAUUUGUUUUUUUUUAAAUUAUUUAAAAUACAUAAUAUAAAAUGAUAUAAAUUAAUGGUAAUACAAACCAAUUAUGUAAAUAAAAUUCAUAUUAAGCAUCAAAAAUAAAAAAAAUCAAACUUAAAUAAUAUUCAUUACAAAUGAAUGUGUUUCAAAAACACAUUAAACGAAAUUUUAAAUGUAAAUAAUGUUUAUUAAAAAUUAAUAUAAAGGUGGAGGAGGAGGAGGAGGAGGAGGCUGGGGGUUAGACGGCCAAAAAGGAUUAGGCGCACAUGAUCCACCUUGUGCCAUCUUCAUGAUCAUUUGACGAAGCUCUUCAUAGGCCGCUCUUUGUUGUUCAGACUCUGCUCUGUGUUGUUCUUUGAGUUGUUCGUAUGCCACUCUUUACUGUUCUUUGCUGUUCAGAUUUCACAGUUGUUCAGACGCUGUUCUUUGCAGAUGAUGAAUUGGAACUACACAUUUCUUCAGAGCCAACAGAGUAUGCACUGCACAUGGGUCUUGCAUGGAAACGAAGGGUUAAAGAAUGUGGGGUCCAUGUGAUCGCAGGGAAGUCAGAAUCAUUUGAAGAGUCGGCAGUGGGAAGAGAUACAGUGAUGCCUUCACCACCGCCAUAUCAUUUGCUUCCUCAUCCUUAUCGUGGCUCAAUUACAGCGUCUACACCUAAACAGUGGAGUGAAUUUUUAUUUGCGGAGCUGCAAAACUAUAACCUCAAUUUAUGGCUUUUUGGUAAGAAUACAUAUUUCCUUUAGUUAUUUCUAUUUUAUUCUAUUUAAUUUAAGAGAUUAAUUUAAUUGUUACAUUUUUCUUAUUUAAUCUAAAAAAUUAAAUAUUAUCUUUAAAAAUAUUUUUAUUAAAUAUUUAGAGUCUGAUUGGUUUUAUUUUUAAUUCUUGAUUUUAUGAUAAAAUGUUUCUUAUUUAAUUUAAAAAAUAAAUAUUAUAUUUAAUAAUUAGAUCUAUCGAAUAUCACUUAACUAUAUCAUUAUUUUAUUGGUAGGAACUUAUGAGUCUUUUAAGCCAAAAGAAUAGUAGGAAGAGCUAAAAUUAGCAAGGAAUAUUUAGAGUCUGUUUGAUUUUAUUCUUUGAUUUCUUGAUAAAAAAUUUAAAAUUCUUUAAAACAAAAACUAAAUACUUAUAAGUGUUGAUUUUGAUUUUAUUUAAAAAAAAAAACAAAAAGUCAACAAUCACUAACAUAAUUUGUUAAAAUCACUUUAGUUUAUUUAUAAAAUAUUGAAAACUGAUUUUUUAUUUUUACAUUAAAAUAAAAAAAUUAAAUAAUGUUUUUAUAUUUUAUUUCAAAUUCAAUAUUUCAAAACAAAAACGAAAAUGAUGUGAUAUUAACCUCUUUGAUUAUAAAGUAAGUUUCUUAAUUAAAAGUAAAGUAAUAACAAAAUGCAUAUACAAUCACGUACAUCUAACUUUCUUUUCAAACUUGGAAGUUCUACUGAAUUUUGUUGGUUUCUUAGGGAGAAGAAGAGCUUUAAAAGAUAAAUGACUGAUAUGAAUUUUGUUGGUUUUUUAGGGAGAGACGUUUAAAGCCACUCCAAAUUAGUAGGAUACAUCUCUUUUUGCCGAAUUGAUAUGAAUUCGUUGGCUUGAUGAAAACUACAGAAAGUUCUGAAAGCAUCCUUAAUUAGUAUAAUUAGUAAACUCUUGUUAGUUUUGGUUAUAAGAUUUUGCUAUGUAUUUUUGCAUAGUUUUUACUAUUUUUUGGCCCUUAUUGUUUUUGUAAAUACAACUUUUAUUUUUAUUGUCGAUUUGUCAUUAGCUUUAUGGCACUAACACCAAUUAAUAAUAAAUCUUGGACUAUUAUUAAAUAAAAAAAAAAUAAAAACAUUGUUAAAACACCAAACUUGCAUAGUUCAAACCUAGAGAAACCCGAUGACAAUAAUCCAAUUUAGAAAAUAAUUAAUUUGUCCUUGUAGUCUUAGAAAAUAGUAUUUAAUCCUUAUGUUUUCAUAUUCAUCUAUGAUUUAAUCUCUUACAUCCAUUUCAUUUUCGUAUUAUUUUAAUCUAAAAAAAAUCACAUAUCAUGAAUAUCAAUUCAAAAUAAAUAAAAUGUUUAAAAAAUCUUUUAGUAUUGCACCUUUUGUUUUAAAAGAAAAUAAAACUACAAUAUAUUUGAUCAACUUAAAUUUCAUGGCCUUACCACACUAUGACAAUCAUGUAAAAAUUAAAUUUCAAAAUAUUAACCUCAUAGAAAAAAAAUACAUUGCGAAGACAAAUAUAAAAUAAACCAAAUGAUUAAAAAAAGUUCAAUCAAACAUAUCUUGUAAAAAUAUAUCCAGACAAUCAAAUAUUGGAUUGACAAAGGCAUUAUGGAAUAAUCUAUCAAAUCUACCGCUCAAGUUAUGAACUCAAGUAAGUUUAAUGAUUUUUUAUUAAAUUUAAUUUUUAUCUAAAUAUAAAAUAAUAAAAUUUUAAAAAAAGAAGAAGCAAAAAGGAGUCUAAAAGAGUGGGUUUGGUGGCCCAGCAUUCUUGAGCCUUCUUUUAAAAAAAGAAAACCUAGGUGUGCAGACCUUGUAGUCUAGCCCACGCCCUUGAGCGUGGUUUUGCUUUUUUAAAUUUUAGACCGAUGCAUCAUUGGUUGUUUGUAGAAUCUAGCGAUGGAAGGUUUCUGGAAAAACAAGACUAUGGUUUUGUUUUUUGCUAAAAAUAUGUUUUUCAACCCAAAACAUCUAGAAAAUAUAAUAAACACCUUGAUGAAUCUAUUUAUGGUCUUAACAACCUAAAAAAAGCUCAAAAAUCUAAAAUCAACUCAAACCUGAAAAUCUUCUUGUUGAGAGGUCUCCUUCAUCAAGUAAGGAAAAAAACAAAAAAAAAACACCUAGGUAAGACUUUCCUGAUCAAAUAAAAUCCAUUAACACCAAGAUUGACCAUUUUGGUAGUUGGAAUAGAAGUCAAUAAUAACAUUUUCUCUUUACAUCGGAAUCCAGCAAAUCUCUCUCUUCUUUUUAUAAACAAAGGACUAAAAAAAAAGUUUGGUACCUAAAUUGAAUUUCUAACAACUAAAGAGAUAAAUCACCUCUUAAUGAAACAAUUGGGACCAAACUAAGCUUUUCAUAUGAAAUUUGAAGUUGCCACCUAUUUUCCCCAUGUUUUUCACUUUGAUCAUCAUCUUUUAAUUCAACCAUUUCUUCAUAAAAAAGAAGCAACUUGCUAUUAAUUUGGGCUCAAAAGGGUGCGCAAUAGUGCAUGCUAAAAAAAUUGAGGAUCAAAUUGAAAAUUUUAAAAAAAUUAAUUGUUUUAAUCCAUAAUAAUUUGUGAAAGAAUGCACAGUAAAGAGAGAAAACAUCACACAGCUUUGAACACUUUAUGUGUUGACUGAAAUUGACAAGUGAGUUUACUCACAUAUUGUUAUAUUGGUUUUGAGUUCAAAUAGACGUUUAAAAAGGGAGUUUUUCAUGAAUACUGUCGCACGUCAAAAAAUCCACGCGCGCGGCAUCAGCUAGCAAUUUAUGUCUCGUUGUUUGUAUUUACUUGAAUACUUGAAUUUGUUUGUAUUUACUUGAAUUGAUUCGUUAGGAACGCCACCUAGUAUUUAAUUGAGGUUACUAGGAAACCCUGAUUUACUGGUCAUGAUCAGAGAUUCCCGGGUAGAAGACUGAUUGUGGUUAAAAAAGAUAUUAGCACCCCUAACACACCCUACCUGAGAUAAGCUGCUCCGCGGACUUGGUGUGUUAAAGAAAUUUUAAAAAAUUUAUCUUUUCAUUGGAUUUUAGAAAUACAACUUCCGUACAAGUUUGUACUUCUACACCGUGAUUCAAUCAAAAUAUUUAAAUCCUUCUUCAUUCCUGCCAACUUUAUCAUGAAAAAUUCACAAAAUAACACACACACCACAUUCAAACUUCGUGAGCUUGAUGUAAUUUAAAAAAUAAAAUUUUAGCCCACUUCUAAGGCUUCGAUACAUCAGUUAUUAAUUCCCAAAAUAUAUGUAGAAACAUGUUCUUAUAUUUUCAUGGAAAAUACAACAUGAUUUUAUCUAUUCUUAGAAUUUGUGCAUGUUCAAAUUAAACAAUUAAUUCUUUUUUAUCCUUUUUUAUUUUUAUAAUUCAACAACAUAAAAUAAAAAAAAACACCAACACACACACUCUUUUUAUUAUUAUUUUCUUUUCUUUUCUUUUCUUUUACAUUCACAUACUACAAAUUUAAAAUAAAUAAACAAAAAUUACAUUAAAACUUUAAAAUUUACAAAAUGGUCCCCCAAAACUCCGGGAAUUGCAGAGGAACACUUCUGGAAUCGCAGCAACAGUGCUGGAACAGUGGCGGCGCGUCUUCCCACGCGUCACUGCCACUGGCGGCGCGUGGGUUCACGCGCCGUCGCUGGAAAACCUGACAAACAGGGGUGCGUGGAACGGCUUCCUCCCCUCUUCAAUUUUCUGCCGGCGGUGAGCGUUCGGUCACCUGCAAACACAUAAAAAAACGCAAACAAAGCAGUUGAUUUUAGUUUUUUUUGUUUCAGAUCUGUUUUUAAAUUUUUUCUUCUGCCCGUUUCGGAGGCCCUGUACUUUGGUGGCGAGAAGGGGUGACGGCGCUGCUGUGGCCGCUGUCGGGUGGUCUGUGACCGACAGUGAGGGAACAGACGAGGUCUGUGCUGCUGGGUCUCCAGUGAUGGCUGGUCGCAGAGGAUGAAAAAGAGAGUGUCGGUCGCCGGAGAAGGUGCUGGAAGUCAGAUCGUCCGGGGAGAGAGGAGCUGUUGUUGGUGCUGAAAAGGGGAGGCUUCUGGCGAGAAGAUCUUGGCCGAGUGAGAGUCGGGUCUGUGAGGAGGAACUGCUGAGAGGGAGAUCGGAUGAGGUGGCUGUCGGUUCUGGUUCGUUUUUAGAGAAGAUGGAAAUGGGGCUCUGGUUCUGUGAGCUGGAGGAUGGCAGAUCGGUGAGGGAGAAAAAUAAGAGGUGAAGUCUUUGGUUCUCCGUUUUUUUCCUUUCCAAAAGGGAGUAGGGGGCUGCGGCUAUAGUGUUGGAAAAAUGGGGAGAAAGAUAGGGCCGGCCGCUGGAAAUGGUUCUGAGGAAGAGAAUCAGGGGUUGUCUUGUGUUAGAGGGUGAGAUUUUUGGCAAGGAAAAAAAAUGAUGAUGGCUUCGGGUAGUUUUUGAAAGAAGGGUGGUGGCCGGGGAGAAGAGAAAAUAAAUCAAAAGGGGAGCUGGCAGCUGUGAUCGGAGAAGAAGGAAAAAAUUUCCCAAAAGGGGGGGGGGACUCCCUGGCGGCUGCUUUCAGUAGGGAAGAAGAAAAGUUUAGUUUUUUAGGGUUCUCUCUUUCCUCCCCAAAAUUACAAAAUGAACCCCUCCACUAAUUUUUGUAGGCUGCUAUUUAUAGGCAUAGCAUUUUUUCGGGUCUCAAAAUUGGUCCCUCAAUUUUUCAAUCAAUUCACUUGGUAAAAAUUAAAUUUGGUCUUAAAAUUUCAAUCUUUUCAAUUAAGUCCAAAUUAGGCUCCCAAACUUAAUUUUUCACCAAUUAAGCCCCCAAAUUAAUUUGACCCAUUUAAAGUAUAAUUAAGUCCUUGCACUUAAUUAAAUCCUUCAAUUGGACCUAAAUUAAUUCUUAAACAUAAUUAAAAUUUAAUUUGGCCCAUGAUUAAAUCAAAUUGGCCAUUAAAAAUUUCAUUAUGUCAUUGAACUUAAUUUUUAUGCAAAUUCAUCCAAUAAUCAUUUAAUUUGACCUUCGAAUUUGCAUUUAAUUUGACCUUCGAUUUUUGCCUAUUUUUGCAGUCUUUUUUCAUUGGCUUCCUCCACAGUGCCAGCCUUUAUUCUAUUUUUUUAUUUUUAUUUUGAAAAUUUGGGGAAUGACCCAGAAUUGGGUUAUGACAAAUACAACCCUUCAUGUAUUCAAUAUGAAUGAUGGGAGAUUUUAAUGUCUUGUGAAUGCAUUCAUUUAUAUAUGGAUGAUUUUGCUAAGAAUUGAUUGGUAAAAUACUUAAUUUCGUUAUAUAAAAACCGAAGAGAGAACAAUAAAUAGCUAAGAAUUGAAAUGCAAAAAACUAAUUUGCAUAUAACACUAAGUUUUGCAACCAUUUCUCUACUUUCUAUGCUAUUGGCUUGCUAAAAACUAAAGAAAAGACAUUGCUCUAGUUGUCUGCCUUCACUCUUCAGAUUGCUCAACAAAUCCCUUGAGACCUCCUCCAUAGUUAACACAUCACAUAAUGGCUACUCUAAAAAAUUUAGCCACGGUCCCCAGCCCCUUUGGGAUUUUCUUCUUCUCCCCUGCACCCGAAGGAGAGGGGGUGAUUUUCCAUUUUCUUCUUCCUCAGCUGCUGGACCCAACAACAGACCUUCUCAGCCGGUUCACUUCCACUUUCUCAGCCGGCUCCCCCUUUUCCUUUCCUUUCCUUCUUCUCCUUCAACCAGAAACAACAACGCCUCCCUCUCUCACCCCUCACCGGCCAAACACAGCUCCCCCCUUCAGCCGGUUCUCCCUCUCCCGAGGUCGCCUCCUCUUUCCCUCACCAGACUGACCCGUCUUCUCCCCUCAGCCGCAAGCCUCCCCUUCAGCUACACGACAGCCACCCCAUUUCCCCCGAUCUGUCCUUCCUUCUCUCUUGAACCAGCCAGCCACCGAGCCUUCCCCUCAGCAGCGUCUUACUUCUCUAGUCUCCUCAACACUCUCCUCUCGCCGACUAGCCUAACAGGCGACAACAGCAAGACCCGCGGACAACGACAGUCAGCGAUCUUCUCAAUCAAGCACCGGGCGAGCCAUCGCCCUCCUCCGUUCGCCUCAACAGUAGCCCGAAGCUACAUAACCGCCGGAUCUGUUACCUGUAGAAUAAAAAUCAACAAACCAUGAGAAGGAGAGAAGCCAUGAAAGAGCAGAUCGGAGAGGGGGAAAACGAAAUAAAAACCAUUGCUCGUUGCGUUUUCUUGGCUUUGUAGGUGAUGUUACUCCCCACCGCCGGUGCUGAAGGGGACAGGAGGAGAAAACGGCUAAGAUCCAUCCAUUUCCAGUUGCUGGCGGUGGCGCGUGAACCCAAGCUCCGCCAGUGGCGGUGGCGCGUUGGCGACGCGCCGCCAUUGUUCCUGCGGGUGGCAGAAGGGCAAUGCUGCAAUUUCUGGAGUUUAGGGACUAUUUUGUAAAUUUUGUAAAUUAUGUAAUGUAAUUUUUAUUUAGUUUGAAUUGUUUUUAUAAUUUGUAAUGUGAUGUAUAAAAAGAACAAAAAAAGAAAAGAAAAGAAAAGAUUGAGAAAAUAAUAAUAGAAAAGGAGUUGUGUGUGUGUUUGGUAUUUUUUCUAUGUAUGUUAUUGAAUCAAAAGAAAAAAAUGAAUUUAAUAUUUUAAUUUAUAUGCACAAAUAUCUAAAGGACAGAUAAAAAUCAUGUUGUAUUUUCCAUAAAAAUGUAGAACAUGUAUCUACGUAUAUUUUGGAAAUUAAUAACUGAUUUAUCAAAGCCUUAGAAUUGAGCUAAAAUUUUAUUUUUAAAUUCAUAUCAAGUCUAUAAAGCUUGAAAGUGAAUGUGUGGUGUUUAUUUUGUUUAUGAAUGUUUUUCUUUUAUGAUAAAAUUACAAGAAUAAAGAAGAAUUUAAUAUUCUGAUUUGCUCACGGAUAAAGAAUUAUGAACUUACACGUAAGUUGUAUUUUCUAAAAUUCGAUGAAAGAACAGAAUUUUUAAGACUUCUUUAACACAUCAAGUCCACAAAGCAGCUUACCUCAGGUAGGGUGCGUUAAGGGUGCUAAUACCUUCCCUAACCACAACCAGUCCCUUACCCGCGAUCUCUGACAAUACCAGUACAUCAGGUUUCCUAGUAGGCCUCAAUGAAUUACUAGGUGGUGACUCUAAAGAACCAAAUCAGCAAAACAGAACGAGAAAUCGCCAGCCGAUGCCGCGCGGAUUUUUUUCGACGUGCGACAUCAGUAGUCCUCAUUACACGCUCGACUCUUGCAGGCACAUUUGCCCCCAGUCAGAUGAAUGGCCUCCUGGAACAGAUUUCAUAUGAGUACUACAAGCAUGCAGCGCCAGAUAAAAUCUUGACAUUGCAUCACACAAUCACCAAAAUUCAAAGUAACAAAACGAAGAACAAAAUGUGAUAACAAUGACAAUGAUCACUCAACCACAGCCGAAUCUUAUGCUUUGAAGACACUUUUCAUCAUUAAUUUUCCUUUUCACAUUGAUUUUCAAUGUUCCAGACAUAUAAAAUAGCAUUGAUUUACAACCAUGGUUUUAAGGCAUCAUUAUUGGCAAAAACAUUGUAGGACAGAGCAAACUUAAAGAUCAAUGCUUCAGUUGUCAAUCAUAUUAAUAAUUUAUAUUUGAUCGCCUGAAAGGGCCUAGAAUAGGACCAGGUAAAAGUUUGUUUCUAUCUAAGAAAGCAAGGUCUCCACAAACUACCCCCAAUUUCGCCACUACAGCUCAAGUAGCUUUGAGUCAUUCCAACAAAUUGAAAUUGAAUUCAAAGGAAUAAAUCAUUAAAUGCAGGGCUCCUAUGUGGGAAAGGGAAAAUGAUUCACUAUUAAAAUAAGAAAAGCUCAAACACAAAUUAUAGCUUCACUUUUUGUGAAUUAUAUCUCAUAUUUCUUUGACUAUAUGUGUGUUGUAACCCAUUUUUAGAUCCCCAUAAAAAAUAAAAUAAAUAGCCAAAAGAGGUUAGAAAAAUAACAGGAGGCAGAAGCGCUCAGAAAACAGUCAGAAAAAUUGGUCAAGGAAUUUAAAAAUACAAGGAUUAAAUUUUUGACAGUAUAUUCUUGAAGGAUGAAAUCCCUAUUGAGAAGGAAAAUUUGAAUUUUGAGGAGAAAAGCCAAAAUUUGGAUGUUUAUGGACUUAAUUGGAUUUUUAUUUGAAUUUAUAGAGGAUUUGAUUGCAAGAAAAAUUGAUUUUUAAGUCAAUUUGGGCUUUAAUUAGAAGAAAUUUAAGUUCUGGGGCCAAAAUAUAUUUUUUAGGAAUUUAUUAGGUCAAAUCAGGGGCUUAAUUGCAUAAAUAUUGAAGUUUAAUGGCCAAUUAGGGACUUAAUUGUGAAAAUCCGAAACCAGGGACCAAUUUGGAAAAGGCGCAAAGAUAGAGGGGGCUAUUUGGAAUUGAUUCAGGGGCUUAAUUGAAGAAAUUGGAAGUUUAUUGAUCAAUUAGGGGGUUAAUUGUGAAAAUCAGAGGCCAAGGACAAAAGUGAAAAACGCGGCCAACUAUAGGGGCAGGGACCGAAUUUGGCAGGGACGCAAUUGAAUUUUAUUCUUAAAAUCAGGACUCGAUUGAAGGACUUAAUAGAACAAAUGAUAAAUUAAGGACUGAUUCAAAAACAAAUGUUCUGGCGCCUUUUUUUAAAUGAAACGACGCAGUUUCAUACAUAAAAAAAAAAAAAAAGAAGAGAGAGAAGACCGAACGGUGCCGUUUUGAACAGACAGCGGGGAAGAAGGAAAAGAUUGCAUUGUUUAAUUCGUUUUGAACCAACCAAGGCCCCACGCCGGUGGGCCACCGACAGAAGACACUGGCCGACCACCCGCCGCGCUCCCGAAACCGAGGGAGGCCCGCUUGGACAGCCGCUCCUCGACACGCUCCUUGGCUCCACGGUGAAGCCACGCUCACUGGCUCUAUAAAUAGAGAACCGAAAGAGAGAACAGGGGAUGAAAAAAGAAAAAGAAAAGGAAUCCGAAGAAAACUAAAAAAUGAAGAGAGAGAGGAAGAGAGAGAAACAACCCAACUGAGGAGAGAGAGCAACCGAAAACCCAAAAAAACCAAGAGAAGAGUGAAAGUUUGACGCUGGGAGGGAAUUUAGAAAACAAAAACCAAGAAAUAGAACCGAGAGGGCGUCGCCGGAUUGUUUGGAAAUCACCGUGAGGAGUCGCCGUCCGUGAUCUAGGACGCUGCAACCGCCUCCACCGCAGCACCGCCAGCAAGUCGUCGUCUCCGCUGUGCCAGGUACGCUUCCUCCCCCCGCAUUUUUUUUCUUCUGAAACUUGCAUGAGUUGGCCUCUUGCAUGCAGAAUCGUUCUGCAUGCAGGAGGCGGGGGGGAAAAUAAUUCCCCCCCGUGCUGUAGUUUUCUUUAUUCUCUAGGCCAGAUGAUUUCUGGCCCAGAAAUAUAUGGGAUGGGCCAGAAGGAUUCUGGCCCAACCCGGCGGUCUGGGCCGGUUCCGGCCCAGACCCAGGUAGGAUAGUUGUUGGGCCGAGAUCGGCCCAGUCCCUUUUGGCCCGAGUCUGGCCCAACGAUUUUUGGGGCUGAGUCCCGCCCAUUUAGUUGGGCCGGCCCAGCCCACUUAAUAUAUUAAUAUAUUUAUUAAAUUAAAUUAUAUUAUUAUAUUAUAUUAUUAUAUUAUUAUAUUAUAUUAUGCAUGUAUAUAUAUAUUUUUUUAAAAAAAUAAAAAAAAAUCCGAAAAGUCUAAAAAAUAUUGUUGUUUUCUUUUCAUAUAUAUAUAUAUAUAUAUAUAUAUAUAUUUAUAUACAUUAGUUUGUAUUUUUAUACUGUGGAGAUACAAACUCAGUGUUUAAAAUACCCAGUUUUCGUCAAGACAUUCAAGAUUUUCAAAGACAAAAAAAAAACAUGUCUGUUUGCUUUCAAAAAUUCUAAAAAAUUCCUUAAAAAUAUUAUUGAUUUUUCCUGCACAUUGUUUUUUGUUUUUUUAUAUUGGUUUGUAUUUUUAUACUGUGGAGAUACAAAUUCAGUAUUAAAAUACCCGAUUUCGUCAAAAAAAAAUGUUUACAAAAAAAAAAAUGUGUUUUCUUGCGUGUUGCAUACGGCCAAUACUCUAACAUGUUUUGAAUGUUCUUUUUAUAAAAAACAAAUAUUGGAAGCUUUGAAAAUGUGUUUUCGCAUAGAUUUCUUAAACACAAACUACUUUCUUGCAUUUCUGGAUUUUACAACAUGUUUGUAAAACUCCAAAGGGUAUUGGCCAAUAUUCCAAAAACUAUAAAAAAUUUUAUUCACCGCUAAUGUUUGGAUAAAGAAAUUCUUAAAGGACGAAUAUCCAAAAUAUUAGUGGGAGUAAUAAAUCUGCACACAUCUUUGAAAGAAGCCUUGAUUAUAAUCGAGGACAUUUCAAAAUUUCAAAAAAAAAAUUUCCCUUCACGGUUUACGAGCCGUGAAUGUAUGAAAUACUAAGGCAAGAUGUUUUUUUUAAGCAUUGUGAAUUUUCUUAGAUUUCUAAUUUGUUCCUCCUCCUUGCGAUUUACGAGUCGCAAACUCUUGAAAUACUAAGGGAAAAAUGAGCUUUCAAAGCACAUGGAAUCUCCUUAGAUUUCUACCCAAAAUAAAUUGACGGGACUAGAAAACACCAACACCAUAGAUUAUAGAGCAAACCAAACACCAAGCAGCUUACCUUAGGUAUGGCGUACUAGGGGUGCUAAUACCUUCCCUUUACGCAACCAGUCCCUUACCUUAGAAUCUCUGAAAGACCAGUUAGGGUUCCUAGUGACCAAAAUACUAGGUGGCGACUCCAAAACACCAAAUCAGUAAAAUAAUGAAAAAUCGCCAGUCGAACCCGCAAUUGGAUUGGAUUUUUUUUGGGGUGCGACAGAAUGGCGACUCCACUAGGGACCCUUGGACUAAGCUUGAUUUGUUUGUUCGUUUAUGCUAUGUGUGAUUGGUUUUUAUUUUCUUAUGAUGCUUUGUUUAAAAGCUUUAGCAUAUUUCUUUACAUUCUAUCAUACAUGGCAUAGUCAUGCAUUACUUUAUUAUUAUUAUUAUGUUUUGGAGGGCACACACAUGUAACUUUAAGAUUAAGUGGGGGACUAGCAGCUUGCCUUAUGACUUGAGUCAAGGUUUAAGUUUGUGUAAACCCCAACUCUUUGCUGAGUGUUUAGACUAUUGUGAUUGGUACAUGUACCAUCCCACUAUCUGCUAGACCUCCAUAUCGCCUUUACGAGGUUGAUCACUGGAACAACAAGAGACCCUCUUUUAGAGACCCAGUAGUAAACCUACCCUAUGUCUCACGUAGAGGAACUAGAACCUAUCCUUAGGGUGUAUGUUCCAAUAUAUCUUUUGCAUCAAAACAAGUCUAAACCCCAAUGCAUUUUGAAUUGCAGGACUUGUGAACGAAAUGACCAUCAUCACUAAAUCUUCCAUCUUAGAGUAUGGAAACAAUUCUGAACUGUCACAAUUGACUGAAGGAGACUACCUUAGAAGCGAUGCUAAGAAGAUGUCACCAAUCAAGAACCUGAAUUGCAUAUUGAAUGAGGUGAACAAAUUAACGACUCAUUUUCAGAAUGUGGAUAAAGAUGCAUUUUUUAGGAAAUACGGACGUUUGAUGGAAAUUGCAAAGGUAGAAGUUUUAAGCCCAGCUGUGCGAGCUUUAGUUCAUUUUUGGGAUCCAGACUACCGAUGUUUUUCCUUUGGAAGCAUAGACUUGUGCCCAACGGUUGAGGAAUAUGGAUUGUUGACCGAGUUUCCCAACGACCUGUAUCAGAUUUAUUCUCCUUUAAGAUCCGACAAGAUCAUCCCUGAACUGUCAAAAUUGCUCAGAAUCUCCAACUUGGAAAAGUUUAUGGAAAAGAAUGGUACCGGUUUGAAAUGGAGGAUGCUAGAAUUGGAAAAGAAGUCGGGAGUAGAAAAAGAGAGAUUGAUUGCCCUAGGUAUAUUUGGCCUUGUGUUGUUCCCAAGUCAGAUUGGUUUAGUGAGUUUGGAGGCCGCUGCUGCUUAGGUGGAAUAUGAGAAUACACAAAUCAAUCUAGUGGCUGCUUUUUUAGCCGAAACAAUUUUGACACUUAAUCAUUAUAGGAGGGCCGGAAAAGGAGCAAUGAGAUGUUGCACGCAACUGUUGUAUAUUUGGAUGGUUAGCCAUAUCGAAACAAAGAAACCUGUCUUCAAUAAUUUUUGGUGGUUCACCUAAAAACCCCUAAAGUUAGUAGAAGAAGAAGAAUGGGGAGAUCUAGACAACCAGGGUUGGGUUGAUAAAUUAGAAGGUUUACCUAAUAGAGAUUUUAAGUGGAGAGCCCCAUGGGUAACGACAGUGAAGGUCCUAAUGAGUUGUGGACAAAGGCGUUGGGUACCAUUGGUGGGGAUUACGGGUUAUGUGAGUUAUGCUCCUGCCUUAGUGGUAAGACAACUUGGGGUCAUGCAGUUCGUUCCCAGGACUAUGGGAAUCGCUUAAUUCUCUGGUUUGUUCAAAGAUCCCAUGGCAGAUGAGGUUUUGGAGAUCAUCAAACAAGAUUGGAAGCAUCUAGUGUUGGUGGAGAUAGAAGGGUUGAGAGAUCCAAGUGUGAGCGAAGGAUAUGUAAAAUGGAGAGACUCAGCUACUUCAGCCACGCCUUGCGUAGAAGCUAAAUCUCCUCAAGCUGUAGCGGAGCCUAUUAAGAGAAAAAGGGUGAACAUUGAAGAUGAUUCAGCUGCUUCAGCCAUGCCUUGUGUAGAAGUCAAAUCUCCUCAAACUGUAGAGGAGCCUAUUAAGAGAAAGAGGGUUAGCAGUGAAGAAGAAUUGAGAAGGCAAGUGGAAAAACUGAGAAUAGAGUUGAGCAAGAGCAGAAAAGACAAGGCAAUGUUGGAAGAAAUGAUGCUAGAAGAGGAUAAAAGAAGAACAUUUCUAGAUGAGCAAAUACAGUCUAGAGAUGCGAAAAUAACAAAGCUGGAGUUAAAGUUGGUUGAGGAGAAGAUUGCUAGGGAAGGAAGUGAGAAGGAGCUUAAAGGGUUGAGUUUGGAUUGGAUGCAAAGUUGCUCUGAACUUGAAGCAAUGGAGAUGGACUUUAGCGAUUGCCAAGAAAGUGCAGAAUAUUACCAAGAAAAAUUUGCGCAAGUGCAAUUCGAACUAAUGGAUAGGAUUAGGAAGUAUGAGGAUUUGAAUAAGAAAUAUAUGGAGUUGGAAAGCGAAAGGGGAGGAUGCGAGGAUGUUAAAGCAGAGUUAGCGGUCAAGAAAAAUGAGAUAAAAGUUAUGAGGAUAAAGCUUGACAAAGAACGCGAAAAGUCGAAGCAUUUAGACGAGAAGCUAGUAGCAAUGGAAAAGCAUAAAGAUCAAAUUGACGCCAACAACACUGCUUUGAACAGAACCAACAUGUUGCUAAUAGAAAAAAUGACCAAAACAGAUGAGCAAAUGGACGAAGCUGCUGCACAUGCUCGAAUUGUUAGAAUCAAUGCGCGGAAUGUAGGAGGAGACAUCAUUCGCUAUCGCCGAAGCCUAGCUGAAACUGAUGCCUUUCUAGGGAAGAUUGAGAACCGCGGCUUUGCUUUCUUACCUUUGGCUAAAGAGUUUAGGGAGGAAAGGGAUUAGCAUGUUGUAUUUCUUUUAUUUCUAAAUGUAUUUUUAUCCAAGCGUUAAUGAAAAGGGCGUUGACCCAUCUUCUUAUGCAAAAAUCUGUCUCUUGGUGAACAUGAUUCAAGCAAACGACUCGAAAGGCAGAACUCCUAUCAAAGCAAUGUGACAAGAGAAUGCUUAUAAUGUGAUGGUUGUUAUUCGUUCACAAAAAAAGGCUGCAUCCAUACCCAAUGAAACAUGCAUUUUUCAAUCAUGCAUCCAUCACAAUCAUACAUUUUUCUCAUACAUCUAUGCAUGCAUCUGCAGAUUAAGAAACAUAGGUCCCCCUUCUAGAAUCCACAACACUCGACAAAGAACAAGAAUGGAAAACGAAGAAAGGUCACAACCAGAAGCUCAGUACCAAAGAGAACUUGAAGGAGUUCGGAAUGAUGUGGCGCACCUAACCAGUAUGUUAGAGCAGAUAUUGAGAGCCAGAGAUGGAGAGGGAACGUCUACUCAACCUAAUGAAGCACCAGCAGCAGCUCAAAUUCCUGUCGCACCUAUAAACAUAGGGGCAAAUACACCAACUAAGCAGAGUCCUAGUCCUGCUCGGCCCAUCCAAAUCCCUAUUACAAUGGAUUUAACAAACGAAGAUCCACAUGACUUUAAAUUCUUUAAUCAUGAAGGAGAUGAUAAGUGGACUGCACUAGAAGAGAGGCUAAGGGCAAUUGAAGGAAAUGAUUUGUUUGACCCCAUUAGGGUCGCUGAAGUAUGUUUAGUGCCUAACAUUGUUAUUCCAAAGAAGUUCAGAGUGCCAGAGUUUGUUAAGUAUACUAGGAUGGAAUGCCCAAAGACCCAUCUCCGCUCCUACUAUAACAAAAUGGCAGAGGUUAUCCACGACGAUAAAAUGUUAAUUUACUUCUUCCAGGAUAGCCUGACCGGAUCGACCCUCAGUUGGUAUAUGAGGUUAGACAACAUUAGGAUCAAGAAGUGGACGGACCUGGCAGAUGCUUUCUUAAAGCAAUACAAGUUUAAUCUUGAGAUUGCUCCUGAUAGGACCAGUCUGAUUACCAUGGAGAAAGGAACUCAAGAGUCAAUGUACAACCUCCGCUAAUAGAAACAGAAAUGGUGACGUUGUUUGCUAAUACUUUUAAGGCUCCAUACUAUGAACACCUUAUGGGUAGUUCAGCACAACAUUUCUACGAUGUUGUGCAGAUUGCUGAGAGGAUUGAACAAGGAAUCCGAAGUGGGAGAAUUGCACCUAUAGAGAAGAGAGGUUUCAUUGGAAAGAAGAAAGAAAAUGAGGUGAAUAACCUAGAAAGGAGAAGCAAAAACUACCAAAUACCUACCACCUGAGUCACUAGUAUUAACUUUUCCAAACCCCCCAUUCCAAACCAACCCAAUCAAAUAAAAUUCCCAGCAAAUAACCACAUCAAUUACCAAAGAAAGGAUAACCAACCAUCAGAAGAACAACUACCUCCUUUACCAAUAACCUUAAAAGAAUUGUAUGCCAAGCUGUUGAGUAUUGGACAGAUAGCUCCCCUACCCAUACCACCUAUGCAACCACCUUUCCCUACCUGGUACAACCCCGAGGUGACUUGUGAAUACCAUGCUGGUCACGCGGGCCAUAACAUUGAGUCUUGCUUUGCUUUUAAAAGAAAGGUGUUGUAACUGAUCAAAGUGGGAUGGGUCACUUUCGAGGAUUCGCCUUUUGAAAAUGAUGUGUAAAUGCAUAGUAAGACAUCAAGAUGAAUUUUGAAAAUGCAUGAUCUCAUUAAAAACAAAAGAUUGGCUCACAAACAAAAUAAAAUCCAAUUGACAUCUUGAGCCUCGAUUGUCAAUGAAUAAAAACAAAACAGAAAAAAGGCAAACAACAUAGUUAAAAAUAUAAUCCAACAAUCAUUGUUGAUUACAUUUUAAAAACCAAUGGAGCUUCUUGGGUCUCCCAAUUCUAGAACUUCUCCCCUUCGGCUAGCUUCCGAACAAAAGUCUUGACGGUGACUUCUUCCAAAGUGUGGAUGGUUAAUUGUGGCAGCUCUUCAUCCCUCCUUUCGGAUUCAAUUUUCUCAGCAAUGUCCUUGACUUGAUUUUCCUCCAGAAUGUUUAUGCCCUUUGGGACGCUGGUUUUUUGGAAGUAGUGAAGUAUCCACAAUGGGUGUCAAAACAUAGUGGUGGUACCCAAAAAGGAAGGUAAAAUCAGAGUUUGCGUGGACUUUAGGGACUUAAAUCGGGCUAGCCCUAAAGAUAAUUUCCCUUUACCACACAUAGAUAUGUUAGUUGAUAAUGCAGCACACAGCUCCACAUAUUCCUUCAUGGAUGGGUUUUCAGGCUACAAUCAGAUAAGAAUGGCGCCAGAGGAUAGGGAGAAGACAACCUUUGUAACACCAUGGGGAACCUUUUGCUACAAAGUCAUGCCAUUUGGUUUAAAGAAUGCUGGGGCCACUUACCAAAGGGCUAUGGUGACUUUGUUUCACGACAUGAUGCACAAAGAGAUUGAAGUAUACGUGGAUGACAUGGUUGCUAAAUCUAAAGAGGGAGAGAAUCAUGUCCAAAUAUUGAAGAAAUUAUUUGAAAGAUUAAGGAAAUAUAAGUUCAGGCUUAGCCCAACAAAGUGUUCAUUCGGGGUGUAAUCCGGUAAGCUGUUGGGGUUUAUGGUGAGUGAUAAAGGGAUAGAAGUGGAUCUUGAAAAAGUAAAAGCUAUUCAAUCUAUGCCACCCCCCAAGACUGAGAAGGAGGUGAGAGGUUUCUUAGGAAGGUUGAAUUACAUCGCUCGGUUUAUAUCCCAUUUAACCGCGACUUGUGACCCGAUCUUUCGUUUGUUGAGGAAGAAGAACCCUGGAAUAUGGAAUGAAGAGUGUGAUAAAGCUUUUGAGAAAAUCAAGCAGUACUUGCUAAAUCCACCUCUGCUUGUUCCUCCCGUACCAGAAAGGCCAUUGAUUUUAUACCUAACAGUAACCGAAACAGCAAUGGGAUGUGUGCUUGGGCAACAUGAUGAAACCGGAAGGAAGGAAAGGGCCAUUUAUUACCUAAGCAAGAAGUUCACGGAAUAUGAGUCUAGGUAUACUGUGAUUGAGAAGCUGUGUUGCGCACUAGCAUGGGCUACAAAGAGAUUACAUCAGUAUAUGUUGUAUCACACUACAUGGUUAAUUUCCAAGUUAGACCUAUUAAGGUACAUUUGUGAAAAACCUUAUCUAUCUAGCCGAAUUGCAAGAUGGCAAGUUCUUUUGGCUGAGUAUGACAUAGUAUAUAUGACAAGGAAAGCCGUGAAAGGGAGUGUUAUUGCCGAUCACCUGGCUGACCAUGCUAUGGAAGAUUAUGAGCCGUUAAACUUUGACUUUCUCGAUGAAGAUGUGUUUGCAAUCGAGGAAGAGAAAUCAGAUUGGUGGGUUAUGUACUUUGAUGGUGCUGUAAAUGUAUGUGGUAACGGAGCAGGUGCAAUAAUAAUCUCUCCUGAUAAGAAGUAGUAUCCGGUUUCAGUUAAGCUGCAGUUUGGGUGCACCAAUAACACGGCUGAGUAUGAAGCUUGCAUUCUUGGUUUAGAGGCUGCCUUAGAGAUGAACAUAAAAAAGAUAGAUGUGUAUGGAGACUCAAUGCUGAUCAUUUGCCAAGUAAAAGGAGAAUGGCAAACCAAAGAAGAGAAGUUAAGGCCUUACCAAGAAUACCUAUCUAAGCUAGCUAAAGAAUUUGAGGAAAUAGAGUUCACCCAUCUAGGAAGGGAAGGGAACCAGUUUGCAGAUGCUUUGGCCACACUAGCAUCUAUGGCCAAGAUAGACUUUGGGCACAAGGUACAACCAGUACACAUCAAUAUCAGAAAUAACCCCGCUCAUUGCUGCUCAGUCGAAAGAGAAGUGGAUGGAAACCCGUGGUACUAUGAUAUCAAGAAUUUCAUCCAAAACCAGGCAUAUCCCAUGGGGGCAUCCAAAAUCGACAAGAAGACCUUGAGAAGGUUGGCAAUGGAUUUUUAUCUUGAUGGGGAGAUUUUGUAUAAGAAAUCAUCUGACGGGACUUUGUUGAGAUGUUUGGAUGAAUUUGAGGCAAAAAGCACGGUACGGGAAGUCCAUGAAGGGAUUUGCUCAACUCAUGCUAGUGGACAUGUGAUGGCCAGGAAGAUACAAAGAGCCGGGUACUUCUGGAUGACAUUAGAGAAGGAUUGUAUCGAUUAUGUCCGGAAAUGUCAUAAGUGCCAAGUAUACAGUGAAAAUCAAUGCUCCUCCGGCUCCUCUGUUUAAUUUAACAUCUCCAUGGCCUUCGCGAUGUGGGGAAUUGAUGUGAUUGGACCGGUAAACCCAAAAGCCAGCAAUGGUCAUAGGUUUAUUCUCGUGGCUAUCGACUACUUCACAAAAUGGGUAGAAGCUGGGUCAUUUGCUCAUGUGACGCAAAAAGUGGUGAAAAAUUUAUUGAGAGAGAUUUGAUAUGUCGGUAUGGUCCACCAGAAAAGAUUAUAACUGAUAAUGCCCAAAUUUCAACGGCAAGAUGAUAAUAGAGCUCUGCACUAAAUGGAAAAUCAAGCAUUCCAAUUCUUCGCCAUAUAGACCAAAGAUGAAUGGUGCGGUAGAAGCUGCUAACAAAAUGUCAAAAAGAUUAUUCAGAAGAUGGUAGUCACCUAUAAGGAUUGGCAUGAGAUGUUGCCAUUUGCCCUUCAUGCAUAUCGCACCGCAGUUCGAACCUCAACAGGAGCCACCCCGUACAUGUUGGUAUAUGGAAUGGAGGCGGUGAUGCCUUUAGAAGUGGAAAUCCCAUCAUUGAGAGUGUUGUUAGACUCUGAGCUGGAAGAGGUAGAAUGGGCAAAGGUUAGAUAUGAACAGUUGAAUCUGAUCAGUGAAAAGAGGAUAGCCGCGAUCUGUCAUCAUCAACUCUACCAAAGAAGGAUGGCUAAAUCAUAUGACAAGAAGGUUCGACCUCGAGGAUUCCACGAAGGAGAUCUUGUACUAAAGAAAAUAUUACCUUUACCUGGAGAAGAUCAGAGUAAAUGGGCACCUAACUACGAGGGGCCUUACGUGGUGAGGAAAGCAUUCUCAGGAGGAGCUUUGUUACUGUCUAGAAUGGAUGGAGAAGAUCUAGCUAGGCCUGUGAAUUCCGACUCUGUAAAGAAAUACUACGCUUGAUGUAUUUCGUAAUUUCCCAGUCAAUAAAAUAAAUUUCGGCCAUGAAUUCUCUUUGUAAAGAGUCCUUUUUAUAUAUAUAUAUAAAACAUAUGAUCUCAUAGCAUUUGAAAUCUUUUACUUAAAAGAAUUUUUUUGCAUGACUAAGAAGAUGACUCCAUCAAUUGGAGAGAACCAAAUCAAAUCUGCUUGACAUAUAGUUGCACAUCACACUAGGGGGCAAAAGGUGCACGAAGUGCACAUAAGGGUCCAUAGUGAACCCAAGCCAAAAAGGGGUAUCAUAAUAAAAACUUCUGAAAAAGGCAUCUUUUAUAAGAUUUGCUAAUUGCAUUAAAAGUUUCAGUUUUCAUGAACAAAACCAAUUUUUCCUUUUAAAAUAAUAAAGCACAGAAAUCAAUGGAGCAAGAAAGGGCCCCAUAAGGAACCAGAGAUCUCUUCACUAAAAGGAUAUGAAGUAUAUUUCGGUUCAUGAGAAAAGCUUGAAACAAGAGCUCGAAGAGGUUUACGACGAAAGGGGGACCUAUGUUUUCAAGAUAGGUAACAAAAACAUACAUCCAUAUUGACCAUAAUACAUUUCUUUCAACAUUUGUCAGAUCGGGGUUUCAUCACCACUUCUCGGGUUGUGCGUUUGUUUUUAAACCCUACCUCAUUUCGAGUGCGCAUUUGAGCCCUCACUUCUUGGGUAGUGCGUUUUCUAACCCUACUUCUUUUUUAGUGAGCUGUGUUGUAACCCAUUUUUGGGUCCCCACAUAAAAAAAAUAAAAAUUCAAAAAAUAUAUUAUCAAAAAAUAUAACAGUGAAAAAAUGCUAGAGCGCCCUAAAAAUGCUCAAAAUUUGAUUGAGGAUGUUCAAAAAUCAAAAAUUAAUUUUUGACAGUAUAUCAUUGACUGAUGAGAGCCCCGAUGAUAAAGAAAAUUCAAUUUGUGGAAGAAAAAUGCAAAAUCAGAAGUUUAUGGACUCAAUGAAAUUUUAUUAAAGGUUUAAUUGCAUUUAUGAAGAUUUUAAUUGCAAGAAAAAUUGAUUUUGGAGUUAAUUUGGGCUUUAAUUAGGAGAAAUUAAUUUUCUAGGGUCAAAUUAUAAUUUUUGGAAGUUAAUUUGGUCAAAUCAGGGGCUUAAUUGCAUAACUAUUGAAGUUUAAUGGCCAAUUAGAGACUUAAUCGAAGAAAUCCGAGACCAAGGACUAAAAUGCAAAACGCGCGCAAAUUGAGGGACUUCUUUGAAUCUGACGCGUUUUGGCGCCUUUUUCUUUUAAAUGAAACGGCGCGUUUUGACCAAAACAGCGCCGUUUCAUUCACUGUUGCAAAAAAAAAAAAAAAAAAAAAAAAACAGAAGCCCAAAACGGUGCCGUUUUGACGACACUGUAGGUCUUCUUCUUCCCCUGGACGCGCGAGGCAGGGGAAGAAGAAGAUUUUUCUUCUCCCUUUUCGCGUACUUUCUUUCCUUCUUUUGCUCAAAAAGACGCCGAAACAAGGACACCACUUGCCCAAGGAUUUCCACAUGUUGGACGAACAUUGGAGGGGCGGCAGCAUAGUGGCCGCCCCAGCCACGUCUCCCCUGUUUUUCGCCUAUAAAAACAGGGGAGGAAGAAGGAGGAAGAGGGGAAGAAAAGAGAAGGGAGAGGGAAGAGAGAAGAGAAGAGAAGAGAAGAGAAGAGAAGAGAAAGAAGAGAGGAAAAGAAAAGAAAAGAAAAACAGAAACAGAAGAAGAAAGAAAGAAGCAGGGGAGAAGAGAGAAGAAAUCGUCGCCUCUGCCACCCUUCGAUCACCAGCAGCACCGCCGGCCACCGCUCCAGUUGGAAGCUCCACCGCGUCAGGUAACCUCCUGCUCCCUCGCCAUCAUUUUUUUUCUUCUCGCCCUCGCUGUCCCUGCCUGCACUUGCAUGCAGAACGUGAAUAAUUCACGUUCUGCUGCAAAAUGCAGCGUGGGCUGGGCUGGGCCGUCAGCCCAGCCCAUGUAAAAUGGGCUUGGCUGGCCCAGCCCACGCAUUUGGGCCGGGUCCGACCCAUUUUAAUUUUUUAAUUUUUUUUUAAAAAGAAUUUUUACAAUUUUUCCAGCACAUGUUUUUAUCAAUUUUGCUUAAUAUCAGUCUGUAUUUUACAUCGUAAAAAUAUAAAUUCGGUAUUAAAAUACCCGGUUUUCGUCCCGCGGUACUGUUCACACGGCACUAUUCACAAUUCAAAAAAAAAAAAACAAAAUCAAAAAUAUUUGUUUCAGAAUUUUAUAUUUUUUCCGCGUAGUUUUUAUGUCAUUUUGAUUAAUAUCGGGCAGUAUUUUUACAUCGUAAAAAUAUAAAUCCGGUAUUAAAAUACCCGGUUUUCGACAAAAACUUCCAAAAAUUAAAAAAAUUAAAAAAAACAACAAUUAAAAAAAAAAUGUUUUUUGUGCAUACGCCCAAGUUUCUCAAAUCUAAAAAAUCAUAUCGUAUUUUUCAUAUGUCAAAAAACAAUAUUUUAGCAUGCAUUUUGGCUUUAAUAACCAGUUUAUUAAAGUCAAGAGAACAUUGGCCAAAAUCUCAAAAACAACAAAAUAUUUUAUUUUGUUUGAUUUUAGUAUCAGAGAUUAUGAAUUUAUACGUAAAUCGUAUUCCUGAUAUUAAAAAGAUAUUUUCUUUUGACGACUUCGAAUAGUUAGUUUUUUUUUUUUUUUUUUUUUUUUUUUACCCGAUAAAGAUAAGGAUCUCCUUACGGAGGAGGACUUUUCUUAAACCGUAAACGAACCAACAAUUCAAAAACCACAACACGAGUUUAGAUUUUUUCAGACAUUAAAACAAUGCAGCCUACCUUAGGUAGGACGUAGUUGGGGUGCUAAUACCUUCCCUUUAUGCAACCAGUCUCCGUACCCGAUCUCUAAAGACCAGUUAAGGUUCCUAGUAACCAGAAUACUAGGUGGCGACUCCCAUUCCAAUUUUUUUUCACUUGUAGAGACAAGAAUUCCUUGUCUCUCCUUAUUUUUCAGGAAUAAAUUAUUCCGAUUUUCCCUUGAGGGUGGACGAUCGCCGCGCCGCCGCACACGUGCGACAGAAUGGCGACUCCACUGGGGACCUUGUGGACUAAGCUUUGUUUUUGUCUGAUUAUUGUGUUUUUUGUUGUGGUUUGCGUGUUUUUAUUUUUAAAUAUACAUUUCCUUUAUUUUUUCUUACACGCUUUAAUUUCUGUAUAUAUUUUUCAAACCAUACACAAGCCUUUAAGUUAAGUGGGGAAUUAACGAUCUGCCCUAUGACUAUUGGUCGGGUUCAGAUGCGUGAAACACCCAACUCAUAUCUGAGAGCCUGCUUGGUAAUGGUGGGCAUACGUGUCUUAACUGUUCUUUGCAACGCCCCCAUACUGCCUUUACGAAGGACGUCACUGGGCAGAUAUGAGACCCUUUUGAGACCAGGUAGAAAACCUAUUCAUGAAUAGACCCUGUCUUUAGUUUGUAUGCGCUAUCUUUCUUUACAGAAUAUGUCAUACAAAAAAAAAAAAAAAAAUCAUGUCACCCCUUUGAGGGGCAAGUGCAUCAUAUAAAUUACAUGUUCAAACAUUUAACAUGCAUACAUGCCAGAUCGAAAUAUAGGUCCCCAAAAAGUCUACAACACCCGACUUCGAGCAAGAAACAUGGAAGAUGAAGAGCGUGCUCAACGUGAGGCCUAUUUGCACAACGAGUUGGAGUCUCUGAAAAUAAGUGUGGCUCACCUCACUAGCUUACUCAAGCAAACACUAAGAAAUACCUCUGAUGAAGGUAUUUCUAAUCGACCGAUUACCUUUGAUCCGACUCCUACUACAGUUCAGCCUGAGGAAAGAAUGAGCGAACAUGGUCAAGAACCUCAGCAAAAUCCAACAUUUGUGCAGUCAACGACACCUGCACCAUCCCCAACAGUCGUGAAGGCAUCUGCUAAUGAGUCCUACAAGGCUAAGUCAUCUGAUAGCAUUGAUCAAGCUAAGAUAGAGGCGUUGGAGGCCAGACUCAAAGCCAUUGAAGGGAUAGACUUAUAUGACCCGGUACGGGCAGCAGAGAUGUGUUUGGUCCCAAAUGUGGUUAUCCCAAAGAAAUUUCGUGUUCCUGAAUUCAUCAAAUACAGUGGAACACAAUGCCCCAUGACCCAUCUCAGGUCCUACUGCAAUAAAAUGGCUGAGGUAGUACAUGAUGAAAAACUACUAAUGCACUUUUUCCAAUACAGUUUAAGUGGGGCAACUUUGAGUUGGUACAUGAGAUUGGAUAACACAAAAAUUCGCAACUGGAAAAAUCUUGUGGAUGCUUUCGUCAAGCAAUACAAGUACAACAUGGACAUUGCGCCCGACAGAACCAGUUUGUCCAAUACAGAGAAAAAGGAUAAAGAAAGCAUAAGGGAAUAUGCUCAAAGAUGGCGAGAAUUAGCUGCUCAAGUACAUCCCCCACUUCUGGACAAAGAGAUGGUCUCUUUAUUUGCCAACACACUUAAAGCACCAUAUUACGAACAUAUGAUGGGUAGUUCAGCCCAACAAUUCACUGAUGCUGUGAUAGUGUGUGAACGCAUAGAGCAAGGUGUCAAGAGUGGUAGAAUUGCUGCACCAACCGAGAAAAGAGGCGUCGAAAGAAAAGAGGUUCACCAUGUUGAAGAUGACUACAUGGGUAAAACAAAUACAUCCCGAAAUUACCAUACUAUUCAUACGGUACUGUUCACACAUGCAUAAAAAAAAAAACAAAAUCAAAAAUAUUUGUUUCAGCAUUUUAUAUUUUUUCCGCGUAGUUUUAUGUCAUUUUGAUUAAUAUCGGGCAGUAUUUUUACAUCGUAAAAAUAUAAAUCCGGUAUUAAAAUACCCGGUUUUCGACAAAAACUUCCAAAAAUUAAAAAAUUAAAAAAAACAACAAUUAAAAAAAAAAUGUUUUUUGUGCAUACGCCCAAGUUUCUCAAAUCUAAAAAAUCAUAUCGUAUUUUUCAUAUGUCAAAAAACAAUAUUUUAGCAUGCAUUUUGGCUUUAAUAACCAGUUUAUUAAAGUCAAGAGAACAUUGGCCAAAAUCUCAAAAACAACAAAAUAUUUUAUUUUGUUUGAUUUUAGUAUCAGAGAUUAUGAAUUUAUACGUAAAUCGUAUUCCUGAUAUUAAAAAGAUAUUUUCUUUUGACGACUUCGAAUAGUUAGUUUUUUUUUUUUUUUUUUUUUUUUUUACCCGAUAAAGAUAAGGAUCUCCUUACGGAGGAGGACUUUUCUUAAACCGUAAACGAACCAACAAUUCAAAAACCACAACACGAUUUUAGAUUUUUUCAGACAUUAAAACAAUGCAGCCUACCUUAGGUAGGACGUAGUUGGGGUGCUAAUACCUUCCCUUUAGCAACCAGUCUCCGUACCCGAUCUCUAAAGACCAGUUAAGGUUCCUAGUAACCAGAAUACUAGGUGGCGACUCCCAUUCCAAUUUUUUUUCACUUGUAGAGACAAGAAUUCCUUGUCUCUCCUUAUUUUCCAGGAAUAAAUUAUUCCGAUUUUCCCUUGAGGGUGGACGAUCGUCGCGCCGCCGCACACGUGCGACAAGCUGUUUGAGCCCUCACUUCUUGGGUAGUGCGUUUUCUAACCCUACCUCUUUUCGAGUGCACCGUUUGAGCCCUCACUUCUCGGGUAGUGCGUUUUCUAAACCUUACCUCAUUUCGAGUGCGCCUUUGAGCCCUCACUUCUUGGGUAGUGCGUUUUCUAACCCUACCUCUUUUCGAGUGCAUCGUUGAGCCCUCACUUUUCGGGUAAUGCGUUUGUUUUUAACCCUACCUCAUUUCGAGUGCGCCUUUGAGCCCUCACUUCUUGGGUAGUGCGUUUUCUAACCCUACCUCUUUUCGAGUGCGCCGUUUGAGCCCUCACCUCUCGAGUAGUGCGUUUUCUAACCCUACCUCAUUUCAAGGGCGCCUUUGAGCCCUCACCAACAUUUUUCUGGGUAGGUCACUCAUUACAACGCGACCACUUCUCCAUUUUUUUUUUUUACUUUGGUAGGUCACCCAUUACAAUAAGGCCAUUCUUCCACCUGGGUAGGUCACCCAUUACAAUGAGACCACUCUUUCCUUUUUCUUUGAGUAGGUCACCCAUUACAAAUGAGACCGCACUCCACAUUUUUUUCUAUUUGGGUAAGUCACCCAUCACAACGAGACCGUUUUUUCAUAUUCUUGCCACUUGGGUAGGUCACCCAUCACAAUGAGACCAUUAUUAUUAUUAUUAUUUUCUGGGUAGGUCACCCAUAAGAAUGAGACCAUUCUCCAUUUUUUUUUUACCUGGGUAGGUCACCCAUAAUAAUGAGGCCAUUCUUCCCCCUAGGUAGGUCACCCAAAGAAUGAGACCACUCUUCCUUUUUUCUUGGGUAGGUCACCCAUCACAAUGAGACCAUUAUUUCUUUCUGGGUAGGUCACCCAUAAGAAUGAGACCAUUCUCCAUUUUGUUUUUACCUGGGUAGGUCACCUAUAAGAAUGAGGCCAUUCCUCCCCCUGGGUAGGUCACCCAAAGAAUGAGACCACUCUUCCUUUUUCCUUGGGUAGGUCACCCAUCACAAUGAGACCAUAUUUUUUCUAGGUAGGUCACUCAUAAGAAUGAGACCAUUCUCCAUCUUUUUUUUUACCUGGGUAGGUCACCCAUAAGAAUGAGGCCAUUCCUCCCCCUGGGUAGGUCACCCAAAGAAUGAGACCACUCUUCCUUCUUCCUUGGGUAGGUCACCCAUCACAAUGAGACCAUAUUUUUUCUGGGUAGGUCACCCAUAAGAAUGAGGUCAUUCCUCCCCCUGGGUAGGUCACCCAAAGAAUGAGACCACUCUUCCUUUUUCCUUGGGUAGAUCACCCAUCACAAUGAGACCAUUAUUUUUUCUGGGUAGGUCACCCAUAAGAAUGAGACCAUUCUCCAUUUUUUUUUACCUGGGUAGGUCACCCAUAAUAAUAAGGCCAUUCUUUCCCCUGGGUAGGUCACCCAUAAGAAUGAGACCUCUCUUUCCCUUUUCCACUCGGGCAGGUCACCCGUCAUAAUAAGACCACACACAUUUUUUUGUAUUGGUUAUGGGUAACGGAAUCGCCAGAUGGGAUUCCAAAUUCAAAGGAGAUCACCAGAUGGGAUCUCGAAUGGAUUUCCAUGUUGAUCAAACUGAAGUAAGAAUUCAGAGGAUCGCCGGAUAAGGAUCUCGAGAUGACUAAGUUUUGAUCAUAGUUUUUGGGCUACGGAGGAUUGUUGUAAAACACAAAGUUUCAGAUCAAUUAAGCUUCGACCAGAACAGUUUCGGGAGUUCCGUUUUGGGUUUAUCUUUAUAACACUUACUGUGCAAAACCCAUGCUCCAUAAGUAUUAUAAAGAGGGGGCAUCUGUUGUAACCCAUUUUUGGGUCCCCAUAAAAAAUAUAAUAAAUAGCCAAAAGAGGUUAGAAAAAUAACAGGAGGCAGAAGCGCUCAGAAAACAGUCAGAAAAAUUGGUCAAGGAAUUUAAAAAAACAAGGAUUAAAUUUUUGACAGUAUAUUCUUGAAGGAUGAAAUCCCUAUUGAGAAGGAAAAUUUGAAUUUUGAGGAGAAAAGCCAAAAUUUGGAUGUUUAUGGACUUAAUUGGAUUUUUAUUUGAAUUUAUAGAGGAUUUGAUUGCAAGAAAAAUUGAUUUUUAAGUCAAUUGGGCUUUAAUUAGAAGAAAUUUAAGUUCUGGGGCCAAAAUAUAUUUUUUAGGAAUUUAUUAGGUCAAAUCAGGGGCUUAAUUGCAUAAAUAUUGAAGUUUAAUGGCCAAUUAGGGACAUAAUUGUGAAAAUCCGAAACCAGGGACCAAUUUGGAAAAGGCGCAAAGAUAGAGGGGGCUGUUUGGAAUUGAUUCAAGGGCUUAAUUGAAGAAAUUGGAAGUUUAUUGAUCAAUUAGGGGGUUAAUUGUGAAAAUCAGAGGCCAAGGACCAAAGUGAAAAACACGGCCAACUAUAGGGGCAGGGACGCAAUUGAAUUUUAUUCUUAAAAUCAGGACUCGAUUGAAGGACUUAAUAGAACAAAUGAUAAAUUAAGGACUGAUUCAAAAACAAAUGUUCUGGCGCCUUUUUUUAAAUGAAACGGCGCGUUUUCCCCAAAACAACGCCGUUUCAUACAUAAAAUAAAAAAAAAAAAGAGAGAAGACCGAACGGUGCCGUUUUGAACGGCACUGUUCACCUUUCUUCUUCCCCCGAACAUACAGCGGGGAAGAAGGAAAAGAUUGCUUUGUUUAAUUCUUUUUGCAGGUACCUCUAGCCCACCGACCAACCAAGGCCCCACGCCGGUGGGCCACCGACAGAAGACAUUGGCCGACUACCCGCCGCGCUGCCGAAACCGAGGGAGGCCCGCCUGGACAGCGGCUCCCCGACCAGCCGCUCCUCGACUUGCUCCUUGGCUCCACGGUGAAGCCACGCUCACUGGCUCUAUAAAUAGAGAACCGAAAGAGAGAACAGGGGAUGAAAAAAGAAAAAGAAAAAGAAGAGGAAUCCGAAGAAAACUAAAAAACGAAGAGAGAGAGGAAGAGAGAGAAACAACCCAACCGAGGAGAGAGAGCCACCAAAAACCCAAAAAGACCAAGAGAAGAGUGAAAGUUUGACGCUGGGAGGGAAUUUAGAAAACAAAAACCAAGAAAACGAACCGAGAGGGCGUCGCUGGAUUGUUUGGAAAUCACCGUGAGGAGUCGCCGUCUGUGAUCUAGGACGCUGCCACCGCCUCCACCACAGCACCGCCAGCAAGCCAUCGUCUCCGCUGCGCCAGGUACGCUUCCUCCCCCCGCUAUUUUUUUCUUCUGAAACUUGCAUGAGUUGGCCUCCUGCAUGCAGAAUCGUUAUGCAUGCAGGAGGCGGGGGGGAAAUAAUUCCCCCCCCCGUGCUGUAGUUUUCUUUAUUCUCUGGGCCAGAUUAUUUCUGGCCCAGAAAUAUGUGGGAUGGGCCAGAAGGAUUCUGGCCCCACCCGGCGGUUUGGGCCGGUUCCGACCGAAUUACCGACCGAAUUACCGACCGAAAAUUCAGAAUCAAUGAAAAAAGGGCGGGCAGUGGCGCGGAGGUUUUGGCGGGUGAUUUUUCCGACGGAAUUAAAAACUGGGGCCCGUACGCGUGAUGGGACCUAUUCACCAACAAAAAAUACCGACGGAAUCACCGACGGAUUUGAAAUGCCAGAUCCGUACCGGUGACGUGACGGGUGCACCGUUAAAACUACCGACGGAAUCACCGAGGGAUUUGAAUAGCAGGUCCGUGCGGUGACGUGUCGAUUGCCCGUCAUAAUUACCGACGGUUUCGCCGACGGAUUCACCGACGGAAUAAAACCCGUCGGUAAGUCCGUCGGUAAAAGUGAAUAUAUGGCCCCUCUGCCGACACUCUCCUCCCCCAUUUCUCCUUCUUCUUCCUAAUCCUAACCCUCCCCAUCUGCAAAAUAACCAGCCCCCCCUCGCCCCAAAACAAAAUCUUUCUCAUCUCAGCACAACAAGUUGUAUUUGUUUUGUGGUCACAGCAUCCGUGUUUUGAUUUACCGACGGAUUUUAUCAUUUUUUGUAAGUAAUUCUAUCUUUUAAAAUUUUAACAUUUAAAUGUUAAUUUUAUUGUUUUUUUAGUAUAUGUAUUAAUUUUUUUAGUAGAUGUACAUGUUUUAUUGUUAUUUCUCAAACAAACUUGUAGUAUAUGAAUGUAUAAUUUUAUACUUGUUAUGGUUUGUUUUAGAUUUUGUAAGAUUGUAUUUGUUUGAAAAUUGUUAAAACUUAAUUUGUAGAAUUACCGAAUUACAUGUUGUGUUUUGAAAUAAUUAAGAGCUUGCUUAAUUAAUGGGUCCUUUUUAUAGAGGUUCGAUAGAAGUCAUGGAUGAUCGUUCAUGGAUGUAUCUAGAUUCACCCCAAGGAUUGCGGAGGAUGGAUUAUUGUAACGGGGUUCAGGGUUUUAUUAAUUUCGCAACAUCUAUUCCCAGAAAUUUUACUGGAGGCGGUAUUAGGUGUCCAUGCAGGAAGUGUCAAAAUAAAAAGUAUCUGCAUCCAGAUGUUGUAAUGAUGCAUCUUCUACACAAAGGGUUUGUGGAGAAUUACGAGUGUUGGUAUGCACAUGGAGAGGUAUUUGUUAGUAAUAGGAGAAUGGAAGAAACGGUGGUUGGGUCAACUUCUAGUGCUAGCAACGUGCAUGAAGCGGCAAAUGACAACACUAAUCCUUACAGAAACAUGGUUAUGGAUGCAAUGAGAAUGAAUCAAGAUAAUGUCAAUCAAUGUCCAAUCGUAGAAGAAGAACCUAAUGCAGAGGCAGCUAGGUUUUUUGAUUUGUUGAAAGAUUCUGACGAACCAUUAUGGGAUGGCUGCACAAACCACAGUAAAUUAUCGGCUGUGGCACAGGUGUUCACCAUCAAGUCAGAUCACGGGUUGAGUGAGGCCGGGUAUGACAAAAUUAUUGAUUGGGCAAGAAGCAUUUUACCAGAAGGGAACAGGCUCAAAGAGAACUUCUAUGCUGCGAAGUCCAUGAUGAAACCCCUCGGUUUAGGAUACCAGAAAAUUGACAUGUGCCCUAACUUCUGCAUUUGGUUGAACCAUAUCGAGUUGCUCCUUCGAUUGAAUUGGAAGAAAAUUCAAAUUUUCGAGUUCUCGAUGAUAGUCUUGUUGAUAUUGACGGAGAGGAGUUGAAUGUUGUUCUCAGCUCUAGCGGACAACCAAAUGUCGAUGAAGAAGAUGAUAUCCAUAUUGAAGAUUGCGAUGAAGAUGAUGACAAUUCAAUUGAUGAGGAAGAAGAAGAAAAUUCCGACUAAUUAUAAAAAUGAAGCCCUAUGUAAAAACAUUUGUCUCAUGUAAUUUAGAUUAUUGAUGAUGUAUUUUGUAAAACAAAAUAUUUAUUGUUUAAGCAAUGUGGUUAUUGUUUUAUGUGAUAGACAGUUUAUCAGUUAAGUUAUUGCAGGAAGGUAAACAGGCAAUACAAAGACAACCUUUCCUGCAUAAUGCCACAAUCACCGAAGUCCAUACCGACGGAUCAACAUCCGUCGGUAUCUCACAGAGAGUUCGUAAAUAUUUACGCGAAAUGCCACCAACACCAACGAAAUUACCGACGGCUUCACCGACAACUAUACCGACGGAAUGCAAUCCGUCGGCAUAUCACAGUGAGCUCGAAAAAUAUGCCACCACCAUCGACGGGAUUACCGACAGACAAUAGUCCGUCGGCAUCUCACAGUAAGCUCGAAAAACAUCCACCACCAUCGACGGGAUUACCGACGGAACAUAGUCCGUCGGCAUCUCACAGUAAGCUCGAAAAACAUCCACCACCAUCGACGGGAUGACCGACGGAAUAUAGUCCGUCGGCAUCUCACAGUAAGCUCGAAAACAUAACACCACCAUCGACGGGAUUACCGACGGCGUAGGUCCGUCGGUAAUUUGUCGGUUACACAUAUUACCGACAGAAUUACCGACGGACCGCGCAUUUUCCAAAGUGCGUUAAUUAAUGCGCCUCUGAACUUGUCAGAUUACCGACGGAAUCACGGACGGACUGCGAAAAUUUUGGAGGGCUUUUAAAAAUUCGGGGCGAAAUUCGAAAAAUACCGACGGAAUUUUGAUCUGUUACCGACGGAAUUUUGACCUUUUACCGACGGAUGUAAAUUCCGUCGGUUAUGCCGUCGGUAAAAUUGACCUAUAAGUUCCAGCCCCGCCGCUUCGCCUCAUUUUUUCUUCUUCUCCCCGCCGCUUCUUCGCUUCUCCUCCGUUUUUCACCUUAGAUUUUUCAUUUUUUCCCCCUCAAUCCUUAAACACUUUCACCUUUAAUCUCUAGCAAGAUUUGGUGUUGUAAAUCUUCAUUAUAUCAAAAGGUAUGUGUUUUUUUUCUAAUUUAUUUUAUUUUAUUUUAUUUUUAGUUGUUUUUAUUUUUGUUGUGUUGGUGUUUUUUGUUGCAAUGUAGAUAAAGUUUUGAAUUUGACACAUUAUUAAGGUAUGUAUAUUUCGUUCCUUUUUUUUUAAUUUUUGAAUAUUUUUUGAAUUUGUUGAAUAUUUGUUAAUUUAAUUGUUGAAUAAUUGAAUUUAAUUGUUGAAUUAUUGAAUAUUUUUUGUUGUUGUUGUUAGAAUUGUUAUUAGUUAAUUUAACUUAGAAUUAGUUAAAGUUGAAUAUUUGAAUAUUUUUUGAAUUUGUUGAAUAUUUGUUAAUUUAAUUGUUGAAUAAUUGAAUUUAAUUGUUGAAUUUAUUGAAUAUUUUUUGUUGUUGUGUUGUUAGAAUUGUUAUUAGUUAAUUUAACUUAGAAUUAGUUAAAGUUGAAUAUUUGAAUUUUUUUGAAUUUUUUGAAUUUGUUGAAUUAUAAUUGUUAAUGUUGAAUUGUAAUUGUUAAUGUUGAAGUAUAAUUUGUUGAAUUUAUUGAAUUUAUUUUUUGUUAUAUUUUUUAUUGUUUUGAAUAUAAUUAUUGAUUAAUUUGUGAAUUGUAAUUGUUAACGUUGAAUUUAUCUUAGGAUUAAUAGUUGAAUAUGUUGGAAUAAUUAGUAUAGAUUGGUUCGAUUGGUUGUGGCUAUUGUUAAUAUUUGCAGGUUUGUGGAUUUGGGUAGUAUCCAGUAUAGGGGAGGUGCUGCCGAUUUUUUUUUAACUUUUGAAUUUUAUUUUACAAUUAUUAAUAUAAAAUUGUUUAGAUGCGCAAAAUGAAAACCAGAGCUGGUCGUCCAGUCGAAUCAAGUUCGUCUAGCAGCGAUGAUGAUGUUUCCUUAGGUGCCUCUCAAGAAGAGGCACCUACACCACCUGCGCCGUCAACCGAUGCUGCCUCUUCCAGCGAUGUUUCACAUCGCAGACGCGGCAUGCCUUCGAAGCGGAAUCAAUUUACCCGCCAGUUCGAGGCACAGUGGAAGGACGAUCUUUCAAUGUAAGUUUGUUAAGUUUUAGUUUUUUUUAUAUAUAAAAAACAAAUUUAAAACGUAAUUUAUGAAGUAAUCACAAAUUAAUUUCAUUUCUUUUCAGGUUCACAAACAUUGAGGCCGCCCGAUUAAUAUCAUCGGCGUUUAAAGCGUCGAUGGAGAUUCCAUUGUUUCAAUGGAGUCAGAUAUCCAGACAUCCUGAAUGGAUGCCUCAAAUCAAUGCAUGGUUUCGUAGAUUUGAGGUUCGUGUUAAUAUAUAAUUUUCAGCUUAUUUCUAAUAAAUUCAAGUUAUAAUUGUAAAUAAAUUAUUAACAUUUUAAAAAAUUAUUUUUUUAUAUACAGCAUCGAUUCUGCUGGGACGAUGAACAUGACAGUGUUGUGAGGAGGGUGUGGGAAAAUCACGCGGCAAUUAGGUAACAUCGAAAACAAUACGACUUUUUUUUACAUAAUUAUUUAUGUUUUGAAAUGUAAUUUUUUCGUGCGUGAAUUAGGUUGCGUGAUUUUUGGUAUGACGCCCAGAAAAAAGCAAAAAAAACAGCGAGGGAUAAGGGGUUACAAGGCUGGAACGAUGUUGCGGUUUGGAGGGAUUUCAAACCAAUAUACAUCCCGGAAGAUAUAUGGCCGCACUAUCUUCAGCACGUGACGUCUGAGCGGUUCACUCGACGCUCACAGUCCGGUGCCGGCAACCGGAAUCGGCAAAUUCAUGGCUCGGUUACAACGCACACCGCGGCUCCGUUCCGUUUGCUGCACAUGCGAAACGGAUGGUAAGAUUAAUUUAAAUGAAAUAUAUCGUUCAAUUAAUUUGUUGUUAAUAAUUUUUUUCAUUAUAUAUAGGCUACGUCUCUUGGACGUGAGCCGAGCCCUAUGGAGCUGUUUGUGGAGACGCACGUGCGGAGUCAUGACCGCCAAAAGGGGACGCAACAGUUCGUUGACAACCGUGCUCAACAGUUUGUGGUGUGUUUGUUCAACCAUUUUAUUUUGUAAGUUAUUAUUAUGUUUAUUGAAUUGAAUAUGAUUUUUUUUUUCAGGAGACCUAUAAUAAUCGGUUGAGGGAGAGAUACGGGGAUGAUCCUUCGACCCAUCCGGAAUUCGAUCCGGAUUUGUGGAUGGAGGCUGGAUCGUCAGGUGGACCCGAUAAAAAUCGGGUUUACGGGCUCUCCAACACUACCGCUGCCAAGUUGCGGUCGACCGGUACUGCUUCAACCGGUGGGAGCUCCCAAUCUGUAUCGAGCUCCCAAUCUAAGGAGUUUGUGGCCUUGCAGCAAAGGUGCGACCACCUAUCAGAGGCGUACACACAACUCAAAGAAGAGCAAAGAUUGGCGAACGAACAACACAGAUUGGCGGACGAACAACGCAGAGCAGAGUCUGAACAACAAAGAGCGGCCUAUGAAGAGCUUCGUCAAAUGGUCAUGAACAUGACACAAGGCGGAACAUGUGCGCCUAAUCCUUUUUGGCCGCCUAACCCCCACCCUCCUCCUCCACCUUUAUAUUAAUUGUUUUUUUUUUAAACACAUUCAUUUUGUAAUGAAUAUUAUUUAACUUUGAGUUUUUGUUGCUUAAUAUAAAUUUUAUUUACAUAAUUGGUUUGUAUUACUAUUAAUUUAUAUUAUUUUUUCUAAAUAAUUAAAAAAAUAAAAUUACACAGGGAUUUACCGACGGAAUAAAUCCGUCGGCAUUAGACAGUGUCUGAGGUAUGCCAUCCCAUCACCGACAUACUCACCGACGGAAAUAAUCCGUCGGUAUAAAAAUACCGACGAAUUUAUAGACGGAUUUAUUCGGUCGGUAUGAAAUAUCACCGACACUUUUGCCGACGGAGGUAGUCCGUCGGUAUUUAUAUAAAACCGACGGAAUAUAUUCCGUCGGUAUAUUCCCAGCGGGAAACUUUUUUUUUUUGGCGCGCAUGGGCCGUCGGUAAACAUGUUUUUUUUAUUACCGACCGAUAUAGCGACGGAAUGUGGAAUCACCGACAAAAGGUAUUCCGACGGGAGUAUUCCGUCGGUAAUAUAGUCGGUAAAUACUUUACCGACGAACGUUCUGUCACACACCGACGGAAAUAUUCCGUCGGUAAAACUGUGAAAUCUUGUAGUGUCAUGUAAAUGUCUGCAUGAAUACCAAGUGUUCAAACUUCAACACAAAACUUCGUAUAAUAACAUAACUUAAAAACUCUUAGAUGCGAUCUUCGAGAACCCAAACCAAGUUCCUUAUGUUCUUCCUUAUUUAACUACGAGAUCAUCAGUAUGCUGAGGAAUUCAUGACACAACCUUGAGCAUUGGAGAUUCAAACCGAGUUGUAAAUUUGACAAGACAAACACGGACAGCACUUUGACUUGCAUUGGUAUUUAUUUUAUGUCUAGAACUUAGUCAUACAUCUUUCAGCUUCAAAGAAAUUGACCAAAGAGAUAAACUGACAUGCAGCUGUAAAAUGGUGAACUGCCACACAACCUCGCAUGUCCUCUUUUUCCACAGCCUCGUACAAUAGAAAGAAUUGCAUUCACAUAGUAUUUAGGCUUUACUUAAUUAGCAAAACAGCAGUACACCUGGUAAGGAUAUGCAGAUAGGGAUUGUUCUGCCAUGGUAGAAAAAAAUGAACCAAGAUACUUCCAAGAAAUAUACAAGGAAAUGAGCAACAGUGUGCACUCUGCAGAUAGGUAUUUUUCCAAGGAAAUAUAUUAUCCAGCACAUAAAGAUUAUAACUCAUAUCAUGAAAUCCAGAUAUAUGGGAAGAAAGAGCAAAGUAUAUGGUAAAAGAAAGCAACUUUAUAGUUGAGAUAUGACAGGAACAUAAGAAUGCAAGAACAUACCUUCCAGAACUAGGAUAUCUGAGGAUCAGUUUCCUUGUAGCCAUUGUACUCAGUGUGUGCCUUCCAAUCUUCCAGACAGAUAGCAUUUUCACUUCCAUAUAGCAUCUAAUCGUCGAGAUCCUCAAGCUCUAAACUCUGGAAGAACAGCUUCUGUAGCCCAGAGUUUAAAAGAAUAUCAGCAAAACCACGUGCAAAUCUAGAUACUGGUUCAGAGAUAGAUGUGACAAAGCGAUGCUGAAUGAGAAGAUCAACAUAUUUCUCCCGAUUCUUGCUAUUUACAACAAUACUCUUCCCACCAGGGCAAAGUUCCACAACUUUCCUGGAUCCUAGUUCCUCAACUUCUCUAACGAAUGUCAGACUCAAAGCAUCUGAAUCAAUGAACUCAGGAUCCAUCUGCAGAAUCUGUUUGCAACUGCUAUACAAGCAUGGAUCUGCAUCCCGUAUGUCUUCCAAAGUAAUAUGCAUCCCAGCCAAUUGCAAGAAAAAUGCCCGAUCAAAUACAAUGCCGACUUGCACUUUAUGCAUCAAAGCUAAAGCCAUCACUCGACCAGAGAAUGUGAAAUACUCAGGGUGCCUGGGAUCCACCUUGGAUGCUGCACAUAAAAUUAAUACAACGAAGUCCAUAUAUAUACUUUUGUUUGUUAGUGGUUAUCCAUGCCAACAAUUGAAUCCAAGCAAGAUGAUGCAACUUAAUUCAAGUCCAGAAACAGAAGACAAUAACAAACCUCAAUUAUGAUUCUUUGAAGAGGUAUUUCAGAAAUAACCAAUUGCAAUUUUAAUGCAGUGGAAGAAUUAGACAUGUUAAUCCCCAAAGGAACCAAUAACAUAUUAGUGAAACACGGAAUUCAGGUAACAGAGUUGGAGAAACAUGGGAAAUAUUCCUGUAUAAUAACCCUAGGGACUCAAGUACUUCACAAUAAAAUAUUUGUGACACACAAGGUUCGGGAAUUUUUCCCUUAACAAACCUUUGCUAGUGAACCUAUUUACAGGAUGUAAUGCCCUUAUCCCACAUCCAUCAGGAACUCACAUGGUAAACAACUUUUCUACAUAUAAAUGUUAGAGAAAGAACACUAAGAGAAUGCAGUGAAUGAUCUCUCGUACAGUUAAAAUCCAAGCAAUAUUAGUGAAAUAUCUUUGAUUAAGGUCACUGAGAAGGUUCACCGCGUUAAGCCACCCAGUAUUACAUCAAGUGUAGGAAAACUGUCGAACUUCUAAAAAAUGUUAAUUCAAUCCUGACUAUGCCUAAAAUUGAAUAUUAAAUGUCACAUUCUCCAGAUUUAGGUGUAACAUUUCCAGAUGUCCUCCCACUAACAUAUAUCAAAAUAAUGAAGAAUAAUAGUCCAAUGGUUGUAAGUGAUUGAGACAGCAUAGACACAUUAAUGUCAACUCAUAUAAACUGUUGGAGCUCUCCACCACCAUUUAGUGAAUGUUUACUUUCCAGUGUAAAUUAAAACAAAUACUCAGCCCACAAUCUGAAACAUUAGACACACGGCAAUGAAAACGUAUUGUUUACAUAGUCAGUAUUACCUGGGAAUAAAAAUUCAGUUGAGAAAGGAGAAAAUCCAACUUACAGAAUAAAACAUUCACGAACCUAAUUGCAACUGUUGUUCAGAAAAAAAAAUCCUACUCUCAGAAAAACAUGAACGGUUAAUUACAUGAAGUUUCACCCCAACCAAAAAUCAUUACUUCAAUCCUAAUUUCGACUUCCAAAAUUAAUUUGGGUGAAACAAUUCCAGAUGAGCUCAUCUCACCCACUAGCAACAUAAACUAAAUGACGUACAGGUGCUUCUUGAAUGGUUGUAGGUGAUGGAUACAGCAUCAUUACACAUUAAAUGUAAGUUCCUAUAGAUUACAGGAACUGCACAUUUUGUUCAUCUGAGUAAAUUUUUAUUAUCCAGUGAGAAUAUAAGCAACAAUGUUCCAAACUCUAUGCUAGAGUGACACAUUAGACACAAGGCAAUCCAAUAUAUUGUUUAACCAUUCGUAUCAUCAAAAACUAUAUUCAAUUGAGAAAAGAGAGAACCCUGUAGCAUUGUUCAUGUAAGGCAUUCAUGAUUAGGGUUUUCUCGUUUUGUUACCAGGAUUGGUAACCCUAUAUCCAAUCAAGAAAAGAGAAAACCCAAUAGCAUUCAGGCAGCAGAAACUUACCAGGAUUAGGAUAGAACCUUCUGCGAUCACUUGGGCAUGCCACAAAAAGAGCUUUUGAGGAUCAAAUAGAGCUUGUGUAACCAAGAAAAACCACUCCCGCAAUACACCAGGACCAGUAGCUUCCUCAUUUUUAAAUUCCAGAAAUAGACCACCAUGCAGUGCAUCUGAGUCGGCAUGCACUAUGUACUCAAAUGACUCUGACAACAAUUGUUACCGAUCAAUGAGCAUCUCGUGAAGCUCCUCGUAAUCUUCUCACCUCAGGGAACAUCAUCAUAGCCAAAUGCCUCCUAGACUCAAAAUCAAUCACAUCCUUGUUCCGAAGAAGCCAUUGAUGAUCUUCAGUUCUUUUUGCAUAUCUAACAAUCAGCGCACACAAGGAAGCCUUUCUAAGUCUCAAAAGUGUCCAAAACUUUUCCUCAGCACCCUUAUAGAGUUUAGCAAUGUUAUUCAACUCCUUCAAAAUAGCCAAAUAUUGAGACCAACCUGUAUGAUUCAACUCACCCUCUCCAUUCAUUUUCAAAUUUGAAGAAUUCUGCAUUUUCCCAAGACAUUUCUCCAUAAUAUUCAGCAAAUCAAAAAAUAUCACGUGAAGAUGCUCAAUCUCCUUCGCAUACAAUGGAUAAUUAAAUGCCCUGUUGUUCAACGGCAUCGAAACCAGACCCCUACAUGCCCCUUGCUCUGAAAUCAUACUAUACAACGGUACCAAAAAUGCUGAAAAAUCCUUCACAUCAGCUACUGAUGGCCCCACACUCCCCGCCGCACUCCCCAUGAAAUCUUUAAACAAUGUAUCAAACGAAUGUGAAGUAGAGGAAAAACAGAAUUGUAAAGAGAAGUUUUCUCUUGUGUAUUGAAUAAUACCGCUCGUCGAAAUAUAUACAGCAAGCAAAAAAUAUUCUAACUAACUUAUCUCAUGCAAUAUCAAUACUACCCUUUAUGUACAGUGCUUUACAGAAGCAGUUAAAAAAUAAAUAACAGAGUAACAGAAUUCAGGUAACCAUGCCAUCCUUCUCUGUAGUGACGUGGUGUAUUGAUGAGUCAUCCUCUAAUAUCCCCCCGCAAGAUGGAGAGUAAAAAUUUACGAUGCCCAUCUUGGAUAAAUGAAAAUUGAGAACAGAGGAUGAUAGAGCCUUUGUCAUGAUAUCAGCAAGUUGAUUAGAGCUGGAGACAUAACGAGUGCAGACGUGGCCAGCCUGAAUCUGGUCUCGAAUAAGAUGGCAGUCGAGUUCAAUGUGUUUAGUCCUCUCAUGGAAUACUGGAUUUGCCGCAAUAUGGAUAGCAGCUUGGUUGUCACAGUGUAAGAAAACUGGUUGUAGAUGUUGGACAUGGAGUGCAGACAGAAUGUAUUUCAGCCAGGAUAAUCCAGUGCAGGUUACAGCCAUGGAAUGGUAUUCGGCCUCUGCCGAAGACUUAGAGACCACAGAUUGUUUCUUAGAUUUCCAUGAGAUCAAGGAAGAGCCAAGAAAAAUACAGUAGCCACUAAUAGAACGUCUGGUAUCAGGGCAAGAAGCCCAAUCAGAAUCGCAAUAAGCCUCAAGAUGUAAAGAGGAAGAACUGGAAAAUAAAAGCCCCUGACCUGGUGCUCUCUUAAGGUAACAAAGAACUUUGUGAGCUGCAUGUAAAUGUGCAUCAGUAGGAUUAGCCAUGAAUUGGCUCAAAUUGUUGACACUAUAACAAAUAUCAGGCCGAGAGACUGUAAGAUAAAGGAGCCUGCCAAUAAGACGUCGGUAAAUACUGGGAUCAGAUAAGGGAGUGCCCGUGGUCUGAGUAAGGUUAAGAUUUUGUUGCAUUGGAACUUUAGCAGGGGUGCUGCCUAAGGUGCCAGAAUCUGCAAGAAUAUCCAAUGUAUAUUUCCGUUGGCAAAUAUAAAUGCCUUUGGAGGAUCUUGCAACCUCUAUGCCGAGAAAGUAGCGUAAAGGGCCAAGGUCCUUGAUCUGAAAAUGCUUGUGAAAAAUGGAUUUCAAUUCUUGCACAAUAGUAAUGUCACUACUUGCAACCAGUAUAUCGUCGACAUAAACAAGAAUAACAACAAAAGUGCCAUUAAUGUCACGGGUGAAAAAGCUAUAAUCAGCCUUGGAUUGAGAGAAACCUGCAGCAAAAAGAACAUUAGAAAAUUUGGAAUACCAUUGCCUUGAAGCUUGUUUGAGACCAUACAAGCUUUUGAGCAAUUUACAGACUUGAGUAGGGGAUCCUUUGGUGUAGCCAGGAGGUUUAUUCAUGUAGAUAUCUUCAUGCAAGUCCCCAUGCAAAAAUGCAUUAUUUACAUCGAAUUGAUGUAAAUGCCAACCUUUAACUGAGGCAGUAGCUAAGAGACACCUCACGGUAACCAACUUAGCCACAGGAGAAAAAGUAUCUUGAUAAUCCACUCCCUCAAGUUGGGUGAAACCGCGAGCCACAAGUAUUGCUUUAAGACGUUCAACACUCCCAUCAGAAUGAUACUUAAUUUUAUAAACAUAUUUGCAAUCAAUGGGAACUUUGCCAGGAGGUAAAUCCGUAAUCUGCCAAGUGUGAUUGGCCUCCAAGGCUGCUAAUUCAGUGUCCAUGGCUUUACACCAUCCAGGGUCUUUAAGAGCUUGCUUAUAUGUUCUUGGUUCAAUAUGAGUGGAAAUAGUAGUUGAAAAAGCUUUAUAAGAAGGAGAAAAAUACUAGUAAAGAAAUAGUAUUAUGAAGGGGGGAAGCAGUACCUGAAGGGGAACAUAACAGCUGGUCCAACGGUGGGAUAGGAGGAGUUAGAGCAGUCUGAUGACAAUGGUAAUCCUGCAGGUACUCAGGAGCGCGCCGAGUUCUGGUUGGCCUGCGAGAAGGUGAAACUAAAGAAGAAGGAGAAGGUAAGGGAGUAUGAGGUAAUUCAGGUGAAGGAUGUAAAGACUGUGGUGGGGAAGGAGGAGAACUCGGAGCUAAAAAAUAUGGAGAGGAAGACUGGGAAUUAGUAAUGACAGGUGAGGGAGUAAUGGUGGGGAGUAAUGGAGGAGAUGAUGGUGGAGUAGGAAUAGAGAGGGAAGGUGAAACAGAAGGUGAAAAAUGAGGAUGGAAGGGAAAAAUAGAUUCAUGAAAAUGAACAUCACGGGAUAAAAAAAAUGUGAUCAGUUUGUAUAUCAAGUAAUUUAUAUGCUUUAACCCCAAAAGGAUAGCCUAAAAACACACAUGCUCUGCCUCUAGGAUCAAACUUCUUACGCCCUUGUGACAAGGUAGAGGCAUAGGCAAGGCAACCAAAAACUCUCAAGUGUUUGUAUUGAGGAGGAGUGUGGAAGAGAUAUUCAUAGGGUGUUUUGUUAUGAAGAAGAGGGGUAGGAGUUCGAUUAAUUAGGUACAUCCAGGCUAUUUCCAAGGACAAAAAAAACAUUACUACUUUUAGAGUGAUUUUGACAGCGAAGUAGGAAAUGUAAUUAUUGUUAUUUUUAAAAUAUUUUUUUAUUUAUAAGUAUAUUAAAAUAAAAAUUGUUAAUUUCGUUUCAUUUUAUUUGUAAUGGUUUCAUAUCAAUUAAAAAAAUAAAAUAAAACAAAAUAACUUUUAUCUUAUUUCAAAUCUCGGUCUCUUCUAGAUUUUUUGGCUAAAUUUCAUUCGAAAUGUUCCAGUUUCAUUCCACAUGUUCUGUUCCGGUCUUAAAAAAUCAUUGAAUCAAAUUGAACCUAGUUCAAUUAAUUAAUUAAACCAUUAAAGUAUAAAAAGCUCUUUUUCAUUACUAUUUUCAUUAACUAUGAUAUUAAUUUUUUAAAAUUAGAUUUAUCAUUAAUAUAUAUGGUUUAUAUUCAUGUUAUUUUUUUUCAAGUUUAUACUUUGUAGGAAUUUAAGAGAAAAAAUGGAUGUUUUAGAUCUCAUUAGUCUUGAUAACAUUGAUCUAUCUUUAUAUUUAAAAUAUUAGUGUAAAAUAUUUUAAUUUCAUAAUAUUUUGAUAUUUUAUUGAAGUUGAAUUGUUUUAAGUUAAAACAUUAUUUAAUCUUAACUAUUUAAAAAUAUUUUAAAUUUUAAAAUUAUAUUUCAUCACGUCUCCAUGAUCCCCGUUGUGUCAAAAACAAAUUGCCUAAAUUUUAGGCUUUAGCAGUUCCUUUUUUGAAAUCCUCAUUAGUGAAAUUUCACGACUCCAGCUGGGCGUUGACUUGUCUGUUUAAUUUCUAUUAUUUUUAUUCCAUUUUAGCAUUUUAGCAUUUCAUACUCAUCAAAACCACUGGAACGCAAUCAAGCUUUAGCUUCAAACAACCAGAGGGAGAUUUUAUAGGGAUAAAAUUUUAAAAAUCACGCCUAUGCUACUUUGUAGUUUUAGUAUUAAAUUUAGUAUCUAAAAAAUGUGUUUAUGAAUAUGGCAGUUUCAGGUUUAGAAACCAAAUCUGCCAUAUUCAUACUCUCUCUUAGACAUUUUAAAAAUGUGUGUAGAAGAAUACUUUCACUGAUGAUUUAUAAUAUUAGGUUACUUUAAUGAUAAAUCAAUAUAGUAUUUUUAUUUUUAUUUUUUGGAUUUUCAUCUUGGAGAAAUUCAAUAGGAUGAAAAUAUAAUAUUAAUCAAACUUCAAAUUAUAAUUGUUUAUCUAUGGAGUUUAAAAAAAUAUGACAAUUUAGUAGUCUUUAAUGAAAUAAAAAAAAGAAAAAUGUUAUUUAUGUAAUUGUAAGCAUACAAUAUUAUAUUACUUUACAAAGGGACGAAGGACAUCCUUUGCGUUAGGAUGCUCCCACUCCACUACUGACUCCCACCAUUCUUUUGGAUAUGCGUCGAUUUCUCUAAGAGAAGGGGGAGGGGAUGGCUGGCCAUUUUCAAGCAACGGAAGACAAAUUUAUUGUAUCCAUGUAUUUAUGUAUCCUUUCUCUAUCUCUAAAUAAAAUGAGAGAUGGGAGUUGAGUGGAUGUGAUCCUCCUCCAUGUAUUUAUUGUAUCCUUUCUUUAUCUCUAAAUAAAAUGAACCUCUCCCAUGGAUGUAGGCGGUUUUGUCGAACCACGUAAAAUAUUGUGUCAAUGUGCUUGCACUCCGUUGAGCAAUUAUCAGUACAUCACCGGUCGGAUUUUCCCAACAAUUGGUAUUAGAGCUGAUGGUUUAAGUGGUGUUUGAUUUUUGCUAAAAAAUGAAAGUUGUCAAAAUUGUGUUUUGACCAUAUCACUGUGUAGAGGAGGAAGAGACGAAGCCACUGUUGAAAACCGCGUCGAAAUCGAACGUCGGACAUGGCCGCACGCGCCGGAAUGGUGGUUGGCCACGCGCGCCACGCGUCUUCUUCGCCCGGAUGGGCCGACCCGACCCGACCCGAAUACCAUACGACCCAACCUACGUGGCUGACCCGGAUAAGGAUGAUGUCAGCAUGACAUCAUAAUUAUGUCAGCAUGAACAAUAGCAUAGCCCAGGAUGACAUCAGCAUGAUGUGAUGGUGACGUCAACAUGCACAGUCAGCACCUGUCAGAGACCACCACUAGAAAUUCGCUAAAUACCAACGGACAUACCGACGGAAAUUUUUCUGUCAGUAUUUUUCGGCCGAAAUCACAGACGGACAAUAUUCGUCGGUAAUUCGGUCGGUAAUUACCGACCGAAAAUUCAGAAUUAAUGAAAAAAGGGCGGGUAGGUGGCACGGAGGUUUUGGCGGGUGAUUUUUCCGACGGAAUCACAGACGGAAUUAAAACCUGGGGCCCGACGCGUGAUGGAACCAGUGCACCGUUAAAAAUACCGACGGAAUCACCGAGGGAUUUGAAAUGCCAGAUCCGUGCCGGUGACGUGUCGAUUGCCCGUCAGAAUUACCGACGAUGUCGCCGACGGAAUCAAAACCGUCGGUAAGUCCGUCAGCAAAAGUGAAUAUAUGGCCACUCUACCGACACUCUCCUCCCCCAUUUCUCCUUCUUCUUCCUAAUCCUAACCCUCCCCAUUUGCAAAAUAAUCAGCCCCCCCUCGCCCCAAAACAAAAAUCUUCCUCAUCUCAGCACAACAAGUUGUAUUUCUUGAAGUUUUGUGGUCACAACAUCCGUGUUCUGAUUUACCGACGGAUUUUAUCAUUUUUUGUAAGUAAUUCUAUCUUUUAAAAUUUUAACAUUUAAAUGUCAAUUUUAUUGUUUUUUUAGUAUAUGUAUUUUGUUUUAGUAGAUGUACAUGUUUUAUUGUUAUUUCUCAAACAAACUUGUAGUAUAUGAAUGUAUAAUUUUAUACUUGUUAUGGUUUGUUUUAGAUUUUUUUAAGAUUGUAUUUGUUUGAAAAUUGUUAAAACUUAAUUUGUAGAAUUAUCGAAUUACAUGUUAUGUUUUGAAAUAAUUAAGAGCUUGCUUAAUGCGUACUUUUUAUAGAGGUUCGAUAGAAGUCAUGGAUGAUCGUUCAUGGAUGUAUCUAGAUUCACCCCAAGGAUUGCGGAGGAUGGAUUAUUGUAACGGGGUUCAGGGUUUUAUUAAUUUCGCAACAUCUAUUCCCAGAAAUUUUACUGGAGGCGGUAUUAGGUGUCCAUGCAGGAAGUGUCAAAAUAAAAAGUAUCUGCAUCCAGAUGUUGUAAUGAUGCAUCUUCUACACAAAGGGUUUGUGGAGGAUUACGAGUGUUGGUAUGCACAUGGAGAGGUAUUUGUUAGUAAUAGGAGAAUGGGAGAAACGGUGGUUGGGUCAACUUCUAGUGCUAGCAACGUGCAUGAAGCGACAAAUGACAACACUAAUCCUUACAGAAACAUGGUUAUGGAUGCAAUGAGAAUGAAUCAAGAUAAUGUCAAUCAAUGUCCAAUCGUAGAAGAAGAACCUAAUGCAGAGGCAGCUAGGUUUUUUGAUUUGUUGAAAGAUUCUGACGAACCAUUAUGGGAUGGCUGCACAAACCACAGUAAAUUAUCGGUUGUGGCACAGGUGUUCACCAUCAAGUCAGAUCACGGGUUGAGUGAGGCCGGGUAUGACAAAAUUAUUGAUUGGGCAAGAAGCAUUUUACCAGAAGGGAACAGGCUCAAAGAGAACUUCUAUGCUGCGAAGUCCAGUGAGAUCGGAAGAGCUUCGUGUAGGAAAGAGUGUAGAUCUCGGUGGUCGCCCGUAUCAUUCUGAAGACUGCCAAGGCACACAGGGGAUACCGAGUGCAUGACAUGCGGGCAUUCCCGUUACAAACCCAGAACUGGCAGGGGGAAGACUCUAGUGGCAUAUAAAAAACUUAGAUAUUUCCCGAUCACACCUAGACUGCAGAGGUUAUUUAUGUCACCAAGGACUGCUGAGCACAUGACAUGGCACCAAACACACGAUGCGUUGAUGGUGUGAUGGUGCAUCCUUCUGACGGCGAAGCGUGGAAACGCUUUAACAGUGUUCAUCCUGACUUUUCUGCUGAAUCAAGGAAUGUUCGACUUGGGUUGUGUACAGACGGGUUCAACCCAUUUGGGUCAUUUGCUGCUCCCUAUUCUUGUUGGCCGGUCAUUCUCACAGUUUAUAACUUGCCACCGGGAAUGUGUAUGAGGCCGGAGUUCAUGUUUCUAUCUACUGUCAUACCCGGUCCAAGCAGCCCGGGGCGGAAUAUAGAUGUUUGUCUUCGACCGUUGAUAGAUGAGCUGGCGCAGUUGUGGUCCUCCGGAUCUCUGACUUAUGAUAUAUCGAGGAAACAAAAUUUCCUUAUGAGGGCGGCUUUGAUGUGGACUAUCAGUGAUUUUCCAGCUUAUGGAAUGCUUUCUGGUUGGAGCACGCAUGGGAAACUCGCAUGUCCAUACUGCAUGGAAAACAACAAGGCAUUCACGCUAGCAAACGGAGGUAAAGCUUCUUUUUUUGACUGUCACCGUCGCUUCUUGCCACUUAAUCACAGGUUCAGAAAGAACAGAAAAGAUUUCUUUGUUGGUAGAGUUGAAAAAGAUGUUGCAUCCCCGCGUCUUUCUGGUGAAGAAUUGCAUCAUGUUGUAUCAGAGUACGGUGACAUUGUGUUUGGCCUUCAAUCAGGUAAGCAAAAGUUUCCUGGUUUUGGUUUGACCCAUAAUUGGGUAAAGCGAAGUAUCUUUUGGGAGCUUCCGUAUUGGAAGACUAAUCUUCUCCGCCAUAACCUUGACGUCAUGCACAUCGAAAAGAACGUGUUUGAGAAUAUUUUCAACACCGUCAUGGAUGUGAAGGGGAAGACAAAGGACAACAUGAAGGCUAGAUUGGAUAUAGCUUUAUACUGUAACCGUAAAAAUAUGGAGUUGGUUUAUGACGAGUCACGGGUUGCAAAACCAAGGGCAAGCUUCGUGUUAGAGAAAAACGCACAACUGCUAGUCUACAAAUGGCUUAAGAGUCUGCGUUUCCCGGAUGGACAUGCAUCGAACAUAUCAAGGCUUGUUAACAUAGAGGACUGCAGAUUGUAUGGAAUGAAGAGCCAUGACUGCCACGUGUUUAUGCAAACACUCAUCCCAUUAGCUUUUCGUGAUUUGUUGCCAAAGGGAAUAUGGGAUGCACUAACGGAGAUCAGUCAUUUCUUCAGAGAUAUAUGCUCCAGCAAGAUGAAUGUUGAGCACAUUGAGAUGCUUCAAACGAAUAUCAUCGAGACACUAUGCAAACUUGAGAUGAUAUUCCCUCCUUCAUUUUUUGACUCAAUGGAGCAUCUCCCUAUACAUCUACCGUUCGAGGCAAAAGCUGGAGGACCGGUCCAGUAUAGAUGGAUGUACCCAUUCGAACGGUGAGAUAUUACAGUUGCAAUGGAAUUCAUAUCUUAAAGUAUUUUCUAUGUUUUUCUUAUUUGAAAAUACUUGAAUUGUACUUCAAUGCAGGUACUUGUUUAAUCUAAAAAAAAAGGUUAAGAACAAGGCGCAUGUUGAGGCUUCGAUAUCUGAGGCCUAUAUUGUUGAAGAGAUAUCAACAUUUAUCUCGUACUAUUUCGAACCUCAUCUGAGAACAAGAAUCAAUCGCGUUCCACGGCAUGACGAUGGCGGUGAAGUGCCUUCCAGUGGGAACUUGUCAAUAUUCUCCAAUACUGGACGACCCACACCUAAAAAUGCCGUAAGAGGAAGAUAUUUGUCGGAAAUAGAAUUCAAACAAGCACACAACUAUGUUCUAUUUAACUGUGAUGAGCUGAGACCAUUUAUUCAGUAAGUCUAUAUAUGUGUAAUAAUUAAACUUUGUCAGUAAUAUACUGUUAAUUAUAUAUUGUAAUAUCAUACACUCAUUAUCACUUGCAGGCAACAUCGACAAUAUUUGCUCUCCAAUAACUCGCAGCUGACCGAAUCCCAGAUCUUUCAAUUACAAGAUGAACAAUUUGCCACAUGGUUCAGAACACAUGUAAGCACUAUCACAAACUCAUUCUAACGUAUGCAUGUCAUUACGAGAUUCUCGUUCAUUUACCGUGUAUUGAUGUACAUUUAAUUACAUAUAUUUACAAGGUUUAUCAAAUGGGAAGGAGUGCGCCCAAGUCAUUGUCUUCACUAAGCCUCGGCCCUGAAAGAAAAGUUAAGUGCUACAACGGGUAUUUUGUCAAUGGAUAUGUUUUCCAUACUGAAGAAUACGGGCAAGGAAGAAAGACAUACAACUGCGGUGUUUGUGUUAAGGGAUCCACAAGUAGCCAGUUAGAAGUUGACUACUAUGGUAGAUUAGAAGAGGUCGUCGAACUGCAAUAUCAUAGCGAGCAGAAUAAAGUGUUUUUAUUCAAAUGCUAUUGGUAUGACACGACGGACAGAGGAAUCAGAGUUGAUCCGCACCAUGGUCUGGUCGAAAUCAACUCAAAAGCUAGACUCCGCAACAUAAACGAUGUCUUUGUUUUCGCAAAGCAAUGUCAACAAGUUUAUUACACAUACACCCCUUCAUUUAGAAAGGAUCGAUCAAGAGUUGAUUGGUUGUCCGUUUUAAAAACGAAACCACGGGGUCGUGUCGAGGUUGUUCAGGAUGAGAACGAAGACACAAGUGUGCGAGAUGAAGUCUUUCAAGUUCGUGAGUUGGUUGAACCAUAUCGAGUUGCUCCUUCGAUUGAAUUGGAAGAAAAUUCAAAUUUUCGAGUUCUCGAUGAUAGUCUUGUUGAUAUUGACGGAGAGGAGUUGAAUGUUGUUCUCAGCUCUAGCGGACAAGCAAAUGUCGAUGAAGAAGAUGAUAUCAAAUGUCGACAAGCAAAGUGUGCACCUCGAGCUGCCAAAUUUGGCAGCUACAGGCUGUGAACUGCCCGAGGUGGCCACUUUGAGCCACUCAACGGAGCCGUUUCUAAAUUUUCCGACCCGACCGGACCAUUCUCCGGGAUAAAGGGUUUCAUAUGGACAUGUUGGUGCAGUUUUGUCGGAUUUGGAGGCCACACGAGCCGGAAAAUGCGCCUGGAAAGCAGCCACUAAGGCAGUUUUUUUAGGAAGAAAGUGAACAAUAACAAGCGCUGUUGUUUUUAAAUUAGUCCUCCAGUUUUCAAUUUCUUCAAUUUUGACCCCGGAUCAAUCCAAUACAGCCCCCUCUAUCUUCGCGCCUUUUCCAAAUUGGUCCCUGGUUUUCGGAUUUUCACAAUUAAGCCCCUAAUUGAUCAAUAAACUUCCAAUUUCUUCAAUUAAGCCCCUGAAUCAAUUCCAAACAGCCCCCUCUAUCUUUGCGCCUUCUCCAAAUUGGUCCCUGGUUUCGAUUUUCACAAUUAAGUCCCUAAUUGGCCAUUAAACUUCAAUAUUUAUGCAAUUAAGCCCCUGAUUUGACCUAAUAAAUUCCUAAAAAAUAUAUUUUGGCCCCAGAACUUAAAUUUCUUCUAAUUAAAGCCCAAAUUGACUUAAAAAUCAAUUUUUCUUGCAAUCAAAUCUUCUAUAAAUUCAAAUAAAAAUCCAAUUAAGUCCAUAAACAUCCAAAUUUGGGCUUUUCUCCUCAAAAUUCAAAUGUUCUUAUCCACCAGGGCUCUUAUCAUUCAAGAAUAUAUUGUCAAAAAUCCAUCUUUGUAUUUUAACCUCCUUGACCGAUUUUUCUGACCAUUUUCUGAGUGCUUUUACCUUCCGUUAUUUUUCUAACCUCCUUUGGCUAUUUAUUUAUUUUAUUUUUAUUUUUUGUGGGGACCCGAAAAUGGUUACAACAGAUGCCCCCUCUUUAUAAAGCUUACGGAGCAGGUUUUUGCGCAGUAAGAUUUAUAAAGAUAAACCAAAACUGAACUCCCAAACUGAUCUGGUCGAAGCUUGAUCGAUCUGAAACUCUUUCUUUACAGCAAUCCUCUUAGGCCCAAAAAACUAUGAUCAAAAUUUAGUUAUCUCGAGAUCUCUUCUGGCGAUCUCCUUUAACCAAAAACUUGGAAUCCCAUCUGGCGAUUCCUUUUAACAAAGGCUGAAAUAUGAGGUCCCUUCAGGCGACCUCCUUUGACCAAUAUCAAAAUGCGAAAUCCUUAUGGCGAUCUCAAAACUUGGAAUCUCAUUUGGCGAUUCCACAACCAAAACAAAAAUGCAUGUGUGGUCUCAUUAUGAUGGGUGACCUGCCCGAGUGGAAAAGGGAAAGAAUGGUCUCAUUCUUUGGGUGACCUACCCAGGGGGAGGUAUGACCUCAUUCUUAUGGUGACCUACCCAGGUAACAAAAAGAUGGAGAAUGGUCUCCUUCUUAUGGGUGACCUACCCAAAUGGAAAAAGGAAGAGUGGUCUCAUUCUUUGGGUGACCUACCCAAGGGGAAGAAUGGCCUCAUUAUUAUGGGUGACCUACCCAGGUAAAAAAAAAAGAUGGAGAAUGGUCUCAUUCUUAUGGGUGACCUACCCAAAUGGAAAAAGGAAAAGUGGUCUCAUUCUUUGGGUGACCUACCCAGGGGAAGAAUGGCCUCAUUAUUAUGGGUGACCUACCCAUGUAAAAAAAAAAGAUGGAGAAUGGUCUCAUUCUUAUGGUGACCUACCAGAAAAAUAAUGGUCUCAUUGUAUGGGUGACCUACCCAAGUGGAAAAAGGAAGAGUGGUCUCAUUCUUUGGGUGACCUACCCAAGGGAGGAAUGACCUCAUUCUUAUGGGUGACCUACCCAGGUAAAAAAAAGAUGGAGAAUGGUCUCAUUCUUAUGGGUGACCUACCUAGAAAAAAUAAUGGUCUCAUUGUGAUGGGUGACCUCCCUAAGUGGAAAAAGGAGAAGAGUGGUCUCAUUCUUUGGGUGGCCUACCCAGGGGGAGGAAUGGCCUCAUUCUUAUGGGUGACCUACCCAGGUAAAAAAAAAAGAUGGAGAAUGGUCUCAUUCUAAUGGGUGACCUACCCAGAAAGAAAUGAUGGUCUCAUUGUGAUGGGUGACCUACCCAAGUGGAAAGAAUAUGAAAAAGUGGUCUCGUUGUGAUGGGUGACCUACCCAAAAUAGAAAAAAUAUGGAGUGCGGUCUCAUUGUAAUGGGUGACCUACCCAAAUGGAAGAAUGGCCUCAUUGUAAUGGGUGACCUACCCAAGUAAAAAAAACAUGGAGAAGUGGUCGCGUUGUAAUGGGUGACCUACCCAAAUAAAAACAUGGAGAAUUGGUCGCGUUAUAAUGGGUGACCUACCCAGAAAAAUAUUGGUGAGGGCUCAAAGGCGCCCUUGAAAUGAGGUAGGGUUAGAAAAUGCACUACCCGAGAGGUGAGGGCUCAAACAGCGCACUCGAAAUGAGGUAGGGUUAAAAAAAAGCACUACCCGAGAAGUGAGGGCUCAACGGCGCACUCGAAAAGAGGUAGGGUUAGAAAACGCACUACCCAAGAACUGAGGGCUCAAAGGCGCACUCGAAAUGCGGUAGGGUUAAACAAAACGCACUACCUGAGAAGUGAGGGCUCAAUAGCGCACUCGAAAAGAGGUAGGGUUAGAAAACGCAUUACCCAAGAAGUGAGGGCUCAAAGGCGCACUCAAAAUGAGGUAGGGUUAGAAAACGCACUACCCGAGAAGUGAGGGCUCAACAGCGCACUCGAAAAGAGGUAGGGUUAGAAAACGCACUACCCAAGAAGUGAGGGCUCAACGGCGCACUCGAAAAGAGGUAGGGUUAGAAAACGCACUACCCAAGAAGUGAGGGCUCAAACGCGCACUCGAAAUGAGGUAGGGUUAAAAAAAAUGCACUACCUGAGAAGUGAGGGCUCAACAGCGCACUCGAAAGAGGUAGGGUUAGAAAACGCAUACCCAAGAAGUGAGGGCUCAAAGGCGCACUCAAAAUGAGGUAGGGUUAGAAAAUGCACUACCCGAGAAGUGAGGGCUCAACGGCGCACUCGAAAAGAGGUAGGGUUAGAAAACGCACUACCCAAGAAGUGAGGGCUCAAAGGCGCACUCAAAAUGAGGUAGGGUUAGAAAACGCACUACCCAAGAAGUGAGGCUCAAAGGCGCACUCUAAAUGAGGUAGGGUUAAAAACGCACUACCCGAGAAGUGAGGGCUCAACAGCGCACUCGAAAAGAGGUAGGGUUAGAAAACGCACUACCCAAGAAGUGAGGGCUCAAAGGCGCACUCAAAAUGAGGUAGGGUUAGAAAACGCACUACCCGAGAAGUGAGGGCUCAACGGCGCACUCGAAAAGAGGUAGGGUUAGAAAACGCACUACCCAAGAAGUGAGGGCUCAAAGGCGCACUCAAAAUGAGGUAGGGUUAGAAAACGCACUACCCAAAAGAUGAUGAAGAAACACCGAUACAACAAAUGUUGAAAGCAAUGCAUUAUGAUCAAUAUGCAUGUAUACUUACCUGAGAAAAAUAGGUCCCCCUUUCAUUGUAAACUUCUUCAAGCUCUUGUUUCCACCUUUUCUCAUGAACCGAAAAUAUACUUCAUAUCCUCUUAGUGAAGAGAUCUCUGGUUCCUUAUGGGGCCCUUUCUUGCUCCUGAGUAUUGUGCUUUAUUAUUAUUUCAAAAGGAAAACUCAAAAGAUUUGGUUUUGUUCAUGAAAACUGAAACUUUCAAUGCAAUUAGCAAUUCUCAUAAAAGAUGCUUUUUUAGAAGUUUUUAAUAUGAUACCCUUUGGGCUUUGGUUCACUAUGGACCCCUAUGUGCACUUUGUGCACCUUUUCCCCCUAGUGUGGCGUGCAAAAAUAUGUCAAGUUCGGAGUCAUCUCCUUAGUCAUGCCAUAAAAGUUCUUUUAAGUAAAAGAUUUCAAAUGCUAGGAGAUCGUAUGUUUUAUGAAAAAAAGGUUCUUUACAAAGAGAAUUCAUGGCCGAACUUUAAUUUUAUUGAUUGGGAAAUUACGAAAUGCAUCAAGCGUAAUAUUUUUUACAGAGUCAGAAUUCACGGGCCUAACUAGAUCUUCUCCAUCCAUUCUAGAUAACAAUAAAGCUUCUCCCAAAAAUGCUUUCUUUACCACUAAAGGGCCCUCAUUGUUUGUCGUCCAUUUACUCUGAUCUUCUCCUGGUAAAAGACAACAUUUUCUUCAAUAUAAGAUCUCCUUCGUGGAAUCCUCAAGGUCGAAUCCUCUUGUUGUAUGAUUUGGCCAUCCUUCUUUGAUAAAGUUGAUGAUGACAGAUUGUGGCUAUCCUCUUUUCACUUAUCAGAUUCAACUGUUCACAUUUAACCUUCUCCCAUUCUAACUCUUCUAGCUCAAAGUCUAUCAAUACUCUUAAUGAGGGGAUUUCCACUUUUAAAAGCAUCACCGCCUCCAUUCCAUAUACCAACAUUUACGAGGUGGCUCCUAUUAAGGUUCGAACUGCAGUGCGAUAUGCAUGAAGGGCAAAUGACAACAUCUCAUGCCAAUCCUUAUAGGUGACUACCAUCUUCUGAAUAAUCUUUUUGACAUUCUUAUUAGCAGCUUCUACCGCACCAUUCAUCUUUGGUCUAUAUGGCGAAGAAUUGGAAUGCUUGAUUUUCCAUUUAGUGCAGAGCUCCAUUAUCAUCUUGCCGUUGAAAUUCUAGGCAUUAUUAAUUUUUCUAGUGGACCAUAUCGAUAGAUCAAAUAUCUUUCCAUAAAUUUCUUCACCACUUUUUUUCACGUCAUCGAAACAUCUCAACAAAGUUUCGUCAGAUGAUUUCUUAUACAAAGUUUACCCAUCAAGAUAGAAAUCCAUUGCCAACCUCCUCAACGUCUUCUUGUUGAUUUUUGGAUGCCCCCAUGGGAUAUGUCUAGUUUUGGAUGAAAUUCUUGAUAUCAUAGUGCCAAGGGUUUCCAUCUAUUUCUCUUUCAAACUGAGCAAUAAUGAGCUAAGUUAUUUCUUAUAUCAAUGUGUAUUGGUUGUAACUUGUGCCCAAAGUCUAUUCUAGCCAUAGAAGCUGGCGUGACCAAAACAUCAAAAUGGUUUCCUUCCCUUCCUAGAUGGGUGAACUUUAUUUCCUCAAAUUCUCUAGCCCAUUUAGACAAGUAUUCUUUGGCAAGGUCUCAACUUCUCGUCCUUGGUUUGCCCUUUUCCUUUCACUUGACAAAUAAUCAAAAUUGAGUCUCCAAUACACAUCUAUCUUUCUGAUGUUUAGCUCUAAUGCAACCUCUAAAAUCGAGAAUGCAAGCUUCAAACUCAGUUGUGUUGUUAGUGUACCCAAAUUGCGACUUAACUAAAACCGGAUACUGUUUCUUAUUAGGAAAGAUUAGCACUGCCCCCACUCUAUUACCACAACACCCUCAAAGUACAUAAUCCAACAAUCUGAUUUCCCUUCCUCGAUUGAAAGCAUAUCUUUAUCCGAAAAAUUAAAUUUUAACAGCCCAUAAACUUUCACAACAUGGUCAGCUAGGUGAUCGACGAUGACAUUCAUGGCUUUCCUUGUCAUAUAUACUAUGUUGUACUCAGCUAGUAGAACUUGCCAUUUUUCAAUUCAACUCGAUAGAUAGGGGUGGAUUCAGUAGGUAUUGCUUGAUUUUCGUGAAAGCUUCUUCACAUUCUUAUUCCAAAUUCCAAGAUUCUUCUUCCUUAACAAUUGAAGAUGAGGUCAUAAGUCGUGGUUAAUUGGGAUAUAAAUUGAGCAAUGUAAUUCAACCUUCCCAAGAACCUCCUUACAUCCUUCUUAGUCUUGGGAGUUGGCAUAGGUUGAAUAACCUUUACUUAAUCAGGGUCCACUUCUAUCCCUUUGUCACUCAUCAUAAAUUCCAACAACUUCCUAGAUUUCACCCCGAAUGAACACCUUGCAUGGUUAAACCUCAACUUGUACUUUCUUAGUCUUUCAACUAAUUCCUUCAAUAUUUGGACAUGAUUCUCUCCCUCUCUAGGUCAUGUCAUCCACGUAUACUUUAAUCUCUUUAUGCAUCAUGUCGUGAAAUAGAGUCAACAUAGCCCUUUGGUAGGUGCCCCCAACGUUCUUUAACCCAAACGGCAUGACCUUGUAGCGGGUUUCCAAGCUUGUUCAUGUUGUUCGUUUUUGUGAAUCCCCUAAUGUUAUUUUCCUACCAUUCUUCCUCUUCUACAACUAAUAUGGAUUCUUUAAAGUCCGGCCAUUCAUUCUCAGUGUAAAGCGCAGGUGUAGUUAUGGAAGAUUCGUUUUGAAAAGAAAAAUGAUGUGUAAAAACACCAAGAUGAACUUUUGAAAAGGCAUUUGGAACCUCGAUUUAAAAAGUUGAAAAAGGAAAACAACACAAUAUCACGAUCAAACAAGCAUUGUUGAUUAAAUUUUGAACACCAAUGGAGCUUCUUGGGUCUCCCAAUUCUAGAACAUCUCUCCCUUGGCUAGCUUUUGAAUAAAGGUCUUGAGAUUCAAGAUGCUUUGAGCUUAGGCUUGUUUGGAUGCAAAAAGAUAUUAUGGAGCAUACAUCCUAAGGAUAGGCUCUAGUUCCUUUAUGUGAGACAUUGGGUAGGUUUACUACUAGGUCUCUAAAAGAGGGUCUCUUGCUGUUCCAGUGGGAUGGUACGUGUACCAAUCACAAUCAGUCUAAACACUCAGCAAAGAGUUGGGGUUUACACAAACUUAAACCUUGACUCAAGUCAUAAGGCAAGCUGCUAGUCCCCCACUUAAUCUUAAAGUUACAUGUGUGUGCCCUCCAAAACAUAAUAACAAUAAUAAUAAAGUGAUGCAUGACUAUGCCAUGUAUGAUAGAAUGUAAAGAUGUAUGCUAAAGCUUUUAAACAAAGCAAACCAUUCAUAGUAAAAAAAGAAAAACAACAACACAUAGCAUAAUAAAAAAACAAUUACCAAGCUUAGUCCAAGGGUCCCCAGUGGAGUCACCAUUCUGUCGCACGUCAAAAAAUCCGCGCAGGCGUUCGAUGGCGAUUUUUCUUUUGUUUUUGCUUGAUUUGGUUCUUUGGAGUCGCCACCUAGUAUUUUGGUCACUAGGAACCCUAACUGGUCUUUCAGAGAUUCUAAGGCAAGGGACUGGUUGCGUAAAGGGAAGGUAUUAGCACCCCUAGUACGCCCUACCUAAGGUAAGCUGCUUGGUGUUUGGUUUGCUCUAUAAUUGCUAUGGUGUUGGUGUUUUCUAGUCCCGUCAAUUUUCCUAGGUUUGAUUCAAAUAAAAUUUAUUUGGAUAGAAAUCCAAGGAGAUUCCAUGUGCUUUGAAAGCUCAUUUUUCCCUUAGUAUUUCAAGAGUUUGCGACUCGUAAAAUCGCAAGAAGGAGGGACAAAAAAUUUAGAAAUCUAAGGACAUUCAAAGAGCUUUUAAGAGCCUCCUUUUGCCUUAGUAUUUCAUACUUUCACGGCUCGUAAACCGUGGAGUAAAAAAUUUGAAGUUUUGAAAUGUCCUCGAUUAUAAUCAAGGCUUCUUUCAAGGAUGUGUGCGGAUUUAUUACUCCCAAUAAUAUUUUGGAUAUUCAUCCUUUAAGGAUUUCUUUAUCCAACAUUAGCGGUGAAUAAUAGAUGAAUUCCCCUCCCAAAAUAAGAUUUUUAUAGUUUUUGGAAUAUUGGCCAAUACCCUUUGAAGUUUUACAAACAUGUUGUAAAAUCCAGAAAUGCAAGAAAAAUAAUUUGUGUUUAAGAAAUCUAUGCGAAAACACAUUUUCAAAACUUCCAAUAUUUUUUUUUAUAUAAAAAGAACAUUCAAAACAUGUUAGAGUAUUGGCCGUAUGCAUGAAAACAAAACAUUUUUUUCAAUAAAUAUUUUUUUUUGUUGACGAAAACCGGGUAUUUUAAUACCGGAUUUGUAUCUUUACAAUAUAAAAAUACAAACUGAUAUUGACCAAAAUACAGUAAUAAAAUUACAGAAAAAUCACAAAUUCUUUGAAAUAAUUUUCGAAGAAUUUUUAUUUUUUAUAUUUUUUUUAGGGCUGGACCUAGCGGGGCCCACGUGGCUGGGCUAAACCCAGCAGGCCUCAUGUGAACAGUGAAAUAUGCCCCACUAUUCACGUGAAUUAUAUUUGUUAUGAACAGUGAAUUAGCAUUUCACUGUUUGCGCGAAUUAUAUUUCACUUGAACAGUGAAAUGCAAGGAAAUGCAUGCACAGCGACGAAGGGGGUGCAAACCUGGUGGCAGAAACGAUGUUGAAGACGAUGGCGAACACUCCCAGUGAUGCUGGUGGCGGUGGAGAGGCAGUCGACGAGGUCUGCCGGUGGUGCUGACGGUGGAGUUGGAGGAAGACGGCGUCGGUUUCCUGUUGCAGAGGAAGAAAGAAGAAGAAGAAGAAAAAUCUGCAGAAAUUGGGCUAAAAUGCUGGUUUUUGGCUGACUUUGGACCUGAAUUUUUCCUCUCUCAGAUCAUCAAAUCCGACUCUAUUUAUAGGCUGUGAAAGAGGGCAAUCUUGUCUACAUUGGGGAAACAUUUCAGCCCUUGAUUCAGUUGGGAAGCAUCUCAACCAUUGGCUCAAAGUGUGCACCUCGAGCUGCCAAAUUUAGCAGCUCCAGGUUGUGAACUGCCCGAGGUGGCCACUUUGAGCCACUAAACGGAGCCGUUUCUAAAUUUUUCGACCCGACCGGACCAUUCUCCGGGAUAAAGGGGUUUCAUGUGGACAUGUUAGUGCAAUUUUUGUCGGAUUUGGAGGCCACACGAGCCGGAAAAUACGCCUGGAAAGCAGCCACUCAGGCAGCUUUUUUAGGAAGAAAGUGAACAGUAACAGGCGCUGUUGUUUUUAAAUUAGUCCUCCAGUUUUCAAUUUCUUCAAUUUGACCCCGGAUCAAUCCAAUACAGCCCCCUCUAUCUUCGCGCCUUUUCCACAUUGGUCCCUGGUUUCGGAUUUUCACAAUUAAGCCCCUAAUUGAUCAAUAAACUUCCAAUUUCUUCAAUUAAGCCUCUGAAUCAAUUCCAAACAGCCCCCUCUAUCUUUGCGCCUUCUCCAAAUUGGUCCCUGGUUUCGGAUUUUCACAAUUAAGUCCCUAAUUGGCCAUUAAACUUCAAUAUUUAUGCAAUUAAGCCCCUGAUUUGACCUAAUAAAUUCCUAAAAAAUAUAUUUUGGCCCCAGAACUUAAAUUUCUUCUAAUUAAAGCCCAAAUUGACUUAAAAAUCAAUUUUUCUUGCAAUCAAAUCUUCUAUAAAUUCAAAUAAAAAUCCAAUUAAGUCCAUAAACAUCCAAAUUUGGGCUUUUCUCCUCAAAAUUCAAAUGUUCUUAUCCACCAGGGCUCUUAUCAUUCAAGAAUAUAUUGUCAAAAAUUCAUCUUUGUAUUUUUAACCUCCUUGACCGAUUUUUCUGACCAUUUUCUGAGUGCUUCUGCCUUCCGUUAUUUUUCUAACCUCCUUUGGCUAUUUAUUUUAUUUUAUUUUUAUUUUUUUGUGGGGACCCGAAAAUGGGUUACAACAACCAAUAUUCGUUUGCAGGUGUGUUUGGUAGUUCUUAUGCUUCUGCCUUUGAGUGUGUACAUUAGAGCAGAGUGAUUUUACUUAACCAUGAAUUUUUUGUGAGACAAAUUAUAGUGAAUGUUUUUCUAUUUUACCAAUAUACCCAAGGUGUUUAUAACAGAGUGAUGCUACAUGCUGAGGUGGAUAUUAGCAACAGAGGAAAGCAUACAAAAGUAACCAAAAAAAAAAAAUAUUUGAUAGCAAGGACGAAAGCAUAUCCUGGUGGCCUCCCUCGGAACACAACGUUUUUAUUUUGUAGAUUAUUAGUUUUUAUUUUUCAAUCCAAGUACAGUAAUUGAUUGCCAACAAUCACUUUGUACAGUAAACAGACUUUGUACGCAAAUGAUUAUCCCUAUUAAGAAAAUUCAACGACAACAAUAUACUAAAGAGCAAUAUUACAGUAAAGAAAUCAAAUCAAUACAGAUAAAUAAUUGAUCUUAUAAUCAAAGAAUUAGUCCAUUUAAUAGAAAAAAAACAUUACUAAAUCCAUAAACUAUAUAAUUCCCUUUUCUUUUUUCUUUUUUGGUUCUUCUCUGGUGCAUUUCCCACAGGAAAUACUCUUUUCAAAUUAGGCAUUAAUUUGAGUACCCAUCACUGUAUUCAUGGCCAUUCCUUUCCUUGCGUGUCUCCUUCUUCCUUUUUCUUUCUCUGGUGCAAUUCCCACACGUCUUCUUUAUGCCAAAUACCCCUCUUUUCAAAGGAGGCAGCCCCACUUUUCAACCUCUUUUUUCAUCACGUCUCCAUGAUCCCGUUGUGUCAAAAACAAAUUGCCUCAAUUUUAGGCUUUAGGAGUUUCUUUUUCGAAAUCCUCAUCAGAGACUAAUUUGUAGCCCUUCAAGAUACCUUUCCAACGCGUCAAGAAUCACAGCAAUCCGAUAUGUGAGUGGAAAGUUAUGAUUAAAAUACUAAAGUGUGUGUAGGCUGUUUCCAAGAAAAAAGAACAUUACUACUACUUUAAGUAUAUCUUUUGAUGUUUUCCGGUUUUGAAAAUAAACAGUGAACAUUGUAUAUUAAUAUACUUUUCAUCUGAACAAUACAAGAAAAUUAACUGUUUAUUUAAAAAAUAAUGAACAGUACAAUUCACUUGCACUGUUAAUGGGUGUAUUGCAACUUUUUUUUAGUGUGUUAAUUUUUUUAACAUUUUUUUUAAAAGAACACUAGUUUAGAGUGAAUUAAAUUCACUUGCAAUGUGAUAUAUGAAUAAUAUUUUUUUUUUCGAAAAAAUAGUAUAGAGUGAAUUAAAUUCACCCGCAUUGUAAUAUCAAUUUUAUACCUGAUAAUAUUUUAUCUAAUUUUAUUAUAUACUCAAAAAGUUAUGAAAACUAUAGUUCUUGUUGGAAGUAAUUCGUACAUAAUGGAAUUGUAGAUGGUUUCAUGGAAUAAUAAAAAAUAUUUUAUAUAAAAUAUGAUUUAUUUCAUGAUAUAAUAACAAUAGUUAAAUCCACAAUAUUUAAAUUAAAAAUCAUCAAUAUUAAUAUAUAUUUUUUAAAAUUAUUUUAUAACCUUAAUUUCAAAAUCAUUCUUAACCAAACACAUUAAACUAUUUUUUUUUCAACCUCAAUUUCAACUACAGUUUUAACCAAACAUCUAUUUUUUCGAACCAAUCUCAACUAAAAAUACUUUUUAUAAAAUAAUUUUUUUCAAACCACAACUACAAUAUCAAUGGCAAUACCAAACACACUAAAAGGCACAUAAAGUAGCCCAACAAAUCAUACCCAGAGAAGCAAAAGCCAGAAACAAGCUACCUCGAUUCUUGCUCCACCGGGGUAAGAAAUGCAGCAUGCCCACUUGGAAUUAUACAGCGUCCAAAUUCCAUGGCAAAUAAUUGGUUGGAAUUGUUUUCUGAGGGGUCAUUUCAAAAUCUGAAAAAAAAAAACAGAAAAUAGAUCCAGCAAAUGAUUCCAAAUAUCUUCUAAAAAGAACAAUGAAAUAUGUUUUUUUAUUUACCGUAAGGAAAGAUAUUAAUUAAAUUUUUUUAAAAAAAUAUAUAUAACAAGUCAAAAUCUAUACUUAAAAUCUUUCUCGUAUUAAAUUCUUAAUUCAAUCAAAUAAAAUAUUAAUUUAAUAAAACGUAGUUAAGUUUUUGAUACUCUAGUUGAAUAUUUAGUAUAACGGUGACGUACUAAACUAUUAAAUCUUAACAUAAAAAGGAAUUUUUAUUAUAUACCCACGAAUCGAUACAAAAUCUAUAGGUUUUUAUAAAAUGAAUUCCUGAACCUAGUCGAAGAACUGUGGCAAAAACAGUUUAAGGAUUCCAACCUAACACAUGAAUGGGGUGGUUAUAUUUUGUCUUGUACACUGCUGGGCUAGAAAAUGAAUGUUGCCGUUUUUCAGUUUAUUAGAGAGAGGGCAGAAAGCCUUAAGUAGAAAAUAACUUCAUAUUCUGGGGGUAGAAACCCCACGAACGCAAUCAAGCAGUGGCUUCAAACAACAAAAGGGAGCAUCAGUGCAGGAGGAAACUUCAACAUCUAUUAUAAAAGUUGUGUUUGGUAAUGCUGUGUAAAUUAUGGAUUUAUAAAUUUUGAUUUAUUUUAUUAAAAAUUAUUAUUAUUAUGUUUUCAAAUUAUUUUGAUGUGUUAUAUUAAUAAAAAAUUAAUAAAUAUUAAAAAAUAUUAUUUUGAUGUAUUUCUAAAUAAAAAACACUUUGAACUACCAUCGUUAUCACAAUCUCAAACACACAUUUAUGAUUUGCUAUCCAAGAUUUUUCCAUUAAUACAAAAGAUGGUGUUUUUUUGUUGUUGAAAAAUUAUCUACCAAUAACUUUUUAUCUUUUUCCAAGCUUUUUGGUGAUUUUUUUAAUGUUAAAUUCAUGAACUAAAAAGGUAGCAGCGUGAAGCCUCGCCAAAAGCCCAAGAUUAAAAAUAACCAUGCUCCUAGCCCAAGCCCACCAACAUCACCCCCAGCAGAUUGGAAAAAUGCUCAUUACCAUUCCGGAAAAAACACACCUAGGCUACUAUGGUAUACUAGAAAGUGGAAAUAAAUCGAUAUUAAUCAUGAAAUAAAUUGUUAGCAGAAACCAAAAAUAAAUAAAUAAAUUGUUCAUACUACUCCAUCUUAUUGAUGGGAAUGACUUCUGACCUGCAUACAUAUGUAAUGACUCCUGCUAAAAUUAUUUGAUAAUAAAUUAUCAUGAAAAAACUUAAUAAAGUCAGAAAAAACAACCACGAAAUUCUUCUUAAAUUAAAUAAAAUGAAGAAGAAAACUCGAGUAAUAAAUGUUUAAUUCACUUUCAAGCUGAAAAUAAAGAAUGAAAGCAUUUCUAUUCAAUAAUACUUCUUGCUCACAAAUAAUCUGCCAACAAUUAUAUGAGAAUCAAAUCUCUCCGAUCACAUGGUUGUUUAAAAUGCUCAGCACUAAGCACUAGGAAAGCAAAUUUACAGAAUAGUAAUUCUAGUAAACUUCUUGAUUUAGUGCAACUAGAUAAUAUAAGCAAAAUGUAACGGUUGAACUCACUUUUUCUUAAAAAAGGAUCCAGAUUCUCUAUUACCAAUAACUUUUGGAUUCCUAGGUCAACUCUAUUCAACAAGCAUCCCUCAAACGGGUUGGAAAAGAUACCAGAGGCAAGAAGAUUUGUAACACCCUCAAAUUAUUAUGUCAUUAAAUCUCAAACAUUUCUUUACUAAUAUCAAGUAUUGAAUAAUAUGUCUAAGAUUAUGAGAUUUUUUUCUUUUUUUUUUUUAAAAAUUUCGGCAGAAUUUCCUUUGUUUUCUGAUGUUACCAAGUUAUCGACUAGUCUUUAUUCAAUCACAAUACUCAAAUCUUCCACUUUGAUCCAACCAUCCCGAAUCAUAUCCCAUCUCAUCAUACAAUAUUCCACAUAACUAUACUUCAUUGUAUUUUGUCAACCUUAUAUCAUCAACAAAUAAAACAUUAAUUACAAACAAUUAUAAACUCAAAGAUUCAUAUUAAACUAAUUAUUACAUUAAAAUGCAUCCAUCUUUUAAACAUGCAUGAUUAUAAUUACUAAAUAUUCUUUUUGAAUAGUUUAAUAAUAUUAGUUCCUUACUCAUACUUUUUAAUGUAUAAGUACCAAAAGCAAACAUUUUCAUGAUACAAAUAUUACAAUCUACGUAUAAUACAAAUUACAUAUAAAACAAAUAUAUUACAUCCCACAAAAUAAAUAGAUUAAAACACAAAGUCUAUAUAUAUAACGCUCCGCAUCACCUCAUGAAUAACUUGUAUACAUAACAUUAAUAAGAAAUAAGUAAGAUAACAUAUUAAAAAAAAAUAAUAAAGCUAUUAUAUUCACAAGUCUUCAAAAUAUAUCAACACUAAUAACCCUUUCAUAAUUUAUUAAUCCUGUACUUAUAAGACCUAUGUAACCAACACUCAUUGCUUAAUUUUUAAUUUGGUAAUUCAUAAUUUUACCUCAAACCUGGCUAACCCUCUUAAAUGGCCAACAAUCAAACCGGUAAUUCCAUACAAAUUACCCAACAUCCGGCUAUUCUCUAUCAAUAACCAAUAGAACCUGCAAUUCCAUACGAAUUACCCAACAUCCGGCUAUUCUCUAUAAUAGCCAAAAUAGCCAAUAUAAUUGGUAAUUCCAUACGAAUUACCCAACAUCCGACUAUUCUCUAUCAAUAGUCAAUCUAACCGGUAACACCAUACGAAUCGGUAAUUCCAUACUAACAGGUAAUUCUUUACUAACCAGUAAUUCAUGCUAACCAACCGAUAAUUCUAUACUAACUGGUAAUUUUACACUAACAUGUAAUUCUAUACCAACCAACCGGUAAUUCCAUACUAACCAGUAAUUCAUGUCAAUCAACCAGUAAUUCUAUACCAACCGGUAAUUCUAUACUAACCAGUGAUUCUAUACCAACCAACCGGUAAUUCCAUACUAAUCGGUAAUUCAUACUAAUCAACGAGUAAUUCCAUACCAACCACCCGACAUCCCCAUUAUAAUACCAACAGUUUCUUCUACUUCUUCCAUAUCAACAUGUCAUAAACAACUCAUAACUAAUAAUACAACUUUGAAUUUUAAAGAAAGGGAUGAAUCACCUACCAUCUGCUCGUGAUGACUCAGCUCCUCCUGCCUGAUGCCCUGCUCCCGAAACAAAUCCUGAAUAAAUCAAAUUGUACUACAUUAUUAAUCCAUUAUUAUUUCUCUUAUGUGCCUAAAUUUGAAGAACGUAAUAUUUUUUUUUAUUUAAUUGGGGUUUACAUCAAAAUUUUCUUUCAUUUAUCACUUCAUUUUCAACAUAUAGUUUUAAUCAAUUUUCUUCUUUUAAUUCACUUAAAGAAUUCUCCCAUGAAUUAUUCCACCAUUUAUUUAUUCAUUCUUUUUACAUUCUCAUGAUAUUUCUUUGCUUGUUCAUAUUUUGAAUACUUCAAAUAAGAUAAAGUAUUAAAUUCUCCCAUGAACUAUUCCACCAUUCUAGUUUUAGUAUUAAAUUUGUUCGUAGAAGUUUCAUUUAUUUUUAAUCAAUUAAAUUGAAUAAAAUCUUGUCAAGUCAGACAUCAACUCUUUAUUGAAUCGUCUUUUCUUUUUGGAUAAUAAGAGCUUCUUAAAAAGCUUAUUAAAAUAAAUUAUUAAUUAAUGAAAUUAAAAAUAAAAAUGCUUUUUUUAUUUAAAAAAAAAAAGUAAAACAGAGAGACAUCUACCGUGUUUUCUCUAUUGGUACAUGAUAAAAGUCUGAACAGAUUUUUUUAUUAUUAUUUUAAUUUUAAUAAUAGUACUGUUAUUUCUACCGCCAAGAAAUCAAGAAAGCUAGCUAAUUUUAAUACAAUGCUAGAGUUCUUGACUUUGGGAGAAUGAAUUCCGUGAUGGAAUUGGAGGUGCUGCUUUCUUCAUCUGUUGUUCCUAUUAUGCACUGAUCAUGAGAUGUGGAAGAGAAUGUUACAGUCGCUAUCUCUUUUACAUAAUAUUAUUUAUUAGUAAGGUCGCCUCAAUAAUAAUUAAUUAACGUAUUGUUUGAUAUAUUAUAAGAUAUAUAAAGUUAACGUGUGGACCCGCCCCAAUGUUGAAACCUGGAAGAAGCUGCCAAGAAAAUGUAUACACAUGAAAUUUUCUAAAAAAAAAUAGUAUAAUUAAAAAAAUAUUUUUAUUUAAAAAUACAUUAAAAUUAUUUUUUUUAUCAACACAUCAAAAUAAUUGAAAAAUAUUAAAAAUUAUUUUUUAAAAAAUCAAAUUUUUUAAAAAACACAUUAUGACUGUAAAGAUAAACCAGUCAAUAUUCUCAAGGUAGCAAUUACUAAUUGGGAUACAAAGAAAUUAAAAGACAAAUUAAAGGUUUUGAGUCAACGCCAUUACCAAUAUUCGCUUGCAGGAGUGUUUGGUAGUUCUUAAUAUUCUUAUGCUUCUGCCUUUGAGUGUGUCUAUUAGAGCAUAGUGAUUUUACUUAACCAUGAAAUUUUUGUGAGACAAAUUAUAGUGAAUGUUUUUCUAUUUUACCAAUAUACCCAAGGUGUUCAUAACAGAGUGAUGCUACAUGCUGAGGUGGAUAUUAGCAACAGAGGAAAGCAUACAAAAGUAACAAAAAAAAAACAUCAAAUGAAAAAAAAAAAAAAAAAAACAACCUUUAGAAACACGCGUCUUUGGAUUAACCAAUUCUUUUAGUUUAUUUUUUAUGUCUCAUAAAGACAGAAAAAACUUUAAAAUACAAAUUAAAAAAUCUUGAGGAAUUGAUUAACCAAGCCUUUUAGUUUUUUUUUUUUUUAAUGAAGACAGAAAAAACUUAAAAACACAGAUUAAAAAUAAAGAUUUAAUAGAGAAUGAAAUUUAAUUUUAAAUGCAAAUUAAAAUAAAGCAGAGUGCCUAAUGGAGAAAGUACUACUGGAAUUCUACAAAGAGUAGAGCGUCGGGAAUCCUUGCACACAUUUGGUAUUUUAAUUAUUCUUAUUUCGUUUAAUAACUCAAUUGGAAGUUCAAUUCCCAGAAUUUCCGCUUUUGAAAAAUCAUUCAUCACUUUUAAAUAACGCAAAUGAUUAUUAAGAAAAUUCAACGACAACAAUAUACUCGAGCAAUAUUACAGUAAAGAAAUCAAAUCAAUAUAGAUAAAUAAAUGAUCCAAAUAUAAUCAAAGAAUUAGUCCAUUUAAUAGAAAAAACAUUACUGAAUCCAUAAAGUACAUAAUUCCCUUUUCUUUUUUCUUUUUUUCUUCUUCUCUGGUGCAUUUCCCACACGAAAUACUCUUUUCAAAUUAGGCAGCCCCACUUUUCAACCUCCUUUUUCAUCACGUCUCCAUGAUCCCCGUUGUGUCAAAAACAAAUUGCCUUAAUUUUAGGCUUUAGGAGUUCGUUUUAUGAAAUCCUCAUUAGAGGCUAAUUUGUAGCCCUUCAAGAUACCUAUCCAACGCGUCAAGAAUCAAAGUAAUCCGAUAUGUGAGUGGAAAGUUGUGAUUAAAAUACUUAAAGUGUACCAGGCUGUUUCCAAGAAAAAAAACAUUACUAUAUUAAGAGCGUCCAGGCUGGUUCAAAGUGAAUUUCACGACUCCUCGGCCUUGACUUGUCUGUGAGAGCUUCUACUCUUUGAAAUGUUUUUUCUUAAACUGUGAGAGCAAGUUUGUCAAAAAUAUUUUUUUAACACGAUACAAAAUAUAUAAUAUAAACUUGGAUAGUAAAUUUGAAUUAUAAAAUAAAAAGAAAAAUAUUUUAACUAAUUAUAUAUUGACAAUUUCAGUCAAGUAGUAAACAAUAAUAUAACACAAUUAAAAUAAAAGUGAAAUAAACAAUAUAAAUGUCCAAACACCUUAAAAUACAUAAUUCAAAUAAAAAUUCAUACAUAGUUUAACUAACUUAAAAGUACGAAAAGAAAAAAAAAAUUAGAUUGAACAACUAUGUUUUAUUGAUCGAGUUUCAGAACAUUUUCUAGAGGACAAGUCUUGAAACACACUGUAGGCAACUAGUGAGAUGAUACAAGGUAUAUUACCAACUUUUAAAAAAUUUAACAGAGACAAAUACAGUGAACCCGUGACAACGAGAACAAAAACUUAUAAAAUAACAUCAAUUUAAUCUCAUGCCACCUCACCUUGCACCUUUUUUUUAUGUUAGUAGCAAGUCCGAGAAAUAAUGUUCAAAUAUCCCACAAAGCAAGACAUGUAUUUCAAGUUCUCUCUGAGUCUUUGUCGUCUUUCUUUAUAGUUAAUAAAUGGUUAGUCUAAAACACAUUAUUUCUCCCUAUAUAGGUAUUCAUAUCUCUUAUUUUACUCCUUUGAUUCCUCACCAUCUACCUUUGUCUUCUUAUGGUUUCGAUCCUCCGAUCAUGCUUUCCUGGCCUAAAAUACAGUAUAUGGCUUCCUCAUAUCCAAGAUCCUCUAAUGCUGGUGUUAGUCUGCUAAGAUUGAAAAUUUGAGAUUUGGGCAACGGGAAAAGGGGAGACUGGGAAGUGGGGACUAUGUAGUGGAGUGUCAGGGGACUCGGACAAGGAGGCAGUAAAUUUUUUAACUUUUGCGGGUUAAAACUCGAAAUCGGUCAAACUCGUAAAAUCGGUCCGAUUUUAACCGAGUUUGACCGAGUUUUACCGAUUUUGAAUUUUAACCCGAUUUAACAUGUUAUAUACAUGUUGAGUUGUAAAAUUUUAAGAGUCAAUUUGCGAUUUUAACAAUACUGUACGAGAGCUUCAUAAUAAGCAUGCUAAGCUUAUUGAAAUAAAUUAUUAUAAUGAAAUUAAAAACAAAAAUGCUUAAAAAAAAACAGAGAGACGCCGUGUUUUCUCUAUUGCUACAUGGUAAAAGUCUGAGCAUAUUUAUUUAUUUAUUUUUAUUUUUAUUUUAAUAAUAUUACUGUUCUCUUUACCGCCUAGAAAUCAAGAACGCUAGUUUCAUUUAAGAGAUUCUAAAGUUCAUAUUUAGAUAAAUUAGCAGACAGGACGAAAACACAACAAAUCAUACCCAGAGAAGCAAAAGCCAGAAACAAGCUACCUCAAUUCCUGCUCCACCUGGCUAAGAAAUGCAGCAUGCCCACUUGGAAUAUACAUCAUCCAAAUUCCAUGGCAAAUAAUUGGUUGGAAUUGUUUCCUGAGGAGUCAUUUCAAAAUUUGAAAAUAAAAACAGAAAAUAGAUCCAGCAAAUGAUUCCAAAUAUCUUCUAAAAAGAACAAUGAAAUAUGUUUUUUUAUUUACUGUAAGGAAAGAUAUUAAUGGAAAAAAUAAAAAAAAUCAAUUUAAAAAAUAUAUAAUAAAUCAAAAUCUAGAUUUAAAAUCUAACUCGUAUCAGGUUCCUAGUUGAAUUGAAUAAUUGAGAGCGUAACGUGUCAAGACUGACACGAGUUCAGAAUAGACUCCACAACAGUAAAAAAAAGAGAAAAAAAACGAUCCAUAUAGUGGCCCGUAGUAGUAUUCCGGAGGAGAGGGUCAAAGAUGGCGGCUGGUUCAAAGGACGAGCUUAAUGUCAUGAAUCAUUUUUUAACCUUUAUAGUAGGACUUGACACGUGUCCUCUAAACCCUCCUGUCCCUCUUCCGAUCCUUGCUAAACCCUUGUUCUGGUCGUAAUCAUCCAUUAGCGUAAACCUACGCUUCUCUUGACCUUGAUCCCAAUAAACCAACCCCAUAGAGUUGGUGGUAAUGUAAUUUAUAUUACUUUUAAAAUUAUUUUUAUUUAAAAAAUAUCAAAUUAAUUUUAAUGUGUUGGUAUUAACAAAAAAUUAAAAAACAUUAUAUUAAUAUAUUUUUAUUUGAAAAAUAUUUUUUAAAAAACCAUAUGUAAAAUUACUAAAAAACCCUUAUAAACUAGUUCGUCUCCCAGUCCUUAAAUUAGUUUCCUCAUUGUUUUUCACAAUUUUUUAAGAAAAAAAAAUAAAAAAGGAAAAUAAAAAUAUGAUCAUAAGCUAUAUAUCUAACACUCAUUUUAAAGAAAUUGAUAACCAUGCAAGCUGUCAUUUUAAAGAAAUCAAUAAUAUAUCAUUCUUUCAAUCAUUUUUGUCAAAAAUCAUGUGCAAAACAUAAUUAAUUAUUUUUGAUAUGAAGGAUGGAAAUAGUCCUUUAAAACAAGGAUAUUCUUAUUAAUUAUAAUUUGAAAUUUGAUUAAAAUUAUAUUUUCAUCCUAUUGAGGUUCUCCAAGAUGAAAAUCCAAAAAAAAAAAAAAUACUAUAUUAAUUUAUCAUUAAAGUAACAUAAUAAAUUAUUUUUUUAAUUUUUAAUUUGAUUAUUUUUUUUAUGUUUUCAAAUUAUUUUGACAUGUUGAUAUUAAAAAUAUAUUUUUAAAAAUAAUAAUAAAAUAUUAUUUUAGUGCAUUACCAAACACAAAAGAUUUUAAAAAAUAAUUAAUAUUACAUUCUCAAACACCCCUAAAUGCUCUAUUAUUGACGGAUUGUUUUGGCUAAAUUUCAUCCAGAAUAUUCCGAUUUCAUUCCAUAUGUUUUGUUCCGGUCUUGAAAAGUUAUUGAAUCCAAUUGAACCUGGUUCAAUUAAUUAAUUAAACUACCCAAGUAUAAAAAGCUAUUUUUCAUUACUAUUUUCAAUAACAAUGAUAUUAAUAAUAAUAUUGAAAAUUAUUAUUAUUAUUUUCAUUAACAAUGAUAUUAAUUUUUUAAAAUUAGAUUUAUCACUAAUAUAUAUAGUUUAUAUUUAUGUUUUGUUUUUCAAGUUUACACUUUAUAAGAAUUUGAGCAAAAUAAUGGAUGUUUUAGAUCUCAUUAGCCUUGAUAACAUUAACCUAGCUUUAUAUUUAAAAUAUUUGUGUUAAAACAUUUUAAUUUUAUAAUAUUUUGAUAUUUUAUUUAAGUUGAAUUGUUUUAAGUAAAAAUCUAUUUAAUCUUUACUAUUUUUAAAUAUUUUAAAUUGUACAAUUAUAUUUCAUCACGUCUCCAUUGUGUCAAAAACAAAUUGCGUAAAUUUUAGGCUUUAGCAGUUCCUUUUUUGAAAUCCUCAUUAGUGAAAUUUCACUAUUGAGCUUACCAAAAAAAAGAAAUUUCACGAUUGCUGGGCCUUGACUUGUCUGUUUAAUUUCUAUUAUUCUUAUUCACAUUUUAGCAUUUUAUUCCAAUGAAAGAAUGCACUUUCAUAGACUCAUCAAAACCCCAGGAACGCUAUCAAGCUUUAGCUUCAAACAACCUGAGGGAGAUUUAGUGCAGUGGAGAACUUCAACAUCUACUAUGAAGCUUGAUUUGCUAUCCAAUCUUCACGUCAGUUUUCCAUUGAUACAAAGAUACUGUAUGUGUUUUUGUUGCCGGAAAGUUGUUCGAUCAAUAACUUUUUAUCUUUUUCCAAGUUUUUGUUGUGUGAUUUUUUUUUCUUUUCAUCUCAAACUCAUGAACUAAAAGGUAAACAAAGUAAAAUUUUAGAUCAAAAUAAAAAAUAAAAAAUAUAAGAUGCAAAAAAUUAUAAGGUAAACGAUAAACUAAAUUUUAGAAUAUGUCUCUUAACUAUUCGUAAGCUUCCUAUUCCUUUUUAGUUUUUCUUGAAGUUGUUCUAUUUGAUGUCAUGAGUGUUCCAUUGAGAAAUAAAAAAGAAGACUAAUUGCCAUCCUCUUCACCUUCUUACAAUGCAUUACAGUAAUAUCUCUAAGAGAAUUGUAAAUCAAUUUUUGCACUGCAAAUACUUUUCAGUUCCGGUAAAUCAAACAAUUUCAGAAUUUUCCAAGAUAAACAGAUUUUUAAAUACACUCAAACAUAAUUUUAAAUAUAAAAACAAAUUAUGUUUUUUGAUUGCGGCAUAACAAUGUUGGCAGUACCGUUGUUGUUUGGACUUUGAGCAGCAGUAGAUAUCUCCAGCGUACUGUUACCUGCCGGCUAGAAAAGGUAUGUUGCCGUUUUUUAGUUUACUAGAGAGAGGGCAGAAAGCCUUAAGAAAAUAAUUUCACAUUCUGUGUGGUAGAAACCUGAUUCCACCCAAAAAUAAAAUAACACGGUAAUUGAAGCAAAUUAAAAGAAUAAAAGAAAAUAUAAAAUGAUUUAAUACAGAACAAAAAUUAGUUUUCAAUGCAGAUUAAAAUAAAGCAAAGUGACUAAUGAAAAAAGUACAUAAAUCCUACAAACAGCAGAUAGAUAGUCGGAAUCCCUUGCGCACACAUUUGAUAUAUAGAUAAUUAAAUCAACAUUAAACCAAAUUAAUAUAACCCUUUUGAAAAAUCAUUCACUACUUUUAAAUAAUUAAUUAUCCCUAUUAAGAAAAUCCAAUGACGACAAUGUAUUUAAGGAGCAAUAUUAAAGCAAAGACAUUAAAUCAAUACAGGUAAAUAAAUGAUCCAAAGAUUAAUCCAUUCAAUAGAAAAAAACAUGACUGAAUCCAUAAACUGCAUAAAUUCGGAGAAGAAUACUUCUCAACAACAAAUUGAGAAUGAUAAAACAAAAGAGUUAGAAUAAUUAGAAAUCUGAACAAUUUAGUUACCCAUCACUGUAUUAGUCAUUCCUUUCCUCAUCUGUGCUCUCUUUUUUCCCCUCUCUCUAGUGCAAUUCCCUCACGUCUUCUUUAUGCCAAAUAGCCCUCUUUACAGAGGAGGCAGCACCCUUUUUCAUCAGAGGCUAAACUUGUAGCCCUUUACGAUACCUUUCCAACGCAUCAAGAAUCACAGCAAUCCGAUAUGUGUGUGGAAGGUUAUGAUUAAAAUACUUUAAGUUUAUUAAAAAGUCAAGAAAAUAAAGUUUUAGAUUAAAAUAAAAUAAACUAAAAACUUUAAGGAAAAAAAAAAGGCCUAUGAAGCUUGAUAGUAUAUCCAUUAGCAAGUCAACUGUCAAUCUUUAUUUUCUAUAUUUAACAUCCUUGGUUUACUGCUUAAUUGAUUUGUAUUGAUUUAUAUUCUAUUUUAGUUUCUUUGAUUUAAGAUAGUUUCCUUGAUUUAAGAGCUAAUUGAAGCUCCUUUUUGUAUAUAAGAAUAUCAUUCAUUAGUAAUGAAAUACAGAGUUGAGUAUCUCUCAUUUUAUAAUUUCUCAUAGUAUCAGAGCAGUUAAAAUCCUAAAUUGUAGCCCUUUACGAUACCUUUCCAACGCAUCAAGAAUCACAGCAAUUCGAUAUUUGUGUGGAAAGUUAUGAUUAAAAUAUUUUAAGUGUAUGCUGUUUUUAAGAAAAAGAACAUUACUUUAAGUUUGUCGCACCCCUAAAAAAAUAAUAAUAAAAAAAAAGUUUUGUUUAUUUUAAAAUUUGUUUUGCGACAUUCGACUGGCAACUUUCGUUUUGUUCUGUUUUGUUGAUUUUGUUCUUUGGGAGUCGCCACCUAGUAUUUUGGUCACUAGGAACCCUAACUGGUCUUUUAGAGAUUCUAAGGCAAGGGACUGGUUGCGUAAAGGGAAGGUAUUAGCACCCCUAGUACGCCCUACCUAAGGUAAGCUGCUUGGUGUUUGGUUUGCUCUAUAACUGCUAUGGUGUAGGUAUUUUCUAGGCUCGUCAAUUGAUUUUGGAUAGAAAUCUAAGGAGAUUCCAUGUGCUUUGAAAGCUCAUUUUUCCCUUAGUAUUUCAAAAGUUUGUGACUCAUAAAUCGUGGAGAAAAACAAAAUUAAAUUAAUUUUGAAAUGUCCUCGAUUAUAAUCAAGGCUUCUUUCAAGAAUUGUGUGCGGAUUUAUUAUUCCCGAUAAUAUUUUGGAUAUUCAUCCUUUUAAGGAUUUCUUUAUCCAAACAUUAGCGGUAAAUAAUAAAUAAAUUCCUUUUUCCAAAAUAAGAUUUUUAUAGUUUUUUUGAAUAUUGGCCAAUACCCUUUGGAAUUUUACAAACACGUUGUAAAAUCCAGAAAUGCAAGAAAAUAAUUUGUGUUUAAGAAAUCUAUACGAAAACACACUUUCGAAGCUUCCAAUGUAUUUGUUUUUAAAAAAAGAAUAUUCAAAACAUGUUAGAGUAUUGGCCGUAUGCAACACGCAAGAAAAAUAUUUUUUUUUUAAAACAAUAUUUUUUUUUUUGACGAAAUCAGGUAUUUUUAAAACUGAAUUUGUAUCUCCACAAAAGAAAAAUACAAACUAAUAUUAAGUCAUAAAAAAAAAAUAUGCGGAAAAAUCCACAAUAUUUUUUAGGAAUUUUAGAAAUUUUUGAAAGCAAAAAAAAAAAUUAUCUUUGGAAAAUUUCGGGUGCUACGACGAAAAUCAGAUAUUUUAAAUACUGAAUUUAUACCUUCACAGUAUAUAAAAAAAAAAAAACCCCCUUAAAAAUAUAUAUACAUGAAAGAAAAAUAACAAUAUUUUUUUUAGAUUUUUUACAAAUAUUUUAUAUAUAUAUAACAUAUACACAUAUAUAUAUAUAAUAUAAUAAUAUAAUAUAAUUAUAUAUUAAUUAUUAAGGGGCUGGGCCGGCCCAACUGACUGGGCCGGGCUCAGCCCACAGUGACUGGGCCGACCUCGGCCCAGGAAAGGUUACUGGGCCGACCUCGGCCCAUAAGGUACUGGGCCGAACUCGGCCCAAAGGUACUGGGCCGAACUCGGCCCAGAAACUAAUUAACCUCGGUCUGGGCCGGACCCGGCCCAGACCGCCGGACUGGGCCAGAUCCCUCUGGCCCGUCCACAUAACUCUGGGCCAGACACAAUCUGGCCCAGAGAAAAAAAAAAAAGAAAACGGGGGGGGGGAAUUAAUUUCCCCCCCGCCUCCUGCAUGCAGAACGAUUCUGCAUGCAGGAGGCAAAACAUAUAUAUAUAUUAACAGAAAAAAUGCAGGGGGAGGAGAGGAAGCGUACCUGGUGCUGGCGGAGCUGCGGUGGUGGUGGCAGUGUCCUCGCUUCACGGACGGCGGCUUCUCUCUCCUCUGUUACAGGGUUUCUCUCUCUUCCUCUCUCUCUUCGUUUUUUUUUUUGUUUCGGGGUUCCUCUCUCUCUCUUUUUUUUUCGUUUUAUUCUUUUCUCUUCCCCUCUAUCUCGCUGGUUCUAUCUCUCUCUUCGGCCUCGUCUCUCUCUUCGGUCUUCCUCUCUCUCCUCUCGGCCUCUCUCUAUUUAUAAGCAAAAAGGAAACGGCGUGCCUUCGUUAGUGCGCCUUCAAUCACGCAACGGCUGGUCGGCCAUUCUUGCUUUCGGUGGUGGUGGUGGGGACGAGGAGAGAGAGGCGGGAAGUUUUGAAAUUUUUCCUUUUUUUCUUUCGUUUCUGUUCUGUUGAAACGGGGGAGGAGGAAGAUGAACAGUGUCGUUCAAAACGACACCGUUCUGAUCUUCCUCUUUUUUUUUUUUUUAUAUAUAUAUAUGAAACGGCGUCGUUUUGGGUAAAACGCGCCGUUUCAUUUAAACGGCUAAACUUCAAAUCGGUCCUCCAAAUUCGGUCCCCGUCCCUCUUGUUGGCCGCCUUUUUCACUUUGGUCCUUGGCCUCUGAUUUAUGCAAUUGAGCCCCUAAUUGAUCAAUAAACUUCCAAUUUCUUCAAUUAAGCCCCUGAAACAAAAAUUAGCAGCCCCUCCAUUUACGCGCCUCUUCCAAUUUGGUCCCUGGUUUCGGAUUUUCUUAAUUAAAGUCCCUAAUUGGCCCUUAAACUUCAAUUUUUAUGCAAUUGAGCCCCUGAUUUGACCCAAUAAAUUCCUAAAAAAUAUAUUUUGGCCCCAGAACUUAAAUUUCUUCAAAUUAAAGCCCAAAUUGACUUAAAAAUCAAUUUUUCUUGGAAUCAAAUCUUCUAUAAAUUCAAAUAAAAAUCCAAUUAAGUCCAUAAAAAUCCAAUUAAGCCCAUAAAAAUCCAAAUUUGGGCUUUUCUCCCUAAAAUUCAAAUUUUUCUUCUCAAUAGGGCUUUCAUCCUUCAAGAAUAUACUGUCAAAAAUUCAAUCCUUGUAUUUUUAAAUUCCUUGACCAAUUUUCUGACUGUUUUCCGGGCGCUUCUGCCUCCGGUUAUUUUUCUAACCUCUUUUGGCUAUUUAUUUUAUUUUUCAGGGGGACCCAAAAAUAAGUUACAACAAAGUUUAUGCAGGCUGCUGUUUAAAAAGUCAAGAAAAUAAAGUUUUGGAUUAAAAUAAAAUAAAAUAAAAACUUUAAGGAAAAAAAAAAGCACGCCUAUGAAGCUUGAUAGUAUAUCAAAUUAAAUAGAAGCUCGAUUAAAAAAUGCCCUUUAAUUUCUAUUAUUUCUAUUCACAUUUUAGCAUUUUAUUCCAAUGACAGAGCAUUUGGAAUGCACUUUCAUAGACUCAUCAAAACCCCAGGAACGCCAGAUCGGGAGCUUCAGUGCAGUAGAAAACUUUAACAUCUACUAUGAAGCCUGAUUUGCUAUCCAAUCCACACAUCAGUUUUCCAUUGAUACAAAGAUACCGUAUUUUUAACCAUCUAAUAGUAAGAGUUUGUGAUCAAGGAGUUUGCUUCCCCUGUGGUCUCAGGUUCGAGUCAUGUGGUUAUUAAUAUUGAUAAUCAUUGAAGACUUACCUGGUCGUUAAUUUCAAGAUCCGUAAAAAUUAAUCGAGGUAUGCACAAACUGACUUAGACACUCAAGUGAAUAAAAAAAAGAUAAUGUAUUUUUGUUACUGGAAAAUUGUCAACCAAUAACUUUUUAUCCUUUUCCAAGUUUUUUAAGUGACUUUUUCUUUCAUCUCAAAAUCAUGGAUCAAAAGUGAAUAAAAUAAAAUUUUAAAUCAAAACUAAAAAUAAAAAAAUAAAAAAUGCAAAAAGUUUAGGGAUCAAGAUUUUAAAAAUCACGCCUAUGCUACUUUCUAGUUUUAAAUAUUCAAAACAAGGCUCCAUUAUCAUAUAUUUACAGAGACAUACCAAUGUAGCUUUUAAUGUUUACUGGUUUGGGUAUGUCCAUAUGCUUUUAAAUAUUUUUUAAAAUUUAUAUUUGUUUUUAAAAAAUAUUAAAUUAAUAAUUUUUUUGUUGUUUUUAAUGAUUUUGAUGUAUUGAUAUUAAAAUAAAUCUAAAAAAUUAUUUUUUAAAAAUACUUUAUAUAACAGUAUCAAACACAUGAUAACCUGGUCCAAAAGCUUUCGACCCAGCAUAAAAUGGUUUUCAACCCAAUCAUACUUUUUCCUCAUUAUAAAUAUAAAAUAAAGUUCAAGUGAAGUAGGUCCAAUCUUAAAUGGUUCAAACAUUAUUGUUAGAAUGUGACAGUGUCCCAACAUUAGUAGUGUAGCACGUGCCAUGUCUCAAGCUUAUGUGAUCCAAAAACAAGGCAAUUGGUGUUUGAUGAAAUUAGCUGUCACUAAAAAUAAAAUAAAAUAAAAUCCUCUGUGAACUAAUAAUUACUCAAUUAAUCCCUAAAUUAGUAUUUUUUUAUUGUUUUUCACAAAAUUUAUAAGAAUAAAAAUAUUUUAUUAGAUAUUUUAGAUACUCUACUAUUAUAAUAUUUUAUUUAAAUUUAGAUUUUUAGUUCAAAAUUGAAUUUUAUUUAAUGUAACAAGUAUUAUGAUGUUUUAUUUUAUCUGAAAAUUUUUGAAAUAUUAUUUGAUUUUAUUAAUUUUAAAAAAAUAAUAUUUUAAAAGAGUACGAAAUGUUGUAUAAAAUUUAUAUGUAUUUAUUUUCUGAUAUACGUGUUCCAAGAAUUAGCAGGGAUACGAUGUUUUUACAACAACGCAAAACACAACAAACAUUGAUGCUAUGCUGAAUCCUUGAAGUGCGUCUAACAAAAUCUCAAUAUCCGGAAUGCCUCUUCUUCCAUGGCAUCUUGCCUAACUCUUGAUUGUCUCAGGUCCUCCAAGGCAUUCCUCCACUCCUCUUAAUUGGCAUCUUGCCAUUUAUUGACAAUACCCCACCACCAAGCAAGUGGUAGCACCAUUAGUGCCACUAAUGGUGGCAUGUUUUAAGGGAGUUUUGGCCCCUCCAUGUUGACCAUGAAAUGCCUAUAAAAGAGGCAUAAUUAUUUGAGAGCAAUGAGAAAACGUGAGAAUGAAGUGAAGAGAAGAAGAGAGAAAGAGGAGUUGCUGCCAUUGCAGCAAUGAGAGAUGGGAGUUGAGUGGAUGUGAUCCUCCUCCAUGUAUUUAUUGUAUCCUUUCUCUAUCUCUAAAUAAAAUGAACCUCUCCCGUGGAUGUAGGCGGUUUUGCCGAACCAUGUAAAAUAUUGUGUCAGUGUGCUUGCCAUCCGUUGAGCAAUUAUCAGUACAUCACCGGUCGGAUUUUCUUUUGUUUAAAAUAAAAUAUUUUAUCUUUAAUUAAGAGCAUGUGAUUGCUUUUGUUUUUAGUUGUUUUUUCAAAAAAGAUAUAUAGAUUUUUUUUAAUGUUUUUUUUUAUAAUUUUAAUGUAUUAAUAUUAAAAAUAAAAUAAAUAAAUAAAUCAUGUAGUCUAUUUCCAAACCAAUCUAAUAUUGGAGGUCGAAAUUCAAAGAUAAAAUUAAAAAAAAAAAAAACAUAUUCGAUCAGUGAGUAAAUCUAUCAAACCUGUGAAUCAGGUAACUUGAGCUAACACAUCAAACUUAUUAACAAGGUUGUUGCUAUCCAUUUUUUGACCCAUGUUUUUGAUAUAUUUUCAAAAAAAUUCAAAAAUAGAGAAAAACAAAGAAAAUCCAAAAAAUAUGUUUUUUUAAUAUAUUUUCGUCAUUUUAGUAGUUUCAACGUCGUCUAAAAAAAAAUUUAAAUUUUUAAAAGAUUUUCAAACGCGUUCAACUUUUCACGCGUCAUUUUUAAAAUCAUUGAUUUUCCUCGUUGAGUCGACGUUGAUAUUUCUCUUUUUCAAAAAAUACAAAAAAAUAAGAAAAAUCAAAAUUUACAAAAAAGAAAGAAGUUGAGGGACCAAGUUGAAAAACUUGGCAACAUUUUUUGCCUAUAAAUACUGGUUUCCAACACUUGCAAUAAGGGGGGGGGGCAAUUUUGAAACAUCACAAAAAAAUCUGAACCCUAAAAAUCCAAACACAGCCGCCCCACCUUUGGCCUUGGAUUUUUUCGAGACCAGCCCUCUCGGCCAACAGAACAAACAAAACCGCCCCCCACUGAUUUUUGAUUUUUCUCACCAGCCGUCGGCCAAAGCUUCAUCUCCUUCACCCAUCUCCUGAACCCAGACGCCCGACCAUUUUCCCUCUCCUCGCUCACAACCCCUUUUCCUCACAAAACCGAACCACUCCCCUCCUCCAGCUCGCCGAAUCCCGGCACCAUAACAGCCACGAAUCAAACCCCCCUCUACAGAUCCUCCAAAAUCUUCCUCAUCCCUCUCUCGGCUGAAAAUCAGAGGACCCGUGCCUCUCCUCCUUUCCCCCACAACAAACCCACAGCCCCCUCUCUUUCAAAACCAAACCGGAGCAGCCACUCCAUUCCCCCUCUCUUUUUCUCUUCCCCGGCCAAAAGAGAGCAGCCCACCAGCCGACCACCACACCGACACCCAUCGAUCUGUCCGCCACCGCCAUCAUAGGCCGCUACCACCGACAGGGGUGAAGACCGUUCAACAGCGACGGCCUCCACAGAAGCAAGCCACCGUUCCCAUCUCCUCAGACCAUCGGUUUCCUUCUUCGGCCAGCAGGUCUUUCCUUCCUCAGCUGCCGGGGACACCGGCAGAUGACAACUUUCUUCCUCCAGCGCCGCCCGCAGAUCCCCCCAUUUCCAACUGAUAAUCAACGGGCGGAUCCGCAACCAGCAGAGCAUAACGAAACCGAGAAGAAGAUCUGACAAAAAGAAAACAAAAAAACUGAAUCAGAUUUUAAAAGCAAAGAAAAUAAAAACUAAAAUCGACUGUUGUUGUGAUUUUGUUUGUGAUUGCAGGUUAUUGUGUUCCUCACAACCAGUAGAGAAGAGAAAGGGAGAAGAAACAGAGCCAGGCAACCCAUUUUUCCGGCGAUUCUCACGGCGGCGCGUGAACCCACGCGCCGCCAGGGGCGGUGGCGCAUGGACGAGACGCGCCGCCGCUGUUUUCUGCUCCAGAAGCCUUCCAGCACUGUUACGUGCACUGUUCCUGCAUGUUUUAGAAGACUUAGGAUGUUUUAGGGUUUGUUUUGUAAUUUUGAAUUGUUUUAAUGUAAUUGUUUUUGUUGAUUUUUGAACCAUUUGUAUUUUGUAAACAUGUGUAAAAGAAAAGAAAAGAAACAAAAAUAAAAUAGUGAAAGUGUAUGUGUGUGCUUGUAUUUUGUUUUAUUUAUUUGUAUAUAUUUUUUAAUGAUAAAAUUGCAAAUAUAUUAAAGAAGAAUUUAAUAUUUUGAUCGGAUCACGGUUAAGAAUUAUUAACUUAUACGUAAGUGAUAUUUCUAAUUUCCGAUGAAAAGACAAUUAUUAAAACUUCUUUAACACAUCAAAUUCGCGAAGCAGCUUACCUCAAGUAGGGUGUGUUAGGGGUGCUAAUACCUUCCCUAACCACAACCAGUCCCUUACCCGCGAAUCUCUGACGAGACUAGUACAUCCAGUUUCCUAGUAGCCCGCAAUCAAUUACUAGGUGGCGACUCCAACGAACCAAAUUCAAGCAAACAACAACAACGAGACGAUAAAAAUUGCCAACCGAUGUCGCGCGCCGGAUUUUUUUGGGGUGCGACAAAGGUUAUGGACUCUUGUAGGAUUAUAUAUUUUUAUAAUUUUUAUAUUUAACUAUAUGAUAAUAAAAAUGGAUAAUUAUAAAAUUAAACACCAGCCCAAUACUAAUAUAUUUGUUUUAGACCAUGAUAACAUCAUCCAAAGAAAAAUAAACUAAUUAUGAAACUAAAUUUUAAACCAACUCAAAUAUGAAAUAGAAAAAAAAUUAAAAAAAAUUGAUAACCAAAAAAAGGAAAGGGAAAGAAAAAAAAGAAGCAAAACACUAUAGAUUAUUAUUGUAAUUCAUAAUGAAAUGGGUGUGACGCGUGAGUGAAUAUUGGUUCUCCCACACCGUUUAGCUUCUUUUUUUUAAUUAAUAAACAAAACAAUACUUCAUUAAACCAGUAAACUAGUAUAAAUCACGUUAACUUUAUAAAAAGAUAGAAUAAAAAUAAAUAAAUUAUAAAAUUAAAUAUUAAACCACCCAAUAUGAAAUAAACAAAAACAAAUUUAAAAAAAAAAAAAAAAACACAUAGGAUUACUUAUUAUAAUUUAUAAUGAAAUAGGUGUGAAUACGUCUCUUAACUAUUCGUGAGCUUCUUAUUCGUUCUUAGUUUUUCUUGAAGUUAUUCUAUUGAGGAAAAAGAGAAGAAAAAACCCUACUUUUUUUUUCCUCUUCAUAAUGCAUGGAUUUAAGUUGGGUGGAGAUUCAGUAAUCAAAAUAUUUUUUUUAUUUUUAAUAUUAAUUUAAUAUUUUUUUCAAAAUAAUCAAAUUUUUAAAUACAAUUAAACAUAAUUUUGAGUACAAAAACAAACUACGUUUUGAUUGCGAGCAUAACAAUCUUGGUAGUAAGUACCAUGAUCCUUUCCAAUUGAGUUAAUUUUAGGAUUUUUUUUGCAGCCACGUACAUGCUUUAGGAGUUCUUUUUAUUAAAUCAAUAUUAAAGUAAAAAAAUUAAAUCAAUACAGAUAAAUAAAUGAACUAAAUAUAAUCAAACAAUUAAUCCAUUUAAUAGAAAAAACAUUACUGAAUCCAUAAACUACAUUAAUCCCUUUUCUUUUCUUUUCUUGUUUUUUUUUUUCUGAUGGAAUUCCCACACGUCUUCUUUAUGGGCAGCCCCAGUUUUAAACCCUCUUUUUCAUCACGUCCCCAUGUUCCCCGUGUCCCACACGUUUUCAUCAAAAACCUAAAUUUUAGGACUUCUUUGGCAGCCAUUUAAAAAUAUAUAAAAAUAAUAUUUUUAUUUUUAAAAAAUUAUUUUUAACAUUAAUACAUUAAAAUAAUAUAAAAAUAUAAAAAAUUUAUUUUAAAAAAAUUAAAAUUUUUAAAAACACAAGCAUUCCCAAACAAGGUAACGUGUCAAGAAUCAUAGCAAUCUGACAUGUGAGUGGAAAGUUGUGAUUAGAAAACAUUACUACUUUUAGAGUGAUUUUGACAGAGUAGCAGGAAAUGUCAUUAUUGUUAUUUUUAAAAUAUUUUAUUUAUUUAUAAAUAUAUUAAAAUGAAAUUUGUUGUUAAUUUUGUUUCGUUUUAUUUGUAAUGAUUUCAUACCAAUUUAAAAAAUAAAAAUAAAACAAAAUAAUUUUCAUCUCAUUUCAAAUCUCGAUCCCUUCCAAAAUUUUUGGCUAAAUUCCGUUCAGAGUGUUCCAGUUUCAUUCCACAUGUUUUGUUCCAGUCUUAAAAUCCUAUUGAAUCAAAUUGAACCUGGUUCAAUUAAUUAAUUAAACCAUCAAAGUAUAAAAGCUCUUUUUCAUUACUAUUUUCAUUAACUAUGAUAUUAAUUUUUUAAAUUUUGAUUUAUCACUAAUAUAUAUGGUUUAUAUUCAUGUUGUUUUUUUUUUUCAAGUUUAUACUUUGUAGGAGUUUAAGCAAAAAAAUAGAUGUUUUAGAUCUCAUUAGCCUUAACAUUGACCUAGCUUUAUAUUUAAAAUAUUAGUGUUAAAAUACUUUAAUUUCAUAAUAUUUUGAUAUUUUAUUGAAGUUGAAUUGUUUUAAAUUAAAAAAAUUAUUUAGUCUUAACUAUUUAAAAAUAUUUUAAAUUUUAAAAUUAUAUUUCAUCACGUCUCCAUGAUCCCCGUUGUGUCAAAAACAAAUUGCCUAAAUUUUAGGCUUUAGCAGUUCCUUUUUUGAAAUCCUUAUUAGUGAAAUUUCACGACUCCAGCUGGGCCUUGACUUGUCUGUUUAAUUUCUGUUGUAACCAAAUUUUGACCCACUUAUUGUUAAAUUAAUUUUAAGGAGGGUAAAUCUUGAAAAUUAAAAGACCAGGGGUUCGAAUGCAAGGAUUUAGAAACUUCAAGGACUAGAUUGGAAAUGACCAUUCUCAGCCCAAAACAGCACCGUUUCAAUCAGGUGUUGUCCGUCAUCUUCGUCUCACCGAACGUCCGCCUGCAAAGAAGGAAACAAAAGCGUGAAACACCAGUAUCCUAACCCAUUCAAAAUACAGAAAAGCAAUAAUUAUCUUCAUGAUAAUUACAACCCGACGAGAUAAAGAUUGCACUUUGAAUUCAAGUCCUAGCAGGAACCGUCUCCCUCAGUCGUGCUUAUCAAGAGGAGAGACGUGAGGCUGAGGGGGAGGAAAAUUGAUCCCUAUAAAUACCCAACAAUUAACAACGCCAAAAAAGAGGAAAAAACCCAGAAUUUACCCAGAAAAACAGAGAUAAGAACAGGAAACCGAGCAAAAAAAAAAACCAAAAACAGAGCAAUUAACAAAAAAAAAACAGAGAAAACAAAACACAAAAAAAAGAGACAGAGAAGAACAGUAUCACCAGCCAGAUUUCAUCCCUUCUAGAAAUCAGUUUUCAUCCGAACUGUUUUCACCCCUACAGAAACCCAAUUGAUCACCGAACCGUAGAUCAUUGACAUAAAGCAGUCGAGCCACACCGUCGCCUCAACCUGCCUCAGCAUCGCCAGAAACAGAAAGCAGUCGACUCAAAGGAACCAGACCCGCGUUGCAAUCUUCUUCAAUCUCCAAAAACAGGUUCGCUUCCUUUUUCAUUUUUUCUCUGCUCUUCGUGUUCAAAUAAUUGUUUGAACAGUGCGAAGGUAAUUUAAUUACCUUCGCACUGUUGAUGCACGCGUGAUCUGUUUCACGCGUGCAUCUUGUGUAGCCGGGUCACUGGCUUGGGCCAGUGACCCGGGCCGGGCUGGCUGGGUUCAGCCCAGCCACCAAUAUAUAUACUUGCUGGGUUGGAUUUAGCCCAGCCCAGCCCAAAGAUAAAAAAAAAAGUAAAAAAUAUAAAAAUUUUAAAAAUAUAUAAUAAAAAUUGUGUAUGUAAAAAAUAUAUACAUAAAUGAAUUUUUUUUUAUUUCAUUGACAAAAAAAAAACACAUAAAAUAAAAUAGGAUAAAUUUAUUUAGUAUAUUCACCGACGCCAGAGUCGGGAAUAAAAAAAUACUAGGGUAAAUUUAUUUUAUUUUAUUUUGUUUCGCAUGCAUAAAAAAUAAUUUGAUAAAGAAAUGAAUUGAUUUUUAUUUGUUUAUUCACAUAAGAUAAAAUAGGAUAAAUUUAUUUAGUAUAUUCACCGACGCCAGAGUCGGGAAUAAAAAAUACUAGGAUAAAGUUAUUUUAUUUUGUUUCGCAUGCAUAAAAAAAUAAUUUGAUAAAAAAAUAAAUUGAUUUCUACUUGUUUAUUCACUGACGCCAGAGUCAGGAAUAUAAUAAAAUGAUGAUAUGAGUUUAUUUAUUUUGAUACCUACGUAAUAUUUACCAACGCCAGAGUUGGAAAUAUACGUAGUUGAAUAUUCACUGGCGCCAGAGUCAGGAAUAUCGUACACAAGAAAUUAUAGUAUAAACCAAUAAAGAUGUUAGCAAUUAAUAACAAAGACCAACAAUGCAGCCUACCUUAGGUAGGACGUUUAAGGGGUGAUAAUAUCUUCCCUUUUACGUAACCAGUCUCGGAUCAUAGAAUCUCUGUUGACCAGUUAGGGUUCCUAGUGACCAUAAUACUAGGUGGCGACUCCUUAAACAAAGACCUUUUCCCCCAAAAGAACACGAUGCCUGAAAUCGGUUCUUUUUCCAUAAUUCAAGAAUUAAUUUUUAAGGCGGCCGCGAUGUCGGGUGCGACAUUCUAUUAUUUUUAUUCCAUUUUAGCAUUUUAACAUUUCAUACUCAUCAAAACAACUGGAACGCAAUCAAGCUUUAGCUUCAAACAACCAGAGGGAGAUUUUAUAGGGAUAAAAUUUUAAAAAUCACGCCUAUGCUACUUUGUAGUUUUAGUAUUAAAUUUAGUAUCUAAAAAAUGUGUUUAUGAAUAUGGCAGUUUCAGGUUUAGAAACCAAAUCUGCCAUAUUCAUACUCUCUCUUAGACAUUUUAAAAAUGUGUGUAGAAAAAUACUUUCACUGAUGAUUUAUAAUAUUAGGUUACUUUAAUGAUAAAUCAAUAUAGUAUUUUUUUUAUUUUUUGGAUUUUCAUCUUGGAGAAAUUCAAUAGGAUGAAAAUAUAAUAUUAAUCAAACUUCAAAUUAUAAUUGUUUAUCUAUGGAGUUUAAAAAAAACAUGGCAAUUUAGUAGUCUUUAAUGAAAUAAAAAAAAUGAAAAAUGUUAUUUAUGUAAUUGUAAGCAUACAAUAUUAUAUUACUUUACAAAGGGACGAAGGACAUCCUUUGCGUUAGGAUGCUCCCACUCCACUACUGACUCCCACCAUUCUUUUGGACAUGCCUCGAUUUCUCUAAGAGAAGGGGGAGGGGAUGGCUGGCCAUUUUCAAGCAACGAAAGACAAAUUGGCAUCCUCUUCAGCUUCUCACAAUACAUUACCUUAAUAUCUUCAAGAGAAUUGCAAAUCAGUUUUGCACUGCAAAUGCUUUUCAGUUCUGGUAACACAUACAAUUUCAGAGUUAUUAACUUUGGGAGAAUGACUUCCGUGAUGCUUUCUUCAUCUGUUGUUCCUAUUAUCUCCUCCAUUUUCUCACAAUCAUUAACUUCAAUCCUUUCCAGGUUUACGAGGUUUGGUAGCAACACAAGCGGGAACAGCUUUUUCAUACUUUUACAGUCAUUACAAAGAAACUCUUUAAGACCAGAAAAUGUACCGUUACAUGAUGGCAAUCGUGGUGGAGCAGAGCAGAACCAAGAAGAUGAAACCAAGCUCUCCAUGUUAUGGCAUUCCCGAAUGCUGAUGCGCUCCAGUUCAGUUGCAUUCUCUAAUGACAAAACAUCACAUAAACUUCUUGCAUCGAUGCAUUCACAAAUCAGUCCUUGAAUGCCAUUUAAGAACUUGACCUGAAAAUCUCUAUCUCCCGUUGAUACUCAAAUUACCCAACCCAACUGUUUUACUUGGAAAAUCUUCAAUGCAUUGCUCUAAAUAUCCACCCACCUCUCCUACUAAAAUCUUGCAUGUGCUUAAUGAUAGGAUCCUAUCCCGAGAUCUGAGAUACUCCACGAAGUCAGAAAAACCUUCGAAAUGGCACUCCAAAGUUUCCAAAUUUCCCAAGGAUCCUACUUCCUUUCCUUUAACUGUUAUCGGAGCAUUCGUAAAAUUUUCUAGUACAAAGACUUGCAGGUGAGAGAGUUUUGAUAAUAUCCCACUAGGAAACUUCUUUUCACCACAUCCAUUCAUUAUAAGAUACCUCAGGUUGGUUAGGCAUUCCAUUCCUUGCGGCAUCUUUGCAAGUGCCCGAGUGCCAGAGAGAUCCAACUUCUUUAGUGCCCUGAGCUUCUUUAAUGAUGGAACAUAUCUUAAAUUGUCACACUUACGGAGCAAUAACGCAGUGAGACUCACCAAAUCAGAGACAGAGUCUGGCAAAUUUUCAAUACCUGUGAAAGACAGACUGAGGACCUUGAGCCCAUGCAAUUGCUUGAAAAAUGAAUUCGCAAUCAAUUGCAGCUCUUCAUUCUCAUGUAGAUAUAGAGAUGACAAAUUUGGACACAUUGGUGAAUGACUGGAAGGAAUUUCUUCGAUCUUGUUUUUCAUUAGUGAAACAAUCGUCAGGUUCUCCGUCCACUCCUCUGUAUUUGGCAGCUCUUUUAAUUGCGCACCUGCUUUAACCAUGACUUGAGAGUUGUCUUGUAGUAUUUGGAUGGCCAUGUCCCUAAUCAAGUCAUGCAUCUUGACAGCUCUACUAUCAUCAUCAUCCAUUUUAGCACUUUCCAAUAGGCAGACAUUUUCAAGUGUAUUAAGCAUCGUGUGGCCCUCAUCAAAUGCCCUGCUCCUCAUUCCUUUAAUUAUUCCCUCAUCGAUCAAAUAACCUAUCAACUCCUCCCUUUCAAUCUUACCAUCUUCAGGAAAUAAUGCACAGUACAAGAGACAUCGUUGUAGUGCUAAAUCACCUAACCGAUCAUAACUAAACCUCAAUAACUUGAAUUCGUUGUCCCUAAAUUCUGAUUCUCUCAAUUUGUUCAAUGUAUUUCUCCACUCAUGUAGGUCAUCCACUCCCCUCAAGCUUCUUGCUACUGUAUUAAUUCCCAACGGCAAACCAGCACAUUCCUUUGCAACAGCUUUUGCAAUCCUUUCCACUUCUCGUGAAAGUGCCAUGUCACGUCCAAGUUUCUCCAUGAACAAAGUCCAAGCUUCUCCCUCAAAAAGUGGCUUAACCUUGAUUAUGCGGUGGCAAGCCAUCCGAUGACAAACCGUUUCUGAUCGAGUUGUCAUAAUUAGCUUGCAUCCUUUCAACGGGACAGGAAUUCCCACUUCGUCAAGCUCAAAAUUGUUCCACAAAUCAUCUAAAAUGAGAAUCCAUUUUUGUUUCUUCUUUAGUUCUUCUGACAAUUUGGCAGUUCUGAGCUGAACAUCAUCUUCCCUUGAAAGGUCUAGAUGAAGAUGUUUAGCAAUAAGAUUCUGCAAUUUAUUAAUGCUGAAAUCUUGAGACACAGUCACCCACCAAACAUGAUCACAAAUAUCUGGUCUUUGUAGAAGCUCAUUAUGGAUAUGUUUCAGUAUUGUUGUUUUACCAACUCCCCCCAUGCCAUAAAUGCCAAUGGUUGGGACUUCAUCAUCCAUUAACAAAGACCAUAUCACCUUCUUAUUCUCUUCAAAUGCUCGACCCACUGGCUUUAUAGAGCUAGUAGGUAAUGGAACUCCUCUAGUCUCACUUGUGUUGUAUUUAAGGCUUAUAGAAGAUCUAGCUCCAGCGUCAGGCCGCACUGAUCUUCCACUGUUCUCCAUAUCCUCCUCCACUGGUUCUGUCCUCACUCUAACCAUGUUCUGCACAUCAUUGUUUACUGAUGGAGCAAAUAGGUGGGCAUAAAAUCUUCCAUGAUCUGUUGGUUGGGAUGAAUCUCCUCGAUGCUGCACUUGUUCUGUUCUCGGUAUAGUUUCAGAUCCAUCAUGCAGACGCUCCACAUCCUCAUCUUCCUGCAUUAAAUAGGUAGAGAUUUCAUUCAGCUGCUGCUCCUUUGAAAGGGCAGAGUGCAUAUGAACCCAAGUACCAUCAGCAAAUUGAUCCACUAAAUCUGUUCCUUGUGUUGCUUCUCCUUUAUGUCUUUUGUUGCCACCACUCAUAGCUAGAAAGGCUGCUUCUUGAACUUCUUGAGGCACCUGACCACAAAUGGCAACACCAUUCCCUCUCUCUCCUGAUAAAUGCCAUUUGAUCCUCGAAAUGGAAGUACCAUUGACAAAUAAACGCCCACAAAACUUACACUUCAUGCUUCCAUCAUUCAUAUCUUCAACUUCAUUCCAAAACGGAUCAUCUGAUCUACCCAUUUUGUCCUAUAGACAAAAAGGGUCAAAAUAUUGAAUAAAAAUUAAUGGAAGUACAUUAAUUGGAAAAGGAAGGUUGAAACUAAAAUAAAAAGUUACAAACAGAAAAGAAACUAAGAAGAAAAAACAACGAAUUCAAGGUUAACUUGGGGUCAAUUUAGUAUGAACUCCAUAAGGCAUGGAUUGUUACAACUGAGAAAGAUCAAAUUAUUUAUUUUUGGAAACUGUUGAUGAUCCUAACUCCAAAGUUUCUCAUUAGAAUUUCUACAACUUGUGUUUUCCUUGAAAGAUUCAAACCAGAGUUACAUGUGAAAAACAAAAUGAAGAAGAUGGAGUAUAAAUAAUUUACCUGGAUUCAAGUAGUUCUUCAAGUGCUGGUUUGCUUAAGUAGUAUUCAGGAAGAAAAACAAGACCAGAGAAGAAUAUAAGAAAUAACAAGGAAUUUGCAAGAUGUUUAGCUCCAGAUGAUUCGAUUCAAUCAGAAAAGGAAGCACUGAUCAUCGGAAAGGUUUAAGAAAUUUGAUGAGGGAAAUUGGAAAUCAAUGGUAUAAUGAGAUGAGAUUUGGAAGAGAAUGUUACAGUAGCAAAGAUUCUUUUAUUGUUUGACAAGAAGUUGAUAGGAAAAAAGCCAUGACUUCCCUACCAAAGAUUACAUUACAAGAGACAACAAGUUGCUGUACACCUCUAUUUUGCUUUUCUUUUGUCUACCGCUGCAUAUAAUUAAAAUCUUCAACAAAAGAAUCAGAAGCUAAAAAUUAUUUAAAAAAAAAACAUUUUCUGACAAUAAUGCCAAACACUUUAACUCGUGGACCCACCCCAUUGUUGAAACUUUGAAAAAGCUGACCAAAGUCUAGGACUUCGGUAAUACUUAAAUAAUAGUAAUGUUCCUACAAUAACAAUGUCGUUACAUAACUUAAAGAAUAUAUAUAUAUAUACAUAACUUAAAGAAUACACACACACACAAAGCACAAAUAAUAAUAAUAAUUUUGGAUGCAAAACACAGGCUGCAACGCAGAUGGAGCAAGAAAUUCCACCCCAAGAAAAAUCCAAAUAUAAGUUAUUCCAACUUUCUUUCUAUCCCAAAAAAUCAAGAAGGCUAGUUUCAUUCAUCAAAAUUAUAAAUUCUAUAUUUAGAUAAAUUAGUAGAAAGGACAAAAAUCCUAGUGCAAAAUACCUAUAAACUAUAUUAUAAGAUAAAGUAAGCUAACGUGUGGAGUCUGUGGACCCACCCAAUGUUCAAACUUUGAAGAAGCUGCCAAGAAAAUGUAAACACACAUGAAUAUGAGAAAGAAUAGCAUAUUUCAAGUUUCUUUUUAAAAAAUAUUUUUUAUUUAAAAAUAUAUUAAAAUAAUUUUUUUAAUUUUUUUUUAUAUUACCCCUCAGAACAAUUCAAAAAUAUUAAUAGCAAACAGUCACUCGAUACACUUUUACAGGCUUUCGAUUAGCCUUACUCGUUUUAGCCAUGUUAUUGGUUAAUGGUUAUCAACAACUCUCUAUCCCGUGACGUUUCCGGCCCUCCCUUGAAAAAAUAAUAAUAAUAAUACAGUUGAACCAUGUUUUUAAAAUAACUUGAUAUUUUUUUAUUUUAAUUUUUUAUUAUUUACACGUGUUAAUGCUAAAAAUAAUUUUAAAAAAUAUUAAAAUUAUUAUUUUAAUAUAUUUUUAAAUAAAAAGCACUUAAAAAAAUAAUUGUUACCAUAAUAUUAAAUACUAUUUUAGUCACAAUUUACCUGCUUUUCCGGUUUUCAAAAAUAAUUAAAAAUAAAAUUCAAGAUUUGUGUUUUUUUGGGCAACAUGAUGCGCUGCUGUUAUACCUGCAUUUUGCCAAUAAAAUAAUAAAAAUUGUUGUUUUUGUUAUGGUUUACCACCUUAACAAACGAGGUUUUAAUUGACUCGGAUUGUUGGAAUAACUUAAUCUUAUGACAAAGUUUGUUUUUAAAUAUAUAUUCUUCGAAUCCUUACUAAAUUAUCAAAAUAACUUUACAGCAUUUUCAAGUUGCUUAAUUUAUUUGGUUUAAGAUAAUUUUUUUAAUAUAAUAUCAUAAGUUAUAAAUUAUUUCAUAAGUUAAUUCAGAUUAAUUAUUUUAUUAAAAUAAUAUCAUUUCAAUUUUUUUUUAGUAAUCCAAUUAGAUAUGAACUAGUUGAUUUGAUUGAUUGAUUAAAUUCCACCCAAUCAAUAUCUUAUUUAGUUUAAUUACAAACACAAUCCAAGUUAAAUUUUAAAUUUUAAGUUUUUAAAAUAAACACGGUUUAACAAUUAUUUUCUUAUUAAACUAUAGCUAAAAGGACUCAGUCUUUUACUGUGGACUGCACAGUGCAGUCCACAGUAAAAGCUGAGUUGUAUUCUCUCUUUUUUUCGGUUAUUUUUUUUUUACUUUGUGUUUUUUUCUUCAUUUUUUCUUUUUUUUAAUGGAUAUUUUUUUUAAAAAAAUUCUAUUAAUGUUAAAAAAAAAUUAUAUGUCAACUUUUAUAAUACGCAUUCUGGGUUUAACAGGUUAACCUAUAUUUUUUUUUCUGGUUUUUCUUUUUAAUUAAUUUUUUUGUUUAAUUUAUUUUGUUAAAUUAAUUAUGGGUUAACCUGGUUUCAUGGGUUAACCAAAUUAAUUAUGGGUUAACCCAUCAAUUUUUUUUUUCUAUGCAGUUAUCAAACUUUCACGACGCGAAUCCCAGGUUUGACGGUUUACUUGGUUUGAGGGUUAACCUAGUUAAUUCAGAUUUUUUUAUCUUUUUUUUCAUUGGUUUUUUUCUUCAUAUUGAUUUUUUUUUAGUUAAUCUAUUAAAUUAUCACACUUUUAUGACACAACCUUGCAGCCAAACCCACAUCCAAGGCUAUUGGUCUGGUGUUGCAGUCAUACUCAUUUAAACUUGAGUCAUGUAAGUUUAAUAUUAUUAUUAAUAUUAUAAAUAUUACUCUUCGGUCAAGCGUUGCAACUAAACCCAAGGCUUUUGGGUAUAUCUUUGCAGAAAAACCUAAUACUCUUAGAUCUUAGUCUUUUUUUAUAUUUUUUAUGAAAGAAAAAAUUUUUACCCGUGGCGUGUGCCUUUGUUUUUUUUUCUUUUUCUUUUUAAGCCUUUUACUGUGGACUGCACAGUGCAAUCUACAGUGAAAAAAACUGAUGACUUUAGUUUUUUUCUUUUUUCUUUGUUUUUUUUUAUUUUUUUAUUUACUUUUUUAAUAUUAUUUUUUUUCCUAUUUAAUUAUUAGACUUUUAUGACAUGGAUCCCAGAUUUGAUGGGUUAACCCAGUUGAUUCAUAGUUAAUUAAGAUUUUUUUUUCUCUUUCUUCUUUAGUUUUUUUCCUUUUAUAUGUUUUUUUCUUUAUUUUUUCUUUUUAAUUAAUAUUUUUUUUAUUUAAUUUAGUUCAUUAAUAUUAAAUUUUUUUCUAUUUAGUUAUCGUUUGAUGCCUUUAGUUUUUUUUUCUUUUUGUUUUUUUUUAUGCCUUUAACUGUGGACUGCACAGUGCAGUCCACAUUGAAAAGGCUGAUGCCUUUUGUUUGUUUUUGUUUUUUUUUCUUUUUAGUUAAUUUUUUUCGUUUAAUUUAGUUUGUUAAUGUUAAAUUUUUUAUAUUUAGUUAUCAAACUUUCAUGAUACGGAUCCCGGGUUUGAUGGAUUAACCUGGUUUCACAAGUUAGCCCAAUUAAUUCUGGGUAACCCAUCAAUUUUUGUUUUUCUAUUUAGUUAUCAAACUUUCACGACACGAAUUUAAGGUUUGACGGGUUAACUUGCUUUGAAAGGUUAACCCAGUUAAUUCAAAAAAAAAAUUAUUUUUCUUCGUUAGUUUUUUUCUUCAUGUUGGUUUUUUUUUUCUUUUUAAUUAAUCUAUUUGAUUAUCAUACUUUUAUGACACGACCUUGCAGUCAAACCCACAUCCAAGGCUAUUGGGUCUGGUAUUGCAGUCAGACCCACUUCAACUUGGGUUAUGCAAGUUUAAUGUUAUUAUUAAUAUUAUAAAUAUUACUCUUGGGUCAGGUGUUGCAGCCAAACACAAGACUCUUAGGUAUAACUUUACAUAAAGACGUAACACUUUUAGACCUUAGUUUUUUUUUAUAUAUUUUUUAAGCAAAAAUAAAUUAACCCGCAGUAUCGCGCGGGUAAUGUCACUGGUCUUUAACCAAACUUUGCAGUGUGUAAACUUUCACACUCAGUAUGUGUGUGUAUAUUAUUCAACCAAAUAAUUGCUUGUGCCAUAUAUGUGGCGAGCUUCCUAGUAUUAAAAAUCUUAGAUUAUCAAAUAACUAAACUUUUUAUCCAAACCAAUAAAUUUUAUGUGUCUAUUUUAAAUUUUGGUUUUAAAAAGAAAAUCAAAAUAAUAUAUCAAACAAUACCUAUAAAUCUUUUAUAUUACAGAUUAGCUAUAACCAGUGCACCCAUUUAUCAUUCUUAAGGUCAAUAUUUGGAAAUAAAUGAAUAAAUAAAUAAAAGCUACGUACCAAUAUUUAAUUUAGGUAACCUUAAAGACUGCUAAUUUAGUUUUUUGAUAUUAAAAGGACGUAUGUUGUUACUCUCUGCCUAGUGAUGAGGUAGAUAUCAGGUCUUCUAUCUGCACAAUGGUUAGAUGUGAAAAGGGAAAGACGCAAAUUUUUUUUAUUAUUAUUUAAAAAAGGCAAAACACCUUGAAUUACGUACUAUUUUUAUACGGUGAUUCUCCAAGUCUCUUAGCUUUUCUUGUAAUGAAAAUUAAUAACCUUAUAAUAUCUUUCUUGUGGAUGCUCUAUCGUUGCUAAAUUAAAAUAUCUUUUUUUAUUUACAACUAUGUGAAACUUUUUUUAAAAAAAUAUAUCAAAAAAGAUAAUGUUUUAAAAAAAUAUUAAUUGUUAUUUUAGUUUUUUUAAAAUAAAUACCAUCAUUUUAGUUUUUAUAAAUAAACAAUAUGAUGUGGUUUUAUUUUUUACUUUGAAAUACAUCUCUUAACUAUUUGUAAGCUUUCUAUUCGUUUUUAGUAAUUAAAAUAUAUUUUUUUAUUUUUAAUAUUAAUAUAUCAAAAAAUAUGAAUUUAAUAUUUUUUUUAAAAUAAAAAGAUUUUUAAAUGCACUCAAACAUAAUUCUGAGUACAAAAACAAAUAUAUAUUUUGAUUGCGGGCAUAACAAUCUUGGCAGUGAUAAAACAAAAGAGUUAGAAUAAAUGGAAAUCUGAACAAUUUGUCUACCUAUAAUCACUAUAAUCAGGGGGUGAGCAAAUUCAGUUCGGUUUAGUUUUUAUCAAAAAAAAAUAACCAAAUAAAAUUUUUUUUUUAAAAUGAAAACCGGUUCGAACAAGCCAGUUUCGGUUCGGUUCGAUUUUUUAGGAAAAAAACCGGUUCAAACUGGUUUGGCUCGGUUUUUUUCGGUUUUUUUUCAGUUCGGUUCGGUUUUUUUGGUUUUAAGCUUAUAAAACCGAUACCGAACCGGUCGGUUUUUUAAAAAUUUUAAUCGGUUUAAUCGAUUUUUUUUCACGGUUCGGUUUUUUCAGUUAUUUUUUUCUUGGUUUUCUUGGUUUCUUGGUUUUUUUGCUUACCCUACCCAUCACUGUAUUAAUUAGCCAUUCCUUUCCUUGCAUGUUCUCCUUUUUCUUUUCUUUUUCUCUGGCGCAAUUGCCAAAAAACACUCCUUUUUCUAAGGAGGCAGCCCUCCUUUUUCAUCACGUCUCCAUGAUCCCCCACGUUUUCAUCAAAAACCUAAAUGAUAGGACUUCUUAGGCAGCCACGUACAUGCUUUAGGAGUUCUUUUUUCGAAAUCCUCAUUUGAGGCUAAUCUAAAACAAAUUAAAAUAAUUAUGAUUAAAAUAAUUAAAAUUCUUUAAAUAAUUUAAAAAUAUAAAAAAUUAUUUAAAACAAAUUAAAAUUUUUAAAAACACAACAUUCUCAAACAAGAUAACAAUCAAGAAUCACAACAAUCCAACAUAUGAAUAGAAAAUUGUGAUUAAAAUACUAGAGUGCAUCUCACUUUUAGAAUGAUUUUGACAGUGCAAAAGUGAAUGUAAUAUAUGUUAUUUUUUAAAAAUUUAAAUAUUUUUUAUUUAAAAAUAUAUUAAAAUAAUAUAUUUUAUUAUAAAAUAACUCAAAAAUUAAGUCUAGGUAUUCAAUCUUCACAAACUUUAAUAUGUGUUAAGUCAGAUUUGUGUAAUUGAUUUAUCAAGUUUGCUUAAUUAAGAUGGAAUAUUUAUGACUAUUUUAAUCUAUAGUGUCUUCUCUCCUGGUACAUCGUAAAAGCCUGGGUAGUUUUUUUUUUUUUUAAUUUUAAUUAAAGUUCUGUUCUUUCUAUCCCAAGAAAUCAAGAAUGAUAGUUUCAUUCAUCAAGAUUCUAAAUACUAUAUACAGAUAAACUCAAGAAUGUGUCUUCUCUCUCUCUAUUUUUAUUUUUAAUCUGUAUUAUAUAUAUAUUUUAAAUAAUUUAUUUAUAAUUAAUGAUAUAAGAUGAUUUAUAAUAGUGAAUAGAUCUAUUAUUUUAUUAGGUUACUUUAAUGAUAAAUCAAUAUAGUAUUUUUUUUUUUUUUGGAUUUUCAUCUUGGAGAAACUCAAUAGAAUGAAAAUAUAAUAUUAAUCAAACUUCAAAUUAUAAUUAUUUAUCUAUCGAAUAAGAAUAUCCUUGUUGAUUUAAAGGAUUAUUUUCAUAUAAAAAUUAAUUAUGUUUUGCACCUGAUUUUUAACAAAAAUGAUUGAAAAAAUGAUAUAUUAUUAAAUAUGAACAAAUUUAAAAUUACAGAAAUGAUUAGUAUUUCUACAGAUGCAUAGAAUUGAUAAAUGAUGCACAAAGAAGGAUACGUAUGAUUACAUUUAACGGAGUAAUUAACCAUUCUACAUAUUAAUUAACAGUAGAAAACUUCAACAUCUACUGUGAACUUGAUUUGCUAUCCAAUUUGCACACCAGUUUUUAUCCCACUGCAGUAGAACUUUUUAUCUUUUUCCAAGUUUUUUUUUGGGUGACUUUUUUUCUUUCAUCUCAAAUUAACUUGUGAAUAAAAAAAAUAAAAUUUUAAAUCAAAAUAAAAUAUAUAAGAUGCAAAAAAUUAUAGGGAUCAAUAUUUUAAAAAUAACACCUAUGUUUCUUUCUAGUUUUAGUAUUAAAUUUAUUCGUAGAAGUUUCAUUUAUUUUUAAUUAAUUAAAUUGAACAAAAUCUUGUCAAGUCAAACAUCAACUCUUUAUUGAAUCGUCUUUUCUUUUUGGAUAAUAAGAGCUUCUUAAAAAGCUUAUUAAAAUAAAUUAUUAAUUAAUGAAAUUAAAAAUAAAAAUGUUUUUUUUAUUUAAAAAAAAAUACCAAAACAGAGAGACAUCUACCGUGUUUUCUCUAUUGGUACAUGAUAAAAGUCUGAACAGAUUUUUUAUUAUUAUUUUAAUUUUAAUAAUAGUACUGUUAUUUCUACCGCCAAGAAAUCAAGAAAGCUAUCUAAUUUUAAUACAAUGCUAGAGUUCUUGACUUUGGGAGAAUGAAUUCCGUGAUGGAAUUGGAGGUGCUGCUUUCUUCAUCUGUUGUUCCUAUUAUGCACUGAUCAUGAGAUGUGGAAGAGAAUGUUACAGUCGCUAUCUCUUUUACAUAAUAUUAUUUAUUAGUAAGGUCGCCUCAAUAAUAAUUAAUUAACGUAUUGUUUGAUAUAUUAUAAGAUAUAUAAAGUUGACGUGUGGACCUGCCUCAAUGUUGAAACUUGGAAGAAGCUGCCAAGAAAAUGUAAACACAUGAAAUUUUCUAAAAAGAAUAGCAUAUUUAUGCAUGCUGUAAAUUUUUUAAAAAUAUAUUUUUUAUUUAAAAAUAUAUUAAAAUAAUUUGUUUAAAUUAUUUAUUUUUUUAGAGUGAUUUUGACAGCGAAGCAGGAAAUGUAAUUAUUGUUAUUUUUAAAAUAUUUUUUUAUUUAUAAGUAUAUUAAAAUAAAAAUUGUUAAUUUCGUUUCGUUUUAUUUGUAAUGGUUUCAUAUCAAUUCAAAAAAUAAAAUAAAACAAAAUAACUUUUAUCUUAUUUCAAAUCUCGGUGUCUUCCAGAUUUUUCGACUAAAUUUCUUUCGGAAUGUUCCGGUUUCAUUCCACAUGUUCUGUUCCGGUCUUAAAAAGUCAUUGAACCUAGUUCAAUUAAUUAAUUAAACCAUUAAAGUAUAAAAAGCUCUUUUUCAUUACUAUUUUCAUUAACUAUGAUAUUAAUUUUUAAAAAUUAGAUUUAUCAUUAAUAUAUAUGGUUUAUAUUCAUGUUAUUUUUUUUCAAGUUUAUACUUUGUAGGAAUUUAAGCAAAAAAAUGGAUGUUUUAGAUCUCAUUAGUCUUGAUAACAUUGAUCUAUCUUUAUAUUUAAAAUAUUAGUGUAAAAUAUUUUAAUUUCAUAAUAUUUUGAGAUUUUAUUGAAGUUGAAUUGUUUUAAGUUAAAAAAUUAUUUAAUCUUAACUAGUUAAAAAUAUUUCAUCACGUCUCCAUGAUCCCCGUUGUGUCAAAAACAAAUUGCCUAAAUUUUAGGCUUUAGCAGUUCCUUUUUUGAAAUCCUCAUUAGUGAAAUUUCACGACUCCAGCUGGGCGUUGACUUGUCUUUUUAAUUUCUAUUAUUUUUAUUCCAUUUUAGCAUUUUGGGCGUUGACUUGUCUUUUUAAUUUCUAUUAUUUUUAUUCCAUUUUAGCAUUUUAGCAUUUCAUACUCAUCAAAACCACUGGAACGCAAUCAAGCUUUAGCUUCAAACAACCAGAGGGAGAUUUUAUAGGGAUAAAAUUUUAAAAAUCACGCCUAUGCUACUUUGUAGUUUUAGUAUUAAAUUUAGUAUCUAAAAAAUGUGUUUAUGAAUAUGGCAGUUUCAGGUUUAGAAACCAAAUCUGCCAUAUUCAUACUCUCUCUUAGACAUUUUAAAAAUGUGUGUAGAAAAAUACUUUCACUGAUGAUUUAUAAUAUUAGGUUACUUUAAUGAUAAAUCAAUAUAGUAUUUUUUUUAUUUUUUGGAUUUUCAUCUUGGAGAAAUUCAAUAGGAUGAAAAUAUAAUAUUAAUCAAACUUCAAAUUAUAAUUGUUUAUCUAUGGAGUUUAAAAAAAACAUGGCAAUUUAGUAGUCUUUAAUGAAAUAAAAAAAUGAAAAAUGUUAUUUAUGUAAUUGUAAGCAUACAAUAUUAUAUUACUUUACAAAGGGACGAAGGACAUCCUUUGCGUUAGGAUGCUCCCACUCCACUACUGACUCCCACCAUUCUUUUGGACAUGCCUCGAUUUCUCUAAGAGAAGGGGGAAGGGAUGGCUGGCCAUUUUCAAGCAACGAAAGACAAAUUGGCAUCCUCUUCAGCUUCUCACAAUACAUUACCUUAAUAUCUUCAAGAGAAUUGCAAAUCAGUUUUGCACUGCAAAUGCUUUUCAGUUCUGGUAACACAUACAAUUUCAGAGUUAUUAACUUUGGGAGAAUGACUUCCGUGAUGCUUUCUUCAUCUGUUGUUCCUAUUAUCUCCUCCAUUUUCUCACAAUCAUUAACUUCAAUCCUUUCCAGGUUUACGAGGUUUGGUAGCAACACAAGCGGGAACAGCUUUUUCAUACUUUUACAGUCAUUACAAAGAAACUCUUUAAGACCAGAAAAUGUACCGUUACAUGAUGGCAAUCGUGGUGGAGCAGAGCAGAACCAAGAAGAUGAAACCAAGCUCUCCAUGUUAUGGCAUUCCCGAAUGCUGAUGCGCUCCAGUUCAGUUGCAUUCUCUAAUGACAAAACAUCACAUAAACUUCUUGCAUCGAUGCAUUCACAAAUCAGUCCUUGAAUGCCAUUUAAGAACUUGACCUGAAAAUCUCUAUCUCCGUUGAUACUCAAAUUACCCAACCCAACUGUUUUACUUGGAAAAUCUUCAAUGCAUUGCUCUAAAUAUCCACCCACCUCUCCUACUAAAAUCUUGCAUGUGCUUAAUGAUAGGAUCCUAUCCCGAGAUCUGAGAUACUCCACGAAGUCAGAAAAACCUUCGAAAUGGCACUCCAAAGUUUCCAAAUUUCCCAAGGAUCCUACUUCCUUUCCUUUAACUGUUAUCGGAGCAUUCGUAAAAUUUUCUAGUACAAAGACUUGCAGGUGAGAGAGUUUUGGUAAUAUCCCACUAGGAAACUCCUUUUCACCACAUCCAUUCAUUAUAAGAUACCUCAGGUUGGUUAGGCAUUCCAUUCCUUGCGGC